This 90986-nucleotide long non-coding RNA is filed under the name Hordeum vulgare. RNAcentral's name for it is "long non-coding RNA (HVUL_LNC014038)". The record is from RNAcentral. Lineage: Eukaryota; Viridiplantae; Streptophyta; Magnoliopsida; Poales; Poaceae.
GUUUGAGGUGGUCAAGCUAAAGAGCCCCUAUCAUGCGUUGUUUGGGCGACCGGCUUAUGCCCGUUUCAUGGCUCGCCCUUGCUAUGUUUACCUUAAACUCAAGAUGCCCGGUCCUGAGGGACCCAUCACGGUUGAUGGUGACAGGAGGAUCGCAAGAGAGUGUGAAGAAGGGGAUGUGGCUUACGCAAAAGUCGCCUGCGCUGCGGAAGAGCUCAAAUAUCACCAGGCCAAUGUUGAUCUAGCUAACAUGUCACCUCUAAAGAAGCCAACAACAGACGCUGAGCCGCCCCUCAAGUUCAAACCAACGGACGACACUAAGAUAGCGGAUUUCGUCCCUGGCGACUCAACCAAGCAGUUCACUAUCGGGGUGGGUCUGGACCCUAAAUAGGAAAGCGCGCUCAUCGAAUUCAUUCGUGAGAAUCGGGACAUCUUCGCAUGAAAACCUUCUGACAUGCCUGGUGUACCGAGAGAAUUCGCUGAGCACCAUCUUAAUGUUGACCCGAAAGCAAAACCGAUUCAGCAAUAUCUUCGCAGGUUCAAUGAGGAACGGCAUAAGGCAAUCGGGGAAGAAGUCGCCCGUCUUUUGGCUGUCGGGUUCAUCGUAGAAGUCUUCCACCCCCAAAUGGUUGGCUAACCCGGUCCUCGUGCUCAAGAAGAACGACACCUUCUGCAUGUGCAUUGAUUACACAAAUCUUAACAGAGCCUGUCCAAAGGACCCUUUCGCCCUUCCCCGUAUCGAUCAAAUCAUUGAUUCAGUGGCGGGUUGCGAGCGUUUGUGUUUCCUGGACGCUUAUUCUGGGUAUCACCAAAUCAAGAUGGUUGUGGAAGAUCAGGAGAAAACAGCUUUUAUAACCCCCUUCGGGGCUUUUUGCUAUGUGUCCAUGCCGUUUGGGCUCAAAAGCGCUGGGGCGACUUACCAGCGUUGCAUCCAAAAUUGUCUCCGUGGUCAAAUCGGACGCAACGUCCACACUUACGUCGACGACAUUGUGGUCAAAACUCACAGGAAGGAGACGCUCUUGGAAGAUCUAAGGGAAACUUUUGACAAUCUGCGGGUAUAUCAGAUGAAGCUUAAUCCCACCAAGUGUGUCUAUGGCGUUCCUGCAGGAAAAUUGUUGGGUUUCCUGGUAUCUGAACGCGGCAUUGAAGCCAACCCGGACAAAAUCGAGGCGAUUACUUCGCUUGGGAAACCAGCAAAUAUCAAUCAAGUUCAAUGGAUGGCGGGUCGUAUCGCAGCUUUAAGUCGCUUCAUAAUCCGCCUGGGAGAAAAAGCUAUUCCCCUUUAUCAAUUUCUUAAGAAAUCUGACCGUUUUGUUUGGACAGACAAGGCCAAUGAAGCUUUUGAAGCCUUGAAGCAGCAACUGGUCAACCCGUCGGUUUUGGCCGCCCCGACUGAAAAGGAGCCUAUGCUUCUGUAUAUUGCGGCAAACUCCAAAGCGGUGAGCGUGGCAGUGGUCGUCGAAAGGAAGGAAGAAGGGAAGGAAUAUCCGGUGCAACGCCCGGUGUAUUUCAUUAGUGAGGUGCUAACUCUCUCCAAGCAACGAUACCCGCACUGGCAGAAGUUGGUCUAUGGGGUCUUUAUGGCAAGUCGGAAGCUCAAACACUAUUUCCAAGAGCAUCCCAUCACGGUGGUUAGCUCCGCUCACCUCGGAGACAUCAUCCAGAAUCGAGAGGCGACAGGGCGAAUUGCCAAGUGGGCGAUCGAACUUGGGCCACACCACGUGCGAUACACCCCUCGCAUGGCUAUCAAGUCUCAGGCCUUGGUUGAUUUCGUCAACGAUUGGACCGAGUUACAGAUCCCGAAAGACAGGCCCGACCUUACGUACUGGACUAUUUAUUUUGACGGGUCUAGGCAAUUGGAAGGCUCGGGGGCUGGCGUGGUGCUGAUUUCACCCCAGGGAGACAAAUUCUGCUAUGUUCUCCGACUCAUGUUUCCAUGUACCAACAACGCUGCAGAAUACGAAGCCUUACUUCAUGGUUUACGACUCGCCAAGGAGAUGAAUCUCAUGCGGGUCAGAUGUUUCGGCGAUUCUGAUCUGGUGGCUCAGCAAGUUUCAGGUACUUGGGUGUGACAACCCGAGACCGACGCCCCAGAAGAUUCCCCUUCUAUUCCGUUUUCGUCGUGUGUCUAUUUACUUUUCUUGCAUCAUCAUCGCAUAAUGCGCAUCAUCUGCAUUGCAUCAGCAUCUCCGUUGCCGCCAGUUUUCAAAGUUGCAUCCGUUGUUAGUUACCGGUUCUCGUCGUUGUCCGUUCUGAGCCCGACCGCACUCGCACGCGCCCGCGACAUCGUUUAAAUCUUGUUUUCGAAAGUGUGCCUUAAAAUUUCUUUGAUCAGGCUGAAACUUGGCAUGCGGUCGUAAUUAGUUAUAGCCAGGCCGCCUGUCGAAUUUCGUCGCGAUCGGACUUCGUCUGGUACCCGAACGGUCGACCUUAGCGGCACCAUCUUCGGUCUACCGUCGGACGUUCGUCGGUAUUUUAAAACUCGUUGUCGCGCCGCCCGUUUUCCCUCUCGUCUCCGGUAAACCACUCUUCACAGCCACUCGACCGUCCCGCGUUCAGUUUUAGUCGAAUCCGACCCCGCGGUUGUAUCCGGAACGGGAUUCCGGUUAACCUAGCCCCCCCCCUUUUGCCUAUAAAUAGACCCGCAUGUAUUUUUUUAGUUGCCCCUCUCAUCUGCCUCGAAAACCGUGCACACACCAAACCCUAGCCGUAGCCUCCUCCCACCUCCUCCUCGCACCAUCGGGCCCGCGAGCCCAUGCGAGCCCCGCCGAGCCCAUUCGGCCGCCGCCCCCGUUCUCCUCCCUGCCCGAGCUCCUCCCGCUUGCGCCGCCGCCAAGCCAUCUGCGCCACCAACCUCGCCGCCCGCGCCUCGCCGGAGAGCCCCGCCGGACCGAGGCCGGAGCUCCCUCCACUCUCCUCUCUUCUCCUCUCUUCUUCUCUCCCUCACCCGGAUCUCUCUCUCCCCGCAGGUCGUCGCGCCAUGGUCGGAGUUCGUCGAAGCUCCCCGAAGGCCGGCCGCCGCCGGGAAUGGAACCCUGACGGCCGGAUCCGUCCAGCCCGCUGGGAUCCGGCCUCCCCUCGCCCCCCGCCGCCGGGAUAUGGCCUCCCCUGCCCCGCCGUCGGCACGUGCUACUGCGCCGCCAGAGGUGCGUGCCCGUGAGGAGGACGACGCCCGUCGCAGCGCCCAACCGCCUCGGCAGCUCCUCGGCCGCGCAGAAGGAGCCAGGCCGAGUCAGCCCAGGCCAGGGUGCCCCUCCACGCCCAGCUAGCUCCAUCCCCCUCAGCCCACAGCACCAGGCCGACCUCUAGCCCAAGGUGAGCCGAGCUCUAUUCCCCGCCCAAGCAGAUGUUAUCUAAGCCUCGCCCAUGCGUGUGUAGCCCAUGAUAAAUAGAUUAGGCCCGGUUAGAUAAUUUAGGUAUUUUUGGAAUUUAAUAAAAUUUCAGAAAAUAGACGACUUUAAAACGUUCGUAAGUUUUUAACCGUAAGUCGGAUCGCGACAUGUAGCAUAUGGAUUUCGUGUAGUUCUGUGCGUAUAUUACGUUGGUGCAACUUGCAUAAUAGUUUGACGUUGUUUGAUGUAUCGAAUGCAUAGGUUAGCGUGCUGUUCCAACAGGAUAGUGCCCGUAUUUAUUUUUCACGCGUGCCCGGAUUGCUCGGAUGCCUUAGAUAAAAUGCCAUGUUUUAGGAACCACUUUUCCAUGUAUUUUAGAGCAGUCAUUUAUAUUUUUGCGUGUAGCGAUUUGCGCUAGUUUAUUUUUCCGUGUCUAGGUUAUUUUCUCGCAUUUUCGUGUGGUAUUAUUUUGUUGUGCAACCCCACAUAUUUUAUAUCUUUUCGGGGCUGUGCAAAUAGUUUUAGCUCUAGAGUAAGUUAGUUCGCGCGAUAUUUUGCUAUGUUGCCCUUUUGUUUAAUUCGUAGGAUUUAUUUCGUGCUUCGUUUGACGGAGUUGUCAACUAGAGAGUUGAUCUUUGAUGUUUAGUCUAGCCCCUGGUAUUUUGGUUGCAAUAGAAAUGCAUGUUUAGGUGUGGUUUGCUUGCUCUCAAGUUGCUAGAAAUAGUGCUGAUUUGGAGGUGCUGAAAUAUUUCUAAGUCUGGAAUCUGUUAUUUUUUGUUGUUGUUUUGUUUUGCUUCUAUCUUGUGAUCUGUAGCUCUUUUGAGGUUGGUCCAAUGGAGUUAGUUGUAGCCCUUGUGUUUCUAUAGCACGCUGUGAAUUUUCAUGCCAUUUGGAGUCCUGUAGCUUAUGGUUUUACUGCUGUCAAUAUGCCUUCAGAUCGAAAACUGCAGCUUCAAAAACUGCUAUUUUCACUAAGUUUGAAAUAGUGUGUGGGAAGCCAUUUUGUGACUUCUUUUCCUAGUGUUCCUUGCUGUCAUGCUAGUUGUUGUUAGUUGUUUGUAGUAGUGCUUCUUGCCCUCUUUCGUGUCAUGCCUUGCUUGAGUUUAUUUGAGUUGAGUAGCUCGUAGUUAUGGGGUGUAGAAGAUGCUAUGUGGCUGAUUUUGGCAGAUUGUAGUGAUAUCUUGUUUUGCUCGUAGUUGUUGAACCGUAGCUUCGAUUUGAUCGUGUCCUACAUGGAACUUGCUUAGAAUCUCGUGUAGUUUCAUUUUCUCUUACUGGUUGUAUGUUUUGAAGUGCUCGUGACCGUCGUUGCACACAUAUUGCAUUCAUGCCAUCAUAUCUUGCGAUGCUUGUAUCUUUUGAACCGUAGCUCCGUUGGAGAAGUUCUCUAUGUGUAGAUUGCUUGAAAUGACGCGUAGAAUCACGUGAACCUAUUUGUUUUGCUGUUUAACAACUAAUAAAAUGUGUUAGUUCAGAUUUGGACAGAAUUGUAAAUUAACAUGUGAGGUCGUUUCGGAGGUGCUAUAUGUCAUUUCCGACCUCAUUUAAAAUGCCUAGAUAGGUAGUUUAAUCACGCUUCACCUCUUGCCAUGUUUAAUCACAUUUAAUAUUGCCGUGUAUCUAUGGGAUAGAACUAAAUAAUUAAACGAUGGAGUUUCGUCAAUAUGCAAUACGUUGCAUAAUGAACUUCACUUAAUGUGUAGUGUUUGAUUGGGUGAAUUGUCAUGCCGUGACUUGCAUGUAUUCAGCUGCUCAUGCAUCAUAUGUGUUGUGCAUCGCGUGGUGAAUUCCGUGUGUUGAUUUGUGUUUCCGGUUUGCUUCGUCCCGAUAGAGUCCCGCAGCAUGCCGGAUUGUGAGGACCCGUUCGACUACGUCGGUUCGUCUGCUUCAUGGAGGCAUUCUUCUUCCAAGCGGGAUCUCAGGCAAGAUGAACAUUUCCCCGGAUACCAUUACUAUCAUUGCCAUGCUAGUUUUAUCGCUUCUAUCGAUUAUGUCCCGUUACCUACCACAUGUUAAAUAUCAGCCUCUCAACAAUGCCAUGAUUACCUUCAACCUGUUCGACCUAGCAAACCACUGAUUGGCUAUGUUACCGCUUGCUUAUCCAUGUUGUUAGCGUUGCUAGUUGCAGGUGUAGUUGCUUCCAUGUGAUAACAUGGGUUCCUUGUUAUAUCAUCAUAUUAAAAUGAUAUUUAAUUUCAUGCACCUAUAUACUUGGUAAAAGGUGGAAGGCUCGGCCUUUCUAGCCUGAUGUUUUGUUCCACCUUUGCCCCUUAGUUUCGGCUACCGGUGUUAUGUUCCAUAAUUGAGCGCUCCUAACACGAUCGGGGUUGUUAUGGGGACCCCCUUGAUAAUUCGUUUUAGAUUAAAGCUGGUCUGGCAAGGCCCAACAUUGGUUUUACAUUUGCCCAACAUAAUAAUUCUGUUAAACUGAAAUGCAUAGGGAGUUAGCGCUACCCGAGGAGUAAUUCUACAUAAUACAGGAGGGGCCAGUGCUGAUGGUGUUGGUCCCAAACGGUCUGCCUGCGGGGUCACCGCGAGGAAACUCGAGGUUUGGCACUCAUAGCAAGUUCCAUCCGUCGUGUCCUGAGAACGAGAUACGCGCCUCCUAUCGGGUACGUCGACACGUCAGGCGGCCUUGCUGGAUUAGUUUUACCUUUGACGAGAUAUCUUGUGCAUCGGGAUUCCGGUGAUGCUUUGGGCAAUCUCAGAGUUGAGGUUUUCCACUAGGGAAUCCGACGAGAUCGCGAGCUUCGUGAUUGAGGAUUUCUAUGCGGCUUGUGGUAAUUUGUGAUGGACUAGUUGGAGCACCCCUGCAGGGUUAAAUCUUUUCGAAAAGCCGUGCCCGCGGUUAUGUGGCAACGUGGAAACUUUGUUUAACACUGGUUCUAGAUAACUUGAAGUUAACUUAAUUAAAAUAUGCCAAUUGUGUGCGUAACCGUGACUGUCUCUUUCGUGAGUUCUUACUCCGAUCGAGGACACGGUGGGGUUAUGUCUGAUGUAGGUAGGUGUUCAGGAUCAUUCAUUUGAUCAUCAGUAGUCACGUCCGCUAUGCGUAGAUCAUCCCCCUCUUAAUUCUUGUACUCAUAAGUUUAGCCACCAAAUAUAUGCUUAGCCGCUGCUGCAACCUCACCACUUAACCAUACCUCACCCAUUAAGCUUUGCUAGUCUUGAUACCUUUGGAAAUGAGAUUGCUGAGUCCCCUGUGGCUCAUAGAUUACUACAACACCAGUUGCAGGUACAGGUAAAGGUUAUUUGACGCGAGCGCGUUGAUUGAUCAUUUGGAGUUGCUUCUUCUUCUUCUUCUUCAUCGAUCUAGGAUGGGUUCCAGGCCGGCAGCCUGGGAUAGCAAGGAUGGACGUCGUUCUUCUUUUGUCAUUUGUUUUCGUCCUUAGUCGGACCCUGCUCUUCUUCAUGAUGAUUAUGUAUUGUACUGCUGUGACUCUGAUGUAGCUUGUGGCGAGUGUAAGCCAACUCUAUUUAUAUAUCUCUUCUUUUCAGUACAUGUACUUGUAACGAUAUCCAUUCUUGCGACACGACGAGAUGCGCUUCUAUCCCUGACGAGGCCUUCGUGCCAAAUUGAGGAUAGGGUCGCAUCUUGGGCGUGACAAGUUGGUAUCGGAGCAGUACCGACCUAGGAGCCCCCUUGAUUGAUCGAACAUGGCCGAGUCGAGUCUAGUGAAAAACUGCUUUGAGUCUAGUUAUAUAUCGGAGAGUAGGAUUCUUUUUUUUCUCCUCUUCUAUGCUAUGGUGAGGAAUCUUGACGUAAUAAUUUAUUCUACUCCUCUUCUCACUCAAAUUUGUUUUAGGAUCACGCAGAUAUUUUUGGAAUCUAUAUGAUGCCGAUGUGACGGAGUUCUGUCUUGGUGCCUCCUAUCUGCUUUGAGUUUCAGGGGAGUUGAGCUCCAGGGGAUUCUUGAGCACAUCGUUAUCAUUCAGAUUUCUUAGUAUCUCAGAACGAAGGAUGUUCGUAAUUGCUUCAAUACUAGUAAUGGCGAGAUAACCCCGAUGUCCCUAGUACUGGUGCGGAUUGUUCGGGAGUACUGCCAUACUUUGUAUCGUUGUGAUCACGAGGGUCUGUAGUAGAUGAAGGCCGAGAUUCUGGUUGUGUGUUGACGGAUGUGAUACAGGUGACGGGUUAGUAUAGGAGUUGUGUGAUUAUUACUCCUUGUAUCCGUGUACCAGAUUGCAUGACCAGAUAUUUCGGGAAUUCAUAGGUGGGAAUUCAAGUAGUUGCUUAUAGGACAAUCUUCCAACAAAUCCUCACCCUUUGUUUUGUUGAACUAUGGUAAUUCAAGUUGCUUCGAUGUCAAGUGGUGAUUUCAGAUCUUUCCUAAGAGGUGUUCUCAUAUUUUUAUGUGAGAAUGCAAAUUCUAUUGUUCAAUCAGGUUGUCAUAUCAAUUCUUGUCAACCGGAGUCGUCAUGUUAAUUCUUUUCCAACCGGUGUGUUUCUCUUCAAGUGGAUUCAAUCCUCUCCAUUUUUUUGCAAGAUCAUUCUCUCAUUUUAUUCCGGAGUUCAUCUCAUCUAUUCCAAGUCGUCUUUGUUUUUCCCCGCCCUCCCACCCUUUUUUUUGUUGGAAAUAUGCCCUAGAGGCAAUAAUAAAUUAGUUAUUAUUAUAUUUCUUAGUUCAUGAUAAUCGUUUAUUAUCCAUGCUAUAAUUGUAUUGAUUGGAAACACAAUACUUGUGUGGAUACAUAGACAAAACACUGUCCCUAGUAAGCCUCUAGUUGACUAGCUCGUUGAUCAAAGAUGGUCAAGGUUUCCUGGCCAUAGGCAAGUGUUGUCACUUGAUAACGGGAUCACAUCAUUAGGAGAAUCAUGUGAUGGACUAGACCCAAACUAAUAGACGUAGCAUGUUGAUCGUGUCAUUUUGUUGCUACUGUUUUCUACGUGUCAAGUAUUUGUUCCUAUGACCAUGAGAUCAUAUAACUCACGGACACCGGAGGAAUGCUUUGUGUGUAUCAAACGUCGCAACGUAACUGGGUGACUAUAAAGAUGCUCUACAGGUAUCUCCGAAGGUGUUCGUUGAGUUAGUAUAGAUCGAGACUGGGAUUUGUCACUCCGUGUGACAGAGAGGUAUCUCGGGGCCCACUCGGUAAUACAACAUCACACACAAGCCUUGCAAGCAAUGUAACUUAAUGUAAGUUGCGGGAUCUUGUAUUACGGAACGAGUAAAGAGACUUGCCGGUAAACGAGAUUGAAAUAGGUAUGCGGAUACUAACGAUCGAAUCUCGGGCAAGUAAAAUACCGAAGGACAAAGGGAAUGACAUACGGGAUUAUAUGAAUCCUUGGCACUGAGGUUCAAACGAUAAGAUCUUCGUAGAAUAUGUAGGAUCCAAUAUGGGCAUCCAGGUCCCGCUAUUGGAUAUUGACCGAGGAGUCUCUCGGGUCAUGUCUACAUAGUUCUCGAACCCGCAGGGUCUGCACACUUAAGGUUCGACGUUGUUUUAUGCGUAUUUGAGUUAUAUGGUUGGUUACCGAAUGUUGUUCGGAGUCCCGGAUGAGAUCACGGACGUCACGAGGGUUUCCAGAAUGGUCCGGAAACGAAGAUUGAUAUAUAGGAUGACCUCAUUUGGUUACCGGAAGGUUUUCGUGCAUUACCGGAAAAGUUUCGGGCUCAUCGGUAGUGUACCGGGAGUGCCGGGAGGGGUGCCGGGGACCAUCGGGAGGGGUGUCACGCCCCAAGGGGUCUCAUGGGCUGUGGGAAGAGAUAAACCAGGCCCUAGUGGGCUGGAAUAAGUUCCCACUAAGGCCCAUAAGGUUUGAGAAGGAAAAAACACAAGGUGGAAAGAGUUUCCAAGUGGGAAGGUGGAAUCCUACUCCAACUAGGAUUGGAGUAGGACUCCUCCACCUCCAAUUUCGGCCAAACCUUUAGGUUUUGAGGCUGCCUCCUCCCCUCCCUCCCACCUAUAUAUACGGAGGUUUUAGGGCUGAUUUGAGAUGACUUUUCCACGGCAGCCCGACCACAUACCUCCACAGUUUUUCCUCUAGAUCGCGUUUCUGCGGAGCUCGGGCGGAGCCGUGCUGAGACAAGGUCAUCACCAACCUCCGGAGCGCCGUCACGCUGCCGGAGAACUCUUCUACCUCUCCGUCUCUCUUGCUGGAUCAAGAAGGCCGAGAUCAUCGUCGAGCUGUACGUGUGCUGAACGCGGAGGUGCCAACCGUUCGGUACUAGAUCGUGGGACUGAUCGCGGGAUUGUUCGCGGGGCGGAUCGAGGGACGUGAGGACGUUCCACUACAUCAACCGCGUUCUCUAAUGCUUCUGCUGUACGGUCUAGAAGGGUACGUAGAUCACUCAUCCCCUCUCGUAGAUGGACAUCACCAUGAUAGGUCUUCGUGCGCGUAGGAAAAUUUUUGUUUCCCAUGCGUCGUUCCCCAACAUUUUUCAGUGAUUGGAUUUUCAUCCAAGAGUUUUCUUUUGAUGGUGCUUCCGUUGUCUGUUCUUUUCUCUCUUACCCGGUGAUUCAUUGUGAAGAUUCUCACGAGUCGAGUUCAUCAUUUCUUCAUUUUGUUCCUUUCCGGUGAAUUUAAUUCAGUUGUCCAUGGUCAUCAUAUCCUUUUCAACCAUUAAAUUCUUUCCGACGUUGGAAAUUCUUUCAGCCUAUCUGAUUUAUUAAUUCCUCUCUCUUUCUAUCCGGAGUGUUAAAGAUAUUUCAGAAAUUCUGCUUUUCAAUCCUUCAGUUAUUUCGAGGUGCUAACCUCAUCUAGUUCUCUUCGUACCGGUGUAAUAUCUCUCUUCUAAGCAAUCUUUUCUAACGGUGAUUUCUUUGAGUGGGACCAUAACCCACAGGUUUUACCAGGAUCUUUCCUGACGCUUUUAAUAUUUUCUCGGAGAUCAUGAAUUCCUUUCAACUAUGACGUAAGUAUGAAUUUCAUCAGUCAUAUUCCUUCUUCAAGAUCUAUUUGAAUUAAUUCUCAUAUUGGCUCAACAUUUCAUUCUUCUUUAUUCCGGAGUGUCUCAUUAAUUCUUGGUGGUGUUCUUCUCAUCAUUCUCUUCUUUCAAGACCGAAGGAGUGUUUCUCUCGAAUCUUGGUCCAUUCUCUUGCAGAUUCUUCAUUUCAGCCUUGUGGCAUUAUCUUAUUUGUUCCAAUCAUGAGUAAUCCCUUUCGUGCUAUCCGGUGCUUCUCUGAGUUGUUUUUAUUUCUCGUUCCUCCGAAGGCCAUCAUUUCAGAAGAAUCUUCGUUCUCAUCUUUCAGCUUUCAUCCUCAAUUCUUCUCCAUUGUUGUCUCUUCGUUCGUCUCUCGUUUAUCCAGUGCCUUGUUCUAGUUUUCUCUCAGGUGGCUUAUGAUCUCUUCAUUCUCAUGUAUCUCCAUUCAUUCAUGGUUGCCUCAUUCAUUUCAAUUCUCACCGGUGUCUCCUUCAUUACUUCUUCAGUUUGUGCUCAUGUAUCUCCUCUAUCAUUUCUAGAAUAAUAAGUUGUAUUCUAAAUCCGUUGCUUGUCAUCAAUUUAAUUUGAUGAAGGAUGAGCAUAACAUAAUUCUUAUUCUUGUUCAUAGUAAUCUGAAUUCUUCUUCCGGAGUGGCUCAUGAUAUCAAUUCUUUUCUCAAGCGCUUAUCUUUCUUUUCCGGAAUGUCAAGUUCUUUUAAGUAUCUCUUUGUGUAGCUUCAUCUAAAUCUUGGUAAGGUCAUAAUCUUAUUCUUUCUACCUUCAUGUCUUUGCAUCAUUCUUUUGUAUACGGUGGUCUUUCAUGGUGGUUCAUCAAGGUUUCAAUUCAUUCUCAAGUCUUCUUCAAGAUUCUUGUUGGAGAACCUCAAGUAUCCUUUCUCUUGCAUGUCCAAGUGCAAUUGUUCUCAUUUAUCCUUUGAGGUGGUAUUAUAGCAUUCUUGUUAGUGUAGGAGUUUCAAAGAGUUUUCCUUUCAAGUAUGAGAUAAUUAAACCCACCAAUUCUUUGAUCAUGAGAUAUUUCAACCCAUGAUUUCUUCAUUGAGCUAUCUUGGGUUGGAUUUCACCUAAAGCUUUUCCUAUGGAUUGUUGCUAUCAUGGUGCUUGUCUUUAAUCCAAGUUCUCAAUGCACCCUCGGUGUAAGAAGUUUUGAUAUCUUUGCUUUCAACUAUCCUUGUUUCUUUUAGUGGUUGGUUGUCACCUCAUAUAUGUUGAGAUGAUCUUCAUAAGCCCACUAUUAUCUUGUUCUUUUCGUUGUUGUUUGUCCAAAUCCGUCCAAUUCUUCUUGCAAGGAUGCUUGCCUAGUUCAUUGGAGUUAGUAGUUGUCAUACUCUUCUUCCGUAUGAGUUAGUUCCUAUUCUAUUGUUCCGGAGGCAUUGUGAUGUUGCUCUUUUGGGGUCUAUCAUGUUGUUCUAUCAAGUUCAUGGUGUUCCCUUGUUCUAUUUAGUUGUUUGUUAUGAAUAUUGUCUAAUUCUCUCUUCUUAUCGAAUUUUUUGUCCCAUUUUCCUACCGAAGUGCUCCCAAAAUUUUCCAUGCAUUAUUGCUUCUUUCUCAUAUCAUUCCUCAUAGCUUUGCUACCUUCAAGGAUCGUUGGUUUCACUCGUUUGUCAAAAAAGCGGCUAAGUUUUUACCUCUUGUUCUUUCUCAUCCUCUCCCCCUUUCAUUCUUGGAUCUCGGGCGAGAUCCUCUUGUAGUGUAGGAGAGUUGUGACAGCCCGAGACCGACGCCCCAGAAGAUUCCCCUUCUAUUCCAUUUUCGUCGUGUGUCUAUUUACUUUUGUCGCAUCAUCAUCGCAUCAUGCGCAUCAUCUGCAUUGCAUCGACAUCUCCGUUGCCGCCAGUUUUCCAAGUUGCAUCCGUUGUUAGUUAUCGGUUCUCGUCGUUGUCCGUUCUGAGCCCGACCGCACUCGCACGCGCCCGCGGCAUCGUUUAAAUCUUGUUUUCAAAAGUGUGCAUUAAACUUUCUCUGAUCGGGGUGAAACUUCGCAUGCGGUCGUAAUUAGUUAUAGCCACGCCGCCUGUCGAAUUUCGUCGCGAUCGGAGUUUGUUUGGUACCCGAACGGUCGACCUUAGCGGCACCGUCUUUGGUCUACCGUCGGACGUUCGUCGGUGUUUUAAAACUCAUUGCCGCGCCGCCCGUUUUCCCUCUCGUCUCUGGUAAACCACUCUUCACAGCCACUCGUCCAUCCCGCAUUCGGUUUUAGUCGAAUCCGACCCCGCGGUUGGAUCCGGAACGCGAUUCCGGUUAACCUAGCCCCCCCCUUUGCCUAUAAAUAUACCCGCAUGUAUUUUUUUAGCUGCUCCUCUCCUCUGCCUCGAAAACCGUGCAGACACCAAACCCUAGCCGUAGCCUCCUCCCACCUCCUCCUCGCGCCGCCGGGCCCGUGAGCCCACGCGAGGCCCGCCGAGCCCAUCCGGUCGCCGCCCCCGUUCUCCUCCCUGCCCGAGCUCCUCCCGCUUGCGCCGCCGCCAAGCCAUCUGCGCCACCAGCCCCGCCGCCCGCGCCUCGCCAGAGAGCCCCGCCGGACCCAGGCCGGAGCUCCCUCCACUCUCCUCUCUUCUUCUCUCCCUUACCCGGAUCUCUCUCCCCCCGCAGGUCGCCGCGCCAUGGCCGGAGUUCGUCGAAGCUCCCCGAAGGCCGGCCGUCGCCGGGAAUGGAACCCCAACGGCCGGAUACGUCGAGCCCGCCGGGAUCCGGCCUCCCCUCGCCCCCAACCGCCGGGAUCUGGCCUCCCCUGCUCCGCUGUCAGACGUGCUACUGCGCCGCCAGAGGCGCGUGCCCCCGAGGAGGAGGACGCCCGUCGUAGCGUCCAACCGCCUCGGCAGCUCCUGGGCCGCGUAGGAGGAGCCAGGCCGAGCCGGCCCAGGCCAGGGUGCCCCUCCAAGCCCAGCUAGCUCCAUCCCCCCUCAGCCCACAGCACCAGGCCGGCCUCUGCCCCAAGGUGAGCCGAGCUCUAUUCCCCGCCCACGCAGAUGCUAUCUAAGCCUCGCCCAUGCCUCUGUAGCCCAUGAGAAAUAGAUUAGGCCCGGUUAGAUAAUUUAGGUAUUUUCGGAAUUUAAUAAAUUUCAGAAAAUAGACGAUUUUAAAACGUUCGUAAGUUUUUAACCGUAAGUCGGAUCACGACCUGUAGCAUAUGAAUUUCGUGUAGUUUUGCGCGUAGAUUACGUUGGUGCAACUUGCAUAAUUGUUUGACGUUGUUUGACGUGUCGAAUGCAUAGGUUAGCGUGCUAUUCCAACAGGAUAGUGCCCGUAUUUAUUUUUCGUGCGUGCCCGAAUUGCUCGGAUGCCUUAGGUAAAAUGCCCAUGUUUUAGGAACCACUUUUCCAUGUAUUUUAGAGCAGUCAUUUGUAUUUUUGCGUGUAGGGCUUUGCGCUAGUUUUUUUUUCCGUGUCUAGGUUAUUUUCUCGCAUUUUCGUGUGGUAUUAUUUUGUUGUGCAACCCCACAUAUUUUAUAUGUUUUCGGGGUAGAAAAAUCGCAAAUAUUUUACCAUGUUGCCCUUUUGUUUAAUUCGUAUGAUUUAUUGCGUGCUUCGUUUGACGUAGUUGUGAACUAGAGAGUUGAUCUUUGAUGUUUAGUCUAGCCCCUCGUAUUUUGGUUGCAAUAGAAAUGCAUGUUUAGGUGUGGUUUGCUUGCUCUAAAGUUGCUAGAAAUAGUGCUGAUUUGGAGGUGCUGAAAUAUUUCUAAGUCUGGAACCUGUUAUUUUUUGUUGCUGUUUUGUUUUGCUUCUAUCUUGUGAUCUGUAGGUCUUUUGAGGUUGGUACAAUGGAGUUAGUUGUAGCCCUUGUGUUUCUCUAGCACGUUGUGAAUUUUCAUGCCAUUUGGAGUCCUGUAGCUUAUGGUUUUGCUGCUGUCAAUAUGCCUUCAGAUCGAAAACUGCAGCUUCAAAAACUGCUAUUUUCACUAAGUCUGAAAUAGUGUGUGGGAAGCCAUUUUGUGACUUCUUUUCCUAGUGUUCCUUGAUGCCAUGCUAGUUGUUGUUAGUUGUUUGUAGUAGUGCUUCUUGCCCUCUUUUGUGUCAUGCCUUGCUUGAGUUUAUUUGAGUUGAGUAGCUCGUAGUUAUGGGGUGUAGAAGAUGCUAUUUGGCUGAUUUUGGCAGAUUGUAGUGAUAUCUUGUUUUGCUCGUAGUUGUUGAACCGUAGCUUCGAUUUGAUCGUGUCCUACAUGAAACUUGCUUAGAAUCUCGUGUAGUUUCAUUUUCUCUUGAUGGUUGUAUGUUUUGAAGUGCUCGUGACCGUCGUUGCACACAUAUUGCAUUCAUGCCAUCAUAUCUUGCGAUGCUUGUAUCUUUUGAACAGUAGCUCCGUUCGAGAUGUUCUCUAUGUGUAGAUUGCUUGAAAUGACGCAUAGAAUCACGUGAACCUAUUUGUUUUGCUGUUUAACAACUAAUUAAAUGUGUUAGUUCAGAUCUGGGCAGAAUUGUAAAUUAACAUGUGAGGUCGUUUCGGAGGUGCUAUAUGUCAUUUCCGACCUCAUUUAAAAUGCCUAGAUAGGUAGUUUAAUCACGCUUCACCUCUUGCCAUGUUUAAUCACAUUUAAUAUUGCCGUGUACCUAAUCGGGAUAGAACUAAAUAAUUAAACGAUGGAGUUUCAUCAAUAUGCAAGACGUUGCAUAUUGAACUUCACUUAAUGUGUAGUGUUUGAUUGUGUGAAUUGUCAUGCCGUGACUUGCAUGUAUUCAGCUGCUCAUGCAUCAUAUGUGUUGUGCAUCGCGUGGUGGAUUCCAUGUGUUGAUUUGUGUUUCCAGUUUGCUUCAUCCCGAUAGAGUCCCACAGCGUGCCGGAUUGUGAGGACCCGUUCGACUACGUCGGUUCGUCUGCUUCACGAAGGCAUUCUUCUUCCAAGCGGGAUCUCAGGCAAGAUGACCAUUUCCCCGGAUACCAUUACUAUCAUUGCCAUGCUAGUUUUAUCGCUUCUAUCGGUUAUGCCUCGUUACCUACCACAUGUUAAAUAUCAGCCUCUCAACAAUGCCAUGAUUACCUUCAACCUGUUUGACCUAGCAAACCACUGAUUGGCUAUGUUACCGCUUGCUUAUCCAUGUUGUUAGCGUUGCUAGUUGCAGGUGUAGUUGCUUCCAUGUGAUAACAUGGGUUCCUUGUUAUAUCACCAUAUUUAAAUGCUAUUUAAUUUAAUGCACCUACAUACUUGGUAAAAGGUGGAAGGCUCGGCCUUUCGAGCCUGGUGUUUUGUUCCACCUUUGCCCCUUAGUUUCGGCUACUGGUGUUAUGUUCCAUAAUUGAGCGCUCCUAACACGAUCGGGGUUGUUAUGGGGACCCCCUUGAUAAUUGGUUUUAGAUUAAAGCUGGUCUGGCAAGGCCCAACAUUGGUUUUACAUUUGCCCAACAUAAUAAUUCUGUUAAACUGAAAUGCAUAGGGAGUUAGCGCUACUCGAGGAGUAAUUCUACAUAAUACAGGAGGGGCCAGUGUUGAUGGUGUUGGUCCCAAACGGUCUUCCUGCGGGGCCACCGCGAGGAAACUCGAGGUUUGGCACUCGUAGCAAGUUCCAUAUGUCGUGUCCUGAGAACGAGAUACGCGCCUCCUAUCGGGUACGUCGACACGUCAGGCGGCCUUGCUGGAUUAGUUUUACCUUUGACGAGAUAUCUUGUGCAUCGGGAUUCCGGUGAUGCUUUGGGCAAUCUCAGAGUUGAGGUUUUCCACUAGGGAAUCCGACGAGAUCGCGAGCUUCGUGAUUGAGGAUUUCUAUGUGGCUUGUGGUAAUUUGUGAUGGACUAGUUGGAGCACCCCUGCAGGGUUAAAUCUUUUCGGAAAGUCGUGCCCGCGGUUAUGUGGCAACGUGGAAACUUUGUUUAACACUGGUUCUAGAUAACUUGAAGUUAACUUAAUUAAAAUAUGCCAAUUAUGUGCGUAACCGUGACUGUCUCUUUCGUGAGUUCUUACUCCGAUCGAGGACACGGUGGGGUUAUGUCUGACGUAGGUAGGUGUUCAGGAUCAUUCGUUUGAUCAUCAGUAGUCACGUCCGCUAUGCGUAGAUCAUCCCCCUCUUAAUUCUUGUACUCGUAAGUUUAGCCACCAAAUAUAUGCUUAGCCAUUGCUGCAACCUCACCACUUAACCAUACCUCACCCAUUAAGCUUUGCUAGUCUUGAUACCUUUGGAAAUGAGAUUGCUGAGUCCCAUGUGGCUCACAGAUUACUACAAGACCAGUUGCAGGUACAUGUAAAGGUUAUUUGACGCGAGCGCGUUGAUUGAUCAUUUGGAGUUGCUUCUUCUUGUUCAUCAUCAUCGAUCUAGGAUGGGUUCCAGGCCGGCAGCCUGGGAUAGCAAGGAUGGACGUCAUUCUUCUUUUGUCGUUUGUUUUCGCCCUUAGUCGGACCCUGCUCUUUUUGAUGAUGAUUAUGUAUUGUACUGCUGUGACUCUGAUGUAGUUUGUGGCGAGUGCAAGCCAACUCUAUUUAUAUAUCUCUUCUUUUCAGUACAUGUACUUGUAACGAUAUCCAUUCUUGCGACACGACGAGAUGCGCUUCUAUCCCCGACGAGGCCUUCGUGCCAAAUUGAGGAUAGGGUCGCAUCUUGGGUGUGACAUUGGGAUUCUUGGGACCCCCUGAUGGCGGCUUGGAGGAGGGUUGUGUCUGAUGUGGCGGGUCAUUUCCAUGGCUAUCAAGUUGAUCAUAUCGACCGGCGCCUUAACGAAGCAGCUGAUGCCCUUUCGCGUCUCGGCUCACAACGUAAGCCGGUUCCUUCCAAUGUCUUUCUGGAUACUUUGCAUAAUCCUUCCAUGAGGUUACCCUCAGAAGAGGAGUUGGCAAUACCAGACCCUGAGUCCCAUUUCGGGGCGGCUCUCCGUGUUACGCCGGAUUGGGUUGUUCCGUAUCUCGCCCGAGGCGAGUUACCUUCGGAUGAAGUGUUGGCUCGCCAAAUCGUUCGUCGGAGCAAAUCCAUGGUCAUCAUCAAUGGUGAAUUAUAUAAGCGUAGCACUUCUGGGUAUUCCAACGAUGCAUUUCUUCCGAAGAAGGAUGUGUGAUUCUAAACGACAUCCAUGUCGGAGAUUGUGCGCAUCAUGCCGGGUCACGCUCCUUGGUUUCAAAGGCGUUCCGUCAUGGUUUCUUUUGGUUGACGGCUCAUGCAGAUGCAGAAGAGAUAGUUCGUCGAUGUGAUGGUUGCCAGUGUUACGGACGACAGGCUCAUGUGCCGGCUCAAGAACUAAGGAUGAUACCUAUUACUUGGCCUUUCGCGGUCUGGGGGUUAGACAUGGUUGGCCCCUUUAAGAUGUCGUCCAACAAAAAAACUGAUGUGCUGGUGGCGGUUGAUAAAUUUACCAAGUGGGUCGAAGCAGAACCUGUUGGUGCUUGUGAUGCGGAGACAUCGGUCAAAUUCUUGAAAAAGUUGAUCUUCCGGUUCGGAUAUCCACACAGCAUAAUUACUGGUAAUGGUACUAAUCUAUCACAAGGUGCGAUGCAGGAGUUUUGCCAUCGUGAGCACAUCCGGCUUGAUGUCUCUGCAGUGGCUCAUCCACAAUCUAAUGGGCAGGCCGAACGGGCAAAUCAGGAAGUAUUGCGAGGAAUCAAACCCCGACUUAUGGUUCCCCUGGAACGCACCCCAGGGUGUUGGGUUGAGGAGUUGCCUUCAGUACUAUGGAGCAUCCGGACCACCCCAAACCGUUCUACGGGUUUUACUCCCUUUUUCCUGGUAUAUGGAGCAGAAGCUGUUCUUCCCACUUACAUUAGGCAUGACUCGCCUAGAGUUGCUGCUUAUGUGGAACAGGACAACGAGUUGGCGCGUCAAGAUUCUUUGGACGCUUUGGAGGAAGCACGCGAUUUGGCUGCCGCCCGAUCGACAAUUUAUCAGCAGGACUUGCAGCGUUACCACAACCACCGGGUCAAGAGUCGAACCUUUCAGGAGGGCGACUUAGUGCUUCCAUUGAUCCAAGAUCGCACUGGCAUGCAUAAGUUAUCACCACCAUGGGAAGGACCGUUCGUCGUCAGCAAAAGCCUUCGCAAUGGGUCAUACUAUCUGGUGGAUCUUCGGCCUGAUCGGCCAACCACGGAAGCUGAGUCAACUCGCCCCUGGAACAUGGCCCACUUACGGCCUUAUUACACUUGAGCUAUUAGCUCUGCUUUUUGUAAGUUUUUCAUUUUUUAUGAAGCAAUAAAAUUGAUGCCUCCAAGCUCGGGGGCUUUCCUGCUAUUUCAUCUUAUUGAAAGUAUGGAUUUUUUAUUUUGCUCUUCAACAAGUCGCCCAAGCAUGGACACUAUCCAUACCAAAUAGCAUAAGUCGCCAUGAUGCACUUAUUACAAAACUGGGUAUGGAUAAGCCAAAGAGGAUCAAAGUCGCUACAAGCGCACGAUUGAAACAUAGGCGCCUUAUAUGAUUCUGUGGAUUAGGCCGGCUUACUUGGGGGCAAUUUGUUCUCAAGUCGUUCUGUGGUAAUAGCGUAUACGCUUCUACAAUCCUAUGACCGGUCUUUCCCCUAAUCAUAGGUCACUUGGGGGCUUCCUCUCACUGAGAUCAGCCUUACUACCCAUUUGGCCUGCGAAAAAUUACCGCAUUACAAAUGGUUAUACCGGACUGUGUGUUGGCCGAAUCGCCAUAUGGACCCAUGAACUCUUGGCGAGUUACUCCGCUUUAUGAACCCUGAACUCGCCUUGGUUAAAACAUGUCUGGUACCGGCUAGCGCCCCACAUGGAAAAUAGAGAAACCAUUGGCUCACUGAACCUGCUUCACUGAAGCUUGACUCGUGCCUGAUCGUCCGGUCUAAAUACUUGAGCUUUUUUAUAGAAAAGUCACCCUCGGGUAGCACUUGAGUUCAUAUAACUCGUCCUAUCCUGUCGCGACCUGAUGAGCCGACAAAAUUCUUAUUUUUUACCUUCCUGGCACUGCCACAAGGUUUUUCAAAUUUUUCCGACUCACCUUAACAUCUUGAGUCGGUUAUUGUUUAUUAUCAUCCAUUACUCACUGAGAUGGUUUGAUGUAUGUUUUUAAGCCUAACAGGUUGAUGAUUAAAAUCAUUAUUGCCAUGGCGGUUCAAGCAUCAUAAAACGCCCUGAGGGCAGGUCAAGCAUUAUACGGCGCCUUAAGGGCAACACAAGGGUUUUAAAGACAUAACAAAAGCGGGUUGUUUUCUAUGAAAGACUUAUUACAUGGCUCUGAUGGCCAAAUCCAUGAAGGAUUAUUCUGCUGAUGUCCCCGGGUCAGCCUGCUUUGAGCUCUCACCAACUUCAAUUUGCAAGUCGCCCAAUACCCAGUUACACUUGGAUAAAGCGGCAAAUUCAUCUUCAUCGUUCAAUACUGAUGAGAAAUCCACCUCCAAAUCAAAAGGGUUCUUGGGUCGACGCGGAGUCAAGCUGGUUGUCACAAAGGUUGCCGGGUUAACUUUCUUGUUCUUGUCAUCAUAGGCGGCUUGAUACUUUGAUAAAUCCAAGCUUGCUGCAAGCUGAGUCGCCGCCAAGCGGGAUUAUUUGACAACGCGCUGGUAGUCCUCUUGAGCAAAUUCUGACCCGUCGUCCUUGAGAUGGGGAAAGCCUGUCGCUACUUCUUCGGGUUUUAAUUCUGGAGCAUACGCUAGACACCGACUCAACGCAGUCAGUACCCCUUUUCGGGCAGCUCACCGGGUUAGCUCACCGAUCUGAGGUAGAAGAGUAGAUAAGCAGCCAAGCAUCUUCUUUAUUGAUGUUAUGGGUUCCUUGGCACCCAUCACUGCUUUCACGGUCAGCACGCUUCCGGUAUAUAGCUGCUCCGUUAACGUGUAAAUCACCUUCAGCAUCAGGACGCAGUCGUUCUGAAGAUUGGCGGCUCUCGGACCUAUAUAAGGGAUAAUGAUGGUCAGUCAUUUCUUCAUACUAAGUUAUUUAUUUACAAAGUGCAAGGUCAGGGUCUUGUUUUCUUACCAAAGACAGCUUGUGCCAUGUUGGAGAUAUGUUGCUUUAAGCCGGCCAGCUCUUGUUGCACAGUAUCCAAUUUAGCUUCAGCUUUUUCUGCUCGCUUUACCAUGGCGUCUUGAUCAGCUUGAGCCUUUUUUAAGGCGGCCUUCAGCUUCUCCAUCUCAGAUAAGAUCAUUUGACAUUUUUCUUCCGAUUUUGCCCGUGCAUCUUGCUGAUCGACUAAAUUUUUCUUUAAGUCGCCAAAUGCUGACUCAGCUUGGGUAAGUGAUUCAUGUCAAGAUAUAUUAUCAAGGGGCAAGUCUCAGAAUUAUUGCAAGCAACAUCCCUGACACUUGGGGGCUAAUGUAUAAUUUUUUAGACGAAAUUAUACAGUACCAAGACCCGGCUCAUCUUUUCACAGAUGACCCGGCCCUUGGGGUUACAGGUCGAAAGCUUUCUUCAAUUAUCAAGACCCGGUUCAUCUUUUUACACAUGACCCGGCCCUUGGGGGUUACAUGUCGAAAGUUUUUCUUCAAUUAUCAAGACCCGGUUCAUCUUUUUUACAGAUGACUCGGCCCUUGGGGGUUACAGGUCGAAAGAUUUAUUCUACUAUCAAGACCCGGCUCAUCUUUUCACACAUGACCCGGCCCUUGGGGGUUAAUGAGGAUAAUAUAGUAGGCAAUAAGACGUACCUCAUGUCUGUUCUUCAUCAUAAGGAGCAGACUUUUUUCCAUCUCAUAACUUGCCUCCAGGCGACUUGCAAAACCAGAGCAGAGUUCUUUAAAUUCAAGAUUCUCAUAUUGGGAUAGAUUUGCCUUGGAAAUUUCAUGUUCAAUGGAAGGUUGAGCUGAUGAUGAUACGUGCUUCGACAAGACUGCUGAAGCCGGCUUAGAAAAGCGAGUGCCAGUGAUGAUCACAACAUCUGGAUCUUCUGCCGUUUUUAACGGACUUGGCAGAUUAGGCGUUUCCAUACUUUCCUUGGGCGAAUUUGGGAGAUCCACUUGAUCUUCAGGUUUAUCCUUGGCCGGGUUAUCCUGAAUCGGCGCCGGUUUUUCAAUAGGCUCCGAAGCUGCAGUGGGAGUUGACCCGCCAGUUUUCCUCUUCUUCGCUUGUGCCCUAAAAGAAAAGGGGCGCGCUUAAAAACAGACAUUAUCAUCAUCAGGACAAUGUAAGUAUUAUAAGAACUUACCCUGGAACGCGGAUCAUCGGCGGAAGCGCUGACAUCACUGAGUCGCCGGACGAAGGAGGAGAAUUCUGCAAAAAUAACACCUCAAGAUGUGAGCGAGUUACGAAUAUGAUCCAAAAGGAAACAAAAGGAGAUGCUAUUAAAAUGAUACCUCAUUCUGCCUCUUCUUAGUUCUCGUUGGUAACCCGAACACCAAGUCUCCAGAAUGACUCUGAGUUUUCCGAUUGGAAGCAUAUUGCGCUUUCUUCAAAAGGAAAUUAGGAUCCAAACAAGCAUUUGGGUGAGACAUGAGAACUUUCCCACAAAUCCGCUUGGCCGGCUUAGGUGGAGGAGAAGAUGAGUUGUAGGAAACAGAAAUUACCUCUAUAGAGUCGUCUUGGCUUUUGUUGUCCUCAUUCUACACAAGAGAUAAGGAGGUGUAAACACAAAAUUAUAACAAUAAAUGGCGAGUCAAAGAAGAUAGAAUUUUACCUCUGAAAGUACGUCGCCGACUUGGGAUUCGUCGGCGUCAGACGGCUCAAUAACAGCGGCUUUGCCUUUGCCCUUGGAUUUCUUCUUUGGGGGCGGCUUGGCUUGCUUCAGGGCCAUCUUUUUCGGCCUCUUGGACCAGAAUUUUUCGCCCUUCUGAAAUGGCAUUUUUUAUGAGAAUCAUAGCUCAAGUAAGUCGGAAGGAAUAAAGUAAAGACGGGUUAAGUUAUUUACCUUUGGCGCCGGGUUGAUCUUGCAGAACGGCUUAAGACCUAUUUGGCCACACUUGGCCAAGGGCUCGCCAGUCAACUUCUUGAUGAUGGAUACGAUGUCAUUGUCUGUCAGUGCUGCAUGGAAGUAGCACUGGGGAUGGUCCAAGGUGCCAUCAAACUCACACAUUAAGCCAUCCCGGCGACUUAAGGGGAGGAUGCGCCAUUCAACCCAGCAGCGGAUCAAAUCGACCCUAGUAAGGCCGUUGUUUGUCAGAGAUCUUAACUCGGAUAGCACUGGGAUCAAAUCUGACUCCUCCUCUUCAGUAAGCUUCUCUGGGAGUUUGAAGUUUGUUGGAAGACGUUCCUCCCUAUAGCCAAGGAGUUUCUUCUCACCCUCAGGAGAAGUUUCCUGGCAGUAAAACCAAGACUUGCCCCAACCUUUGGGAUGGAUUGGCAUGGCGAGUGACGGGAACGGACUAUCCCUGCGGCAUUGAACAUUGACGCCUCCAAGUUCCAAGCUUGGGCCAUUGGAAAAUUCUGUCUGGCGAUUCAAAUGAAAGAAAUACCAGAACAAAGGAACCGAAGGUUCCAUCCGCAAGUAGGCUUCACAGAACACUUGGAACUGACAUAAAUUGCUCAUCGAGUUAGGCCCUAAGUCUUGGAGGCGGACAUUCAUGAAGGUCAUGGCGUCUCUGAGGAAUUUUGAUCCUGGCGGCUUAAAUCCCCGUUCGAGGUGCUCAACAAAAACAAAUAUUUCCCCUUCCUUCGGGUUGGGAAUCUCUUCUCCGAACCCGGAACGCCAACCGAUAACCUCUUUUGGGUCAAGAUUCCUUGUCUUCACACAGUUGUUGAGAAGAACUUCAUCAACUUUGGUCGGGAGCCAAUCGGCUUUGAAAAUAGUACCCAUGCUACAAAGGGAGAAAUUAUGGGUAAAUUAACUCGCCAAGCGCCUAUUAAAUGGUUAAAAGAUCCAUUGACUCGCCAAACAUUUGUCAGGUGACCAAGGAAGUUUGUUGACUCGCCAACAAAAGGCCGGGUCAGAGUACUAGGGCGAUUUAUGAAUUUCCUACUACUUAAGAGAGAUGGCUCAGAGCUUCAGAGGUGUUCGCUAAAAUGGUGAAGUAUGGAUCUACAAGCAGGUUUCAUACUACAGACAGUAACAUAUAGAUCUACGGAGCAGGCAAAAAUGAAUGAGAAAAAGCCUGGAUAAAGAAAAACAACCUAUGGCUAGGUUGAAGACAGUGGAACUGAUAUGACGAAGACCUUUCUAGAUCUUCGAACCAAAGCUGGUCAACUAAGGGUGUGGUUGAUGCUACCAUGCUCACUGUCAUCAUCAUAAUCUAACCAGCAACUAUGGAGGCGUUCAAGGUGUUCUAAGAAACCAGCGGACAUGAACUUCUAGGAACUAAGAUUUGCCUCUAAUGGCGGAAGACUGACCUGGUGAUGGCGACUGGAGGCGACCGAGGAAGAUCCGUGGCGAGUGUUGCGCGUUCAGCGGGCGUCAGGAUGCGGCGGAUGCGGCGGCCGGAGAUGGAGGUCUUCGGGCAGCGACGAAGCUCUCGGUGCGGUGGCAAGGAAGAAGGGGACGACAAGAUGGGUAGGUGGAAAUGUGCCCUGUCCCUUCCCCCCGCCUAUUUAUUAGGUCAGGCACUGGAAUCAAGGCGCCAUGAGCAGGAACUGCCAAAUGGGAUAAAGAUUCGCUAUGAUGGCGCCCAAAAUUUUCGGGAUAUAUGUGCCGAAGGAUCCGUUGGGGAUUGCGUCAUUAUCUCUUCCGAGAUUAAAGGGAUAAGAAGAUGCCAACAAGGAGUGGUUCGGCGACUUAGGUAUCUCCGCAACAGAUGGCGGUUUAAAUGCAUGGUGCAUAAAAGGAGUGGGAUGAGUCGCCCCUAACUGGGUGAGAAUAUUGGCGUGAACAAGUUCAAGUCAAUCUGGGGCCUAAUGUUGGGGAUAUUAUCUGUUGGGUAACCCGCCCUAGUUGGGCCGGGUCACCAAGUUGGCGGACUCAUCCUCAAGCGAUUCAGGCUUUGGCCCGGUGAGGCCGGGAGCCAGAUGGCGGUUCAAGAUCUUUGGGAAGAAUCCAUCGGUGGGAAGAUCUCCAUGUCUUGGAAAGAUGGCAACUUAGAGAUAGAAAGAAUCACGAUUUGUGUAAAGGCAAGGACUCUUGUAAACCCUAAGGGCUCGGCCUGUAUAUAAAGGCGAGUCCCAGGAAAGAAGAGGACAGGUUAGAAAUCAUCGAGUGCUAGGUCAGGCAAGUAACGCCUUCCUUGUAAUCGAGACACCAUGAAUACAAACACCAAGCAUGACGUAGGCCUUUACCUCCUCACGAGGGGCCGAACCUGGGUAAAUCUCUGUCUUGCUUCCAAUCAACCCCUUUGAGUCGCCACCAAGGUACGAUGGCUCCAACACUAAGUCCUUUCACGAGGACAUCUGCCGUGGCAAAACCACGACACCCAUUGUUGAUGCACAUGGAGAAUGCGUAAGUGAAAAGUAGAAGGUCAUGGCGCAUGUUAGAGGAAAACGAAAAAAUGUUGUACCCAAAUUGCAGAGAUGGCAACACAAAGCUCGGUACCACACUGGAGUUGUUGCAAUGGAAGGCAGCGAAUGGUUUAUCUAACAAGGGAUUUGAGAAGCCACUCAAAAUAAUGAAGAAGAAGCUUCCAAAGGAUAAUGAAUUGCGUGACAUUACGUAUGAAGCAAAGAAGGUUCUCUGCCCUCUAGGAUUAGAGGUGUAGAAGAUACACGCAUGCAUUAAUGACUGCAUCCUCUACCAUGGUGAGGAGUACAUGAAUUUAAAUGCAUGCACAGUAUGCGGUGCACUACGCUAUAAGAUCACCCGUGAUGACCUUGGUGAUGUUGAGGGUGAGCGCCCCAGGAAGAGGGUUCCUGCCAAGGUCAUGUGGUAUGCUCUUAUAAUAUCACGGUUGAAUGUUUGUUCCAAAACAAAGAGCAUGUCAAGUUGUUGUGGUGGCACAAAGAAGACCUUAAGAAAUACACGAUGUUGAGAGUACCCGCUGAUGGGUCGCAGUGCAGAAAAAUCAAGAGGGAGUUCCCACACUUUGCAAUUUACGCAAGGAACUUAUGGUUUUAUCUAAGUACAAAUAACAUGAAUCCUUUUGGGGAGUGGAGCUGGAGUCAUAGCACCUGGCUUGUGACUCUAUGUAUCUAUAACCUUCCUCCUUGGUUGUGCAUGAAGCGAAAGUUCAUUAUGGUGUCAGUGCUCAUCCAAGGCCCUAAGCAACCCCGCAACGAUAUUGAUGUGUACCUAAGGCCAUUAGUUGAAGAACUUUUACACUUGUGUGAUGAAAAGGGUGUACAUGUAUGGGAUGAGCACAAACAGGAGGAAUUUGACCUACGAGAGUUGCUUUUCAUAACCAUCAAUGAUGGGCCUACUCUUAGUAACAUUUCAGGACAGACAAACAAGGGAUACAACACACGCACGCACUGUUUAGAUGAGAGUGAAGGUGCAUAUUUGGAUAAAUGUAUGAAGGUUGUGUACCUCGGGCAUCGUCAAUUUCUUCAGACCAAGCAUCUCGUAAGAAAGAAAGGCAAGCAUUUCAAAGGUGAGGCGGGUCACAGGGAUACGCCUGGCCACCGUACUGGUGAUGAUAUAUUUUUAUAUCGUUAAAGAUUUAAAGUAAUCUUUGGAAAAGGUCUUGACGGUCAAUUUGUUCCGACUGAUGGCGCCACCGGACACGCGCCAACGUGGAAGAAGAAAUCCAUAUCUUGGGACCUAUCCUAUUGGAAAGUCUUAGAGGUUUGCUAUGCAAUCAACGUGAUUCACGUGACGAAGAAUCUUCGCGUCAACCUGCUAGGCUUCCCGGGCUUGUAUGGGCAGACAAAAGAUACACCGGAAGCAUGACGGGACCAGCAACGUAUGAAAGAACCAGACAGCAUGCAUCGAGACAACGAGAAGGAUAAAUGCGCGUCAUUACUUAAGUGUUGCCAGCUACGCUCUUACCAAAGCAGAGAAGGAAAAAAAAUUGAAUGAGUGAGCAGUAUCAAAGUCCCGUCUGGCUUCUUGUCAAAUAUAAAGGGAAUAAUAAAUAUUGUAGAAAAAAAUUCCAAAACCUAAAGUCUCAUGAUUGUCAUGUGAUUAUGACGCAAUUGCUUUCGGUUGCAUUAAGGGGGCUUCUACCAAAAAAUGUUCGAUUAGCCGGUGUGAAACUAUGUGCAUUCCUCAAUGCAAUUUCUCAGAAGGUAAUUGAUCGAGAAAUCCUACCAAGGUUACAAAAUGAUUUGGUCCAAUGUCUUCUCAAUUCCGAAUUGGUGUUCCUAUCAUCCUUCUUCAAUAUUAUGACACACGUAGUAGUUCACCUAGUUGAAGAGAUUACCAUUAUGUGUCAUGUAUUUUUAUACAAUAUGUUCCCCUUUAAGAGGUUCACGAGAGCCUUAAAGAGAUCGGUCAUGUAAUUUAAUUAUACACAUGAGUUAAUCAAUACAUAAUUGGGUUGAAAGCCAUAGUUAUGGGAGACAACUAUUUCUAUUGUAGCAAUCAAGAUUGGCAUCUAUUUUAAUUUUUGGUAAGUGUAUGUUUAUUUCCUUGUACAAAUAUGCAGGUAAGACAAAUACGUGGAUCCAUUGGUAUAGGCCACCUGAAAAGCUUGUUCUCUUAUCGCAAAUUCGGGAAAGGGUUAAAAGGGGAAGUUGAUGUAUAUGUUGAGGGUUGAGAAAUUAGAGAAUCCUAUGAGAAUAGUGUAGAAUUAUAAAAAAUAACGUUUCUCGAGGCUGAGUAACAAUGGUGGGGGUUCCUGUUGGGGGUUCCCGUAGAUUUCAUUGUGCUUGAUAUUGAUUGCAAUCCGACAUGUCCUAUCAUUCUUGGUAGACCUUUCCUAAGGACUAUUGGUGCUAUCAUCGAUAUGAAGGAAGGGAAUAUUAGAUUUCAAUUUCCAUUGAAGAAGGGCAUGGAACAUUUUCCUAGAAAGAAAAUAAGAUUGCCUUAUGAAUCCAUGAUGAGGGCUACUUAUGGUUUGAGUACCAAAGACGACGAUACUUGAUUCUAUCGCCUUAUGCCUAGCUAAGGGGCGUUAAACAAUAGCGCUUGUUGGGAGGCAACCCAAUAAAUUUAUCUUUGCUUUUGGCUUUCUGUUUUGUUGUGUCCAUACCAUCAUAAUUCUUUUAUGAUUGUGUUCUUUGUGUUUAUUUUUGUGUUUGUGCCAAGCAAAACCUUUAUGAUCAGUUUUGGUGAUGGUUGUUUGAUCUUGCUGAAAAAGACAGAAACUUUGCGCUCACGAAAUUAUUUUUAAUUCCUAUCCAGAAAGAGCUUUUAAGUUGAUUCUUUUUGCUUCUGGUUGAUAUGUCAAUUGCCCUAAUUUUCAUAGUUUUUCAGAAUUUUUGAGAUAACAGAAGUAUAUGAAGUAUACAGAUUGCUACAAACUGGUCUGUUUUUGACAGAUUCCGUUUUUGUUGUGUUGAUUGAUUAUUUUGAUGAAACUAUGGAUAGUAUCGGGGGGUACUAGCCAUGGAAAAGUGAGAAUACAGUAAUCUAACACCAAUAUAAAUAGAAAUCAAGUUUGCUACAGUACCUAAAGAGAUGAUAGUUUGUUUUCUUAUGCUAAUGAUAUCAUGAGUUUCUGUUUAAGUUUUGUGUUGUGAAGUUUUCAAGUUUUUGUUGAUGUUCUCAUGGACAAUGGGAUAAAGAGUGGAAAGAGCUCAAGCUUGGGGAUGACCAAGGCAUCCCAAGCCAAAUUCAGGGACACCAAAAAGCCUAAGCUUGGGGAUGCCCCGGGAAGGCAUCCCCUCUUCGUCUUCAAUCCAUCGGUAACGUUAUUUGGAGCUAUAUUUUUAUUCACCACAUGAUAUGUGUUUUGGUUGGAGCGUCGUGUAUUAUAGGAGUCUUUUAUUUUUGUUGUGUCACAAUCAUCCUUGCUGCAUACCUUCUUGAGAGAGAGACAUGCACUCAUCGUGAUUUUGCUAGAAUACUCUUUGAGCUUCGCUUAUAUCUUUUGAGUUAGGCAAUUUAGCUUGCAUGUACUUCACUUAUAUCUUUUUGAGCUAUAUAACUUUGCUCUAGUGCUUCACUUAGAUCUUUUUAGAGCACGACGGUGUCAUAUUUUGUAGAAAUAAGAACUCUCGAUCUUCACUUAUAUCUUUUUGAGAGUGCUCUCUGUGUGCAACUUGGUAAUUGGCUUGUGCUAUGAAAGUAGUCCAAAAGAUGAUAGGCAUCCAAAGAGGAUAUAAUAAAGACAUCCAUAUUCAUGUGCAUUGAUUAUAAAGUGAAGUUUGAUUCCUCUCAAUUAGUUUUGAGACAUGGAUUUGGUAAUAUUAGAGUUAUGUUAGUAUGGUGUUGUGAAUCUGUAAAUACUUGUGUUGAAGUUAGUGAUUCCCGCAGCAUGCACGUAUGGUGAACUGCUAUGUUAGAAAGUCGGAGCAUAAUUGAUUUAUUGAUUGUCAUCCUUUGUGUGGUGGUCGGGAUCGCGCGAUGGUUAACACCUACCAACCCUUCCCCUAGGAGUAUGCGUUUAGCACUUUGUUUUUUUACUAAUAAAACUUUUGCAAUAAGUAUAUGAGUUCUUCAUGACUAAUGUGAGUCCAUGGUAUAGAUGCACUUUCACCUGCCACCAUUGGUACCUUCUCUAGUGCCGCGCAACUUUCUCCGGUGCACAAACCCACCAUAUACCUUCCUCAAAACAGCCACCAUACCUACCUAUUAUGUCAUUUUCAUAGCCAUUCUGAGAUACAUUGCCAUGCAACUCCCACCGUUCUGUCUCAUGACUUGUGCCGUCACUUUCAUAUUGCCAUUGCAUGAUCGUAAGAUAGCUAGCGAGAUGUUUCAACGUCAUACGCUAAGCUAGAUCGUUGCACAACUCGGUACACUGUCGGAGGCAUUUCCUAUAGAGUCAUCAUUGCUCUAAGUGUUGAGUUGUGAGUAAAUAAAAGUGUGAUGAUCAUCAUUAUUAGACCAUUGUUCCAUGUGAGGAAAAAAAGAGACCAAAGUUUCCCACCAAAAAAAUGAAAAAAAAGAGGCCGAAGAGCCCAAACAAAAAAGGAGAAAAAAAGAAAGAGAGAAAAAGAGAGAGAAGGGACAAUGAUACUAUCUUUUUCCACACUUGUGCUUCAAAAUAGCACUAUGUUCUUCAUGAUAGAGAGUGUCUUGUUUUGACACUUCCAUAUACUAGUGGGAAUCUUCAUUAUAUAACUUGGCUUGUAUAUUGCAAUGAUGGGCUUCCUCAAAAUCGCCCUAGGUCUUCGUGAGCAAGCAAGUUGGAUGCACACCCACUAGUUCUUCUUUUGAGCUUUCACACACUUAUAGCUCUCGUGCAUCCGUUGCAUGGUAAUCCCUACUCAUUCACAUGGAUAUCUAUUGAUGGGCAUAUCCAUAGCCCUUUGAUACACCGAAUCAAUGUGACCAUCUCCUCCUUUUUGCCUCACAACCUCCACCACACUCUAUUCCACCUAUAAGUGUUAUAUCCAUGGCUCACGCUCAUGUAUUGCGUGAGAGUUGAAAAAGUUUGAGAAAGUAAGAGUGCGAAAACAAUUACUUGGCCAAUACCGGGGUUGUGCAUGAUUUAAAUUCGUUGUGUGGGGAUGAUGGAGCAUAGGCAGACUAUAUUAUUUUGUAGGGAUAACUUUCUUUGGCCUUGUUAUUUCAAAAGUUCAUGAUUACUUUGCUAGUUUGCUUGAAGUAUUAUUGUUUUCGUGUCAAUAGCAAACUAUUGUUUUGAAUCUUACGGAUCUGAACAUUCAUGUCACAUGAAAGAAGUUACAAAGGACAAGUAUGUUAGGUAGCAUUCCACAUUAAAAAUUCGGUCUUUAUCACUUCCCUACUCGAGGACGAGCAUGAGUUGAGCUUGGGGAUGCUUGAUACGUCUCCAACGUAUCAAUAAUUUUUUAUGGUUCCAUGCUAUUAUCUUGUCAACUUUGGAUGUUUUGUAUGCAUGAAUAUGCUAUUUUAUAUCUUUUUUGGGACUAACCUAUUAACUCAGUGCCAAGUGCUAGUUCCUGUUUUUUCCGUGUUUUUGACCUUUUUCAGAGGAGAAUAUUGAACGGAGUCCAAACGAAAUAAAACCUGUGGAAUGAUUUUUUCCAUAACAGAAGACACGUAGGAAACUUAAGAACCAAGGCAGGGGGACCUCGGAGGAGGUCACAAGCCACCCAGGCCCGACCUAGGGGUGGCCGGGCCUAGCAGGCUUGCGGGCCCCCUGUGGCUCCCCUGCCCUAGUUCUUCCGCCUAUAAAUUCCCUAAAAAUCUGAAACCACGGGAGAGAUUGCUGAACUAUCUAUUGCACUAGAAAAGGAGUGCACUCUUCGUUUGGCUCUUGAGGAGUCAUACAACGAUGACUGCGCUAAAUUGCAAAAGGAACUAGAUCAUGCUAUUGUUCUUACUCGUAUGCUUAAGUCUGAAAAGGAUGCUCUUGGGGUUGGCCAUGACAGACUCAAAGUGGAGUUUGACACACUUGACAAGGCUCACAAGGUCUUGAAAGGUGCUCAUUUCUCCCUGAAAGAGUCUCAUGAUCAACUCCAAGCAAAGCUUACCAAGGAAAUCUCUACUUGUCCUCCUUUCGUUUUAAUUGAUAAUUCUUGUACAACUAACCCUUGUUGUGAGCAUGUACAUUUUGUGGAGGAAAAUGCCAAGUUGAAGGAUAAACUUGAGAAGGGCCUUGUGUCAUGCAUCCAAGGCGAGAACAACCCGAACGACCUUUUGAGCAAUCAAAAGGGUGUGGUAGGAAAGGAGGGACUUGGACUUACAUCCAAGUCAAAAAGAAAAAGGAAGAACAGGAACAAACGAUCCCCUACCCUCAUGGACAUCUUUGUCAAAGAGGGCGAGGGGACUCAAGAGGUGAACAGGAACAAGGUGGAGAAUGGUAGCGUCAGGAAGGGCAAAACCAUUCCUACCAACACAACCGACAAACUCAAUCCUUCCUAUGUUUUAUGUCGUGCUGGUGAUGGGCAUGUUUAUGCCAGAUUUGUUGGUUCUUACUAUGAGUCCAUUGAAUGGGCUAUUUGGGUUCCUAAGACCCUUGUCUCUAACAUUAAAGGACCCAUUCAAAAAUGGGUACCUAAACCAAGCCUUGAUCUAUUGCAGGAGUUUGCUUCCGGUGGGUGUCAUGGUUGCUCGAUAGUGGAGCAACAAAUCAUAUGACCGGAAGCAAGGACUUAGUGGUGGAUGUGCAUCAUUCCCCAUCUAUGCCCACCCAUGCCCAAUUCGCCGAUGCAUCAUCGUCAAAGGUAUUGCGAUUUGGUAAGGUGGUCAUCUCUCAAGAGUUAUCUAUUGAGAAGGUCAUGCUUGUUGAGUCCCUUGCUUACAAUUUACUUCCGGUUCGUCAACUUGCAAUUAUGGGCUUUUCCACAUUCUUUAAUCUUGAUACUGUGGUCCUUUUGUGGAGCAAGACUCUUAAAGUAGCCUAUGUUGGAUAUGUCGAAAAUGGUCUCUAUGUGGUGAACUUUUCAAAGAGACCCACCAAUAAUGCGACUUGUCUAAUGGCUAAAGUUGAUGUGGGCUGGCUUUGGCAUCACCGACUAGCUCAUGUCAAUAUGAGAUCUUUGCAAAGUCUCCUCAAAGGGGACCAUAUUCGUGGACUAACGAAUGUGAGUUUUGCCAGAGAUCGUGCUUGCAGUGCCUGCAUUGAAGGAAAGAUUCAUGAAACUGCUCAUCGUCCAACGACUCUCAUUUACACUAAGAGGCCGUUGGAGCUCCUUCAUAUGUAUCUCUUCGGUCCUCCAUCAUUUGAUAGUCUUGGGGGCAGAAAGUACUGCUUGGUGAUUGUUGAUGACUACUCAAGAUACACCUGGGUAUAUUUCUUCAAGAGGAAGAGUGAGACUCAACAAACUGUCAUCAACUUUGCUAAUGAAGCUCAACGUCAACAUGAAGCAAAGAUUUUGAUGAUUAGAAGUGACAACGGCACUGAGUUCAAGAACUAUACCUUGGAUGAGUUUCUAGGUGAUGAGGGAAUAAAACAUCAAUAUUCUGCACCAUAUAGCAUUCAACAAAAUGGUGUGGCGGAAAGGAAGAACCGGGCGUUGAUGGACGCUGCAAGAACAAUGAUGGCGGAAUUCAAAUCUCCAUAUAACUUUUGGGCCGAAGCCAUCAACACAGCAUGUCAUGCGUCCAAUCGCCUCUAUAUCCGCAAAGGCUUGAACAAGACCCCAUAUGAGAUUCCAACCGGAAACAAACCCAAUCUCAAGUACUUUCGAGUAUUCGGGUGUAAGUGUUUCAUUCUUAAGAAAGGUGCACGUUUAGCUAAAUUUGAUUCUAGAGCACAAGAGGGCAUCUUUGUUGGUUAUGCUACAAACUCUCAUGCUUACCGUGUCCUCAACAAGUCCACCGGGAUCAUUGAGGAGACGUGUAACGUGGAGUUUGAUGAAAAUAAUGGCUCCCAAGUGGAGCAAAGUGGUCUAUGUGAUGUAAGUGAUGAAAUUCCUCCCCAAGCCAUAAGAAGAAUGGGGAUUGGUCAAAUACUCCCCAUUGAGGAACCCCUUGUGGCCGAAGGAGAAGGACAAUGCUCUACUCAAGUGGAGCCAUCAUCCUCACAAGCCCCACACGCUUCCGAUGAACAAAGAGAAGACCCUCAGCCAGGUUAACAAGCUCAAGGACAAGAUCAAUUGCUCAAAGAUGGUGAUGUGUCCCAUGAUGUACAAGCGCUUACAUAAGGUUCCAAAUCUGCUCAAGAUCAAGAUCAAGUGCAACUACAAGAUCCAGACAAAAUAGAAGCACAAGACCGAGAUCAAGAGCAACCACAAGAACAAGGACAAACCAGUGAACCUGCUCAAGUCGACAACCAAGUUGAUCAGGAUGCUGUCUCUCAAUUCCCUUCUGCAGCGCCUAAGAGGGCUACUCGUGCCAAGGGAGGAUCAAAACGCUAGGGCAAGCAAAGUUAUCAAGUCGAUGCUCCCCAGUUAUCCAAUGCAGAACUCUUGGAGCGUCGCGCAGCCAAGAUUGCGAACAAGCUGAGAGUCAAGUCACAUCUUAUAAAGAAUGUGCUUGGCAGUUUGAAAAGGGGGUAUCCACUCGUCAACAAAUUUGGAAUUAUUGUGAGCAUCACGCGUUUGUUUCGUAUUGUGAACCUCAACAGGUACAGGAAGCGCUCGAUGAUGAGGAUUGGCUUAUGGCCAUGCAUGAAGAACUCAACAACUUCGAGCGUAAUCAAGUCUGGAAUUUAAUGGCAAGACCAAAGGAGGAACAUAAUGUCAUCGGGACCAAAUGGAUCUUCAAAAACAAGCAAGAUGCCAAUGGGAUUGUGAUUCGAAACAAGGCAAGAUUGGUGGCUCAAGGCUACUCCCUGCUACGUCAACAAAAGCACUUCCCUCGCAAUGGUGCCAGAGAUCCUUCUGUCGCCUCUUGAGCUUGCGUUGUUUUUCCCUUGAAGAGGAAAGGGUGAUGCAGCACAUGAGCAGUAAGUAUUUCCCUCAGUUUGAGAACCAAGGUAUCAAUCUAGUAGGAGAAUCUCGUCAAGUCCAGAGUACCUGCACAAACACAAAAGAGCUUGCGCCCAACACUGUAAAUGGGUUGUCAAUCCCUUUUAGAUUGUUUGCAAACUGAGAUCUGAAGGCGGAAAGUGCAACGAAGUAAAAAGUGUAAGGCCGAAAAUUUGGUGUGGAGUAGACCCGGGGGCCAUAGUGUUCACUAGAGGCUUCUCUCAAAAUAGCAAAUAUCAUGGUGGGUGAACAAAUUACUGUCGAGCAAUUGAUAGAACCGCGCAAAGUCAUGACGAUAUCUAAGGCAAUGAUCAUACAUAUAGGCAUCACGUCCGAGACAAGUAGACCGAUACUUUCUAUAUCUACUACUAUUACUCCACACAUCGACCGCUAUCCAGCAUGCAUCUAGUGUAUUGAGUUCAUGACGAACAGAGUAACGCCUUAAGCAAGAUGACAUGAUGUAGAGGGAUAAUCUCAAACCAAUGAUGAAAAUCCCAUCUUUUUACCCUUGAUGGCAACAACACGAUGCGUGCCUCGCUACCCCUUGUGUCACUGGGUGAGGUCACCGCAUGGUAUGAACCCAAAACCAAGCACUUCUCCCAUUGCAAGAAUCAUAGAUCUAGUUGGCCAAACAAAACCCACAACUCGAAGAGAAUUACAAGGAUAUGAAAUCAUGCAUAAGAGAGAUCGGAAGAAACUCAAAUAAGAUUCAUAGAUAAUCUGAUCAUAAAUCCACAAUUCAUCGGAUCUCGACAAACACACCGCAAAAGAAGAUUACAUCGGAUAGAUCUCCAUGAAGAUCAUGGAGAACUUUGUAUUCAAGAUCCAAGAGAGAGAAGAAGCCAUCUACCUACUAGCUAUGGACCCGUAGGUCUAUGGUGAACUACUCACGCAUCAUCAGAGAGGUCAUGGUGUUGAUGAAGAAGCCCUCUGUAUCCGAAUCCCCCCUCCGGCAGGGCACCGGAACGUGCCCCAGAUGGGACCUUGCGGAGACACAAGCUUGCGGCGGCGGAAAAGUUCCUGAUUUUUUCUGGGAUUUUAGGGAAUAUAUAGGCGAAAAACCUAGGGCAGAGGUGACCCAGGGAGCCCACAAGCCUGGACGGCGCGGGCUCCCCCCUGACCGCGCCAUGAGGGCUUGUGGGGUCCCCGAGGACCCCCUGCCUUGGCUCUCAAGUCUCCCGAUCUUCUUCCGUUCUGGAAAAAAUCUUUUCGAAAGUUUUAUUCCGUUUGGACUCCGUUCAAAAUCCUCCUUUGAAAGGGGUCAAAAACAUGGAAAAACAGGAACUGGCACUUGGCACCGAGUUAAUAAGUUAGUCCCAAAAAAUAUAUAAAAGGUAUACAAAACAUCCAAAGUUUGACAAGAUAAUAGCAUGAAACCAUAAAAAAUUAUAGAUACGUUGGAGACGUAUCAUCUACCAAACUCGCAACUCAGAUAUUCAUCUCUAUGAUCAUAUCGUGGACAUUUCAUCCUCUUGACAGGACGAUCUUCAACUUCACAAUGAAAUUGCUUGAACCUUUCGACAAUUCAGACCCGUGAUUCAUCAAGUAAAUACACCUGUAUCUACUCAAAUCAUUUGUGAAGUAAGAACAAAACAAUACUAGUGUGUGCUUUAACACUCAUUGGACUGCAUACAUCAAAAUGUAUUAUUUCCAAUAAGUCACUUGCUCGUUCCAUCUCACUGGAAAACGAGGCAUUCAGUCAUCUUGCCCAUGUGGCAUGAUUUGCACGUCUCAAGUGAUUCAAAAUCAAGUGAGUCCAAAAGAUCCAUGUGCAUGGAGUUUCUUCAUGCGUUUACACCAAUUGGCAUGGUUCACAUGUCUCAAACGCUUCAAAAACGAGUGAGUCCAAAUAUCCAUCAACAUGGAGCUUUUUCAUGCAUUUUAUACCAAUAUGACUUAAGCGACAUUGCCACAAAUAAGUGGUACUAUUAUUACUACUUUGUAUCUUUUCGCAUCAAUAUUAUGAACAUGCGUACCACUACGAUCGAGAUUCAAUAAACCAUUCAUAUUAGGUGCAUGACCAUUAAAGGUAUUAUUCAAGUAAACAGAGUAACUAUUAUUCACCUUAAAUGAGUGACCGUGUCACAAUAAACACAAUCCAAUCAUUUUCAUGUUUAAUGCAAACACCAAACAACAUUUAGGUCCAACACUAAUCCCGAAAGUAGGGGAGCGUGCGAUGGUGAUCACAUCAACCUUGGAAACACUUCCAACACACAUCGUCACCUCGCUUUUAGCUAGUCUCCGUCUAUUCCGUAGCUUUUAUUUCGAGUUACUAACAUUUAGCAACUGAACCGGUAUCUAAUACCCAUGUGUUGGGGAACGUCGCCUGGGAAACAAAAAUUUUCCUACGCGCACGAAGACCUAUCAUGGUGAUGUCCAUCUACGAGAGGGGAUAUUCGAUCUACGUACCUUGUAGACCGCAUAGCAGAAGCGUUAGUGAACGCGGUUGAUGUAGUGGAACGUCCUCACGUCCCUCGAUCCACCCCGAGAACCGUCCCACGAUCAGUCCCAUGAUCUAGUGCCGAACGGACGGCACCUCCGCGUUCAGCACACGUACAGCUCGACGAUGAUCUCGGCCUUCUUGAUACAGCAAGAGAGACAGAGAGGUAGAUGAGUUCUCUGGCAGCGUGACGGCGCUCCGGAGGUUGGUGAUGAUCUUAUCUCAGCAGGGCUCCGCCCGAGCUCCGCAGAAACGCGAUCUAGAGGUAAAACCGUGGAGAUAUGUGGUCGGGCUGCCGUGGCAAAGUUGUCUCAAAUCAGCCCUAAAACCUCCGUAUAUAUAGGGGGAAGAGGGGGAGCCUUCCCUUGGGGUCCAAGGACCCCCAAGGGGUUCGGCUGAGCCAAGGGGGGCAACCCUCCCCUUCCAAACCGAGUCCAACUAGGUUUGGAAGGAGGAGUCCUUCCCCCUUUUCCCACCUCCUCUUUUUUUUUCUCUUUGAUUUUCUUCCUAUGGCGCAUAGGGCCUUCUUGGACUGUCCCACCAGCCCACUAAGGGAUGGUGCGCCACCCCCAAGGCCUAUGGGCUUCCCCGGGGUGGGUUCCCCCCCCCCGGUGAACACCCGGAACCCAUUCGUCAUUCCCGGUAACUCCGAAAACCUUCCGGUAAUCAAAUGAGGUCAUCCUAUAUAUCAAUCUUCGUUUCCGGACCAUUCCGGAAAUCCUCGUGACGUCUGUGAUCUCAUCCGGGACUCCGAACAACAUUCGGUAACCAACCAUAUAACUCAAAUACGCAUAAAACAACGUCGAACCUUAAGUGUGCAGACCCUGCGGGUUCGAGAACUAUGUAGACAUGACCCGAGAGACUCCUCGGUCAAUAUCCAAUAGUGGGACCUGGAUGCCCAUAUUGGAUCCUACAUAUUCUACGAAGAUCUUAUCGUUUGAACCUCAGUGCCAAGGAUUCAUAUAAUCCCGUAUGUCAUUCCCUUUGUCCUUCGGUAUGUUACUUGCCCGAGAUUCGAUCGUCAGUAUCCGCAUACCUAUUUCAAUCUCGUUUACCGGCAAGUCUCUUUACUCGUUCCGUAAUACAAGAUCCCGCAACUUACACUAAGUCACAUUGCUUGCAAGGCUUGUGUGUGAUGUUGUAUUACCGAGUGGGCCCCGAGAUACCUCUCCGUCACACGGAGUGACAAAUCCCAGUCUCGAUCCAUACUAACUCAACGAACACCAUCGGAGAUACCUGUAGAGCAUCUUUAUAGUCACCCAGUUACGUUGCGAUGUUUGAUACACACAAAGCAUUCCUCCGGUGUCAGUGAGUUAUAUGAUCUCAUGGUCAUAGGAAAAAUACUUGACACGCAGAAAACAGUAGCAACAAAAUGACACGACCAAUAUGCUACGUCUAUUAGUUUGGGUCUAGUCCAUCACGUGAUUCUCCUAAUGACGUGAUCCAGUUAUCAAGCAACAACACCUUGUUCAUAAUCAGAAGACCCUGACUAUCUUUGAUCAACUAGCUAGCCAAGUAGAGGCUUGCUAGGGACAGUGUUUUGUCUAUGUAUCCACACAUGUAUAUAAGUCUUCAUUCAAUACAAUUAUAGCAUGGAUAAUAAACGAUUAUCUUGAUACAGGAAUUAUAAUAAUAACUAUAUUUAUUAUUGCCUCUAGGGCAUAAUUCCAACAGUCUCCCACUUGCACUAGAGUCAAUAAUCUACCCUCACAUCAUCAUGUGAAUUACAUUGUAAUAAAUCUAACACCCAUACAGUUCUAGUGUUGAUCAUGCUUUGCCCGUGGAAUGUUGGGUAACGUAGCAUAAAUUCAAAAAAUUUCCUACGCAUGUUCAGAUCUUCCUAUGGAGAGACCAGCAACGAGAGAGGGGUAAGAGCAUCUUCGUACCUUUGAAGAUCGCUAAGCGGAAGCGUUGCUAGAACGCGGUUGAUGGAGUCGUACUCGCAGCGAUUCCGAUCUAGUGCCGAACAACGGCACCUCCGCGUUCAACACACGUGCAGCCCGGUGACGUCUCCCGCACCUUGAUCCAGCAAGGAGGAGGGAGAGGUUGGGGAAGAAGACCAGAAACACGACGGCGUGGUGUUGGUGGAGAGACGAGGUCUCCCGGCAGGGCUUCGCCAAGCGCCGGCAGAGAGGAGGAGGAAGAAGUGCAGGGCUGCGCCGAGGGAGAGGGAAAACCGUGUCCUCCAAAGGCCAAAAGUGCCCACUAUAUAUAGGGGAAGGGGAGAGGGGGUGCCACCCCUAGGGUUCCCACCCUAGGGGGUGCGGCAGCCCUCCCAGAUGGGGUUUGUGGCGGCCAGAUGGGGAGGAGGGGGUGGCGCACCCCUCUGGUGGGCCUAAGGCCCACCUAAGUUAGGGUUCCCCCCCUCUUUUUCUUUCCCCUGCGCCAUGGGCUGAGUGGGGAGGCAUACCAGCCCAACUAGGGGCUGGUUCCCACCACCACUUAGCCCAUCUUACCUCUUGGGGUCGCAGCCCCCCUUCGGUGGUCCCCCGGGACCACCUCCGGUGGCCCCGGUGGUCCCGGUACGUUACCGGUGAUGCCCGAAACACUUCCGGUGUCCGAAACCAUCCGUCCUAUAUAUCAAUCUUUACCUCCGGACCAUUCCGGAGCUCCUCGUGACGUCCGGGAUCUCAUCCGGGACUCCGAACAACUUUAGGUAAUCUCGUAUAACAAUUCCCUAUAACCCUAGCGUCAUCGAACCUUAAGUGUGUAGACCCUACGGGUUCGGGAGACAGGCAGACAUGACCGAGACACCUCUCUGGCCAAUAACCAUCAGCGGGGUCUGGAUACCCAUGGUGGCUCCCACUAGCUCCACGAUGAUCUCAUCGGAUGAACCACGAUGUCAAGGAUUCAAUCAAUCCCGUAUACGAUUCCCUUUGUCUGUCGGUAUAGAACUUGCCCGAGAUUCGAUCGUCGGUAUGCCUAUACCUUGUUCAAUCUCGUUACCGGUAAGUCUCUUUACUCGUUCCGUAGCACGUCAUCGUGUGACUAACUCGUUAGUCACAUUGAGCUCAUGAUGAUGUUCUACCGAGUGGGCCCAGAGAUACCUCUCCGUCACACGGAGUGACAAAUCCCGAUCUCGAUUCGUGCCAACCCAACAGACACUUUCGGAGGUACCCGUAGUGAACCUUUAUAGUCACCCAAUUACGUUGUGACGUUUGAUACACCCAAAGCACUCCUACGGUAUCCGGGAGUUGCACAAUCUCACGGUCGAAGGAAAAGAUACUUGACAUUAGAAAAACAUUAGCAUACGAACAACACGAUCUAGUGCUAGGCUUAGGAUUGGGUCUUGUCCACCACAUCAUUCUCCCAAUGAUGUGAUCCCGUUAUCAAUGACAUCCAGUGUCCAUGAUCAGGAAACCAUGAUCAUCUAUUGACUAACGAGCUAGCUAACUAGAGGCUUGCUAGGGACACAUUGUGAUCUAUUCAUUCACACAUGUAUUAGUGUUUCCUGUUAAUACAAUUAUAGCAUGAACGAUAGACUAUUAUCAUGAACAAGAAAAUAUGAUAAUAACCAUUUUAUUAUUGCCUCUAGGGCAUAUUUCCAACAUGGAAGAGGUUUAGUCAGCGGGUCUGCUACAUUCAGAUCCGUGUGCGCUUUGCAUAUAUUUACGUCCUCCCCUUCGACGUAGUCGCGGAUGAGGUUGAAGCGUCGUUUGAUGUGUCUGGACUUCUUGUGAAACCGUGGUUUCCUUUGCUAGGGCAAUGGCACCCGUGUUGUCACAGAACAAGGUUAUUGGAUUCAGUGCGCUUGGCACUACUCCAAGAUCCGUCAUGAACUGCUUCAUCCAGACACCCUCCUUAGCCGCCUCCGAGGCAGCCAUGUACUCCGCUUCACAUGUGGAAUCUGCUAUGACGCUUUGCUUGGAACUGCACCAGCUUACCGCACCCCCAUUAAGAAUAAAUACGUAUCCGGUCUGUGACUUAGAGUCGUCCGGAUGUGUGUCAAAGCUUGCGUCGACGUAACCCUUUACGGCGAGCUCUUCGUCACCUCCAUACACGAGAAACAUAUCCUUAGUCCUUCUCAGGUACUUCAGGAUAUUCUUGACCGUCGUCCACUGAUCCACUCCUGGAUUACUCUGGAACCUGCCUGCCAUACUUAUGGCCAAGCUAACGUCCGGUCUAGUGCACACCAUUGCAUACAUGAUAGAACCUAUGGCUGAAGCAUAGGGGACGGUGCUCAUAUGCUCUCUAUCUUCAUAAGUUGCUGGGCACUGAGUCUUACUCAAUCUCGUACCUUGUAAAAUUGGCAAGAACCCUUUCUUGGACUGUUCCAUUUUGAACCUCUUCAAAACUUUAUCAAGGUAUGUGCUUUGUAAAAGUCCUAUCAGGCGUUUCGAUCUAUCCCUGUAGAUCUUAAUGCCUAGAAUGUAAGCAUCUUCUCCUAGGUCCUUCAUAGAGAAACUUUUAUUCAAGUAAUCCUUUAUGCUCUCCAAAAACUCUACGUUGUUUCCAAUCAGCAAUAUGUCAUCCACAUAUAAUAUUAGAAACGCCACAGAGCUCCCACUCACUUUCUUGUAAAUACAAGAUUCUCCAACCACUUGUAUAAACCCAAAUGCUUUGAUCACCUCAUCAAAACGCUUGUUCCAACUCCGAGAUGGUUGCACCAGCCCAUAAAUGGAUCGCUGGAGCUUGCACACCUUGUUAGCAUUCUUAGGAUCGACAAAACCUUCGGGUUGCAUCAUAUACAACUAUUCCUUAAGGAAACCGUUAAGGAACGCCGUUUUGACAUCCAUCUGCCAGAUUUCAUAAUCGAAAAAUGCAGCUAUUGCUAACAUGAUUCUGACGGACUUAAGCAUCGCUACGGGUGACAAUGUCUCAUCGUAGUCAACUCCUUGAACUUGUGAAAAACCCUUUGCCACAAGUCGAGCUUUAUAAACGGUCACAUUGCCGUCAGCAUCCGUCUUCUUCUUAAAGAUCCAUUUGUUCUGAAUAGCCUUGCGGCCCUCAGGUAGUACUUCCAAAGUCCAUACUUUGUUCUCAUACAUGGAUCCUAUCUCGGACUUCAUGGCCUCUAGCCAUUUGUUGGAAUCUGGGCCCACCAUUGCUUCUUCAUAAUUUGCAGGUUCAUUAUUGUCUAACAACAUGAUUGACAUGACGGGAUUACCGUACCACUCUGGAGCAGCACGUGGUCUCGUCGACCUGCGUGGUUCGACAGGAACUUGAACCGGAGUUUCAUGAUCAUCAUCAUUAACUUCCUCCUCAACCGGCGUCGCAAUGACAGAGGAUUCCCCUUGCCCUGCGCCACUAUCUAGAGGGAUGAGAGGUUCGACAACCUCAUCAAGUUCUAUCUUCCUCCCACUCAAUUCUCUCGAGAGAAACUCCUUCUCGAGAAAAGCUCCGUUUUUAGCAACAAAUACUUUGCCCUCGGAUUUGAGAUAGAAGGUGUAUCCAACUGUCUCUUUUGGGUAACCUAUGAAGAUGCACUUUUCCGCUUUGGGUUCCAGCUUUUCAAGCUGAAGCUUUUUGACAUAAGCAUCACAUCCCCAAACUUUAAGAAAUGACAACUUUGGCAUUUUGCCAUACCACAGUUCGUAUGGUGUCGUCUCAACGGAUUUUGAUGGUGCCCUAUUUAAAGUGAAUGCAGCUGUUUCUAAUGCAUAACCCCAAAACGAUAACGACAAAUCGGUAAGAGACAUCAUAGAUCGCACCAUCUCUAAUAAAGUACGAUUACGACGUUCGAACACACCAUUACGCUGUGGUGUUCCAGGCGGUGUCAACCGUGAAACAAUUCCACAUUGUCUUAAGUGAGCACCAAACUCGAAACUCAGAUAUUCACCCCCACGAUCAGACCGUAGGAACUUGAUCUUCUUGUUACGAUGAUUUUCAACUUCACUCUGAAAUUGCUUGAACUUUUCAAAUGUUUCAUACUUGUGCUUCAUUAAGUAGACAUAACCAUAUCUACUCAAAUCGUCAGUGAAGGUGAGAAAAUAACGAUAUCCGCCGCGUGCCUCUACGCUCAUGGGACCGCACACAUCGGUAUGUAUGAUUUCCAACAAGUCACUUGCACGCUCCAUUGUUCCGGAGAACGGAGUUUUAGUCAUCUUGCCCAUGAGGCAUGGUUCGCACGUGUCAAGUGAAUCAAAGUCAAGUGACUCCAAAAGUCCAUCGGCAUGGAGUUUCUUCAUGCGCUUUACACCAAUAUGACCUAAGCGGCAGUGCCACAAAAAUAUGGCGCUAUCAUUGUUAACUCUAAUUCUUUUGGUCUCAAUGUUAUGUAUGUGUGUAUCACUAUCAAGAUUCAAUAUGAACAAUCCUCUCACAUUGGGUGCAUGACCAUAAAAGAUGUUACUCAUAGAAAUAGAACAACCAUUAUUCUCUAACUUAAAAGAGUAAUUGUCUCGCAAUAAACAAGAUCCAGAUAUAAUGUUCAUGCUCAACGCAGGCACUAAACAACAAUGAUUCAAGUUCAUAACUAAUCCUGAUGGUAACUGAAGUGAAACUGUGCCGACGGCGAUUGCAUCAACCUUGGAACCAUUUCCUACGCGCAUCGUCACUUCAUCUUUCGCCAGCCUUCGUCUAUUCCGCAGUUCCUGUUUCGAGUUGCAAAUAUGAGCAACAGAACCGGUAUCGAAUACCCAGGCACUACUAUGAGAGCCGGUUAAGUACACAUCAAUAACAUGUAUAUCAAAUAUACCUGAUUUUUCUUUGGCUGCCUUCUUAUCAGCCAGAUACUUGGGGCAGUUGUGCUUCCAGUGACCCAUACCCUUGCAAUAGUAACACUUUGUUUCAGGCUUAGGUCCAGCUUUGGGUUUCUUCGUCGGAUUGGCAACAGGCUUGCCGCUCUUCUUUGAAUUACCCUUCUUGCCUUUGCCGUUUCUCUUGAAACUGGUGGUCUUAUUCACCAUCAACACUUGAUGCUCUUUACGGAGUUCAGACUCUGCGACUUUCAGCAUCGCAAACAACUCGCCGGGUGACUUGUUCAUCCCUUGCAUGUUGUAGUUCAACACAAAGCCUUUAUAGCUUGGCGGCAGUGAUUGAAGGAUUCAGUCAGUGAUAGCCUCUUGCGGGAGUUCAAUCCCCAGCUCAGCUAGACGGUUUGAGUACCCAGACAUUUUGAGCACAUGUUCACUGACAGACGAGUUCUCCUCCAUCUUGCAAGCAUAGAAUUUAUCGGAGGUCUCAUACCUCUCGAUCCGGGCGUUCUUCUGAAAGAUGAACUUCAACUCCUGGAACAUCUCAAAUGCUCCAUGAUGCUCAAAGUGACGUUGAAGUCCCGGUUCUAAGCCAUACAAGACUGCACAUUGAACUACUGAGUAGUCCUCCUUACGUGUUAACCAAGCGUUCUUAACAUCCUGGUCAGCCGUAGCGGGUGGUUCAUCUCCUAGCGCAAAAUUAAGGACAUAAUCCUUCUUCCCAGCUUGUAAGAUUAGCUUAAGAUUACGAGCCCAGUCUACAAAGUUGCUUCCAUCAUCUUUCAACUUAGCUUUCUCUAGGAACAUAUUAAAAUUAAGGGUGACUGUCGCGUGAGCCAUGAUCUACAACACAAAUAUAUUCAAAGUGGACUUAGACUAUGUUCAAGAUAAUUAGAGUUUAACUUAAUCAAAUUACUCGCUAAACUCCCACUCAAAAAGUACAUCUCUCUAGUCAUUUGAGUGGUUCAUGAUCCACUUACACUAGCUCAAGUCCGAUCAUCACGUGAGUUGAGUAUAGUUUCAGUGGUAAGCAUCCCUAUGCUAAUCAUAUCAUCUAUAUGAUUCAUGAUAGACCUUUCGGUCUCAUGUGUUCCGAGGCCAUGUCUGCACAUGCUAGGCUCGUCAAGCUUAACCCGAGUGUUCCGCGUGUGCAACUGUUUUGCACCCGUUGUAUGUGAACGUUGAGUCUAUCACACCCGAUCAUCACGUGGUGUCUCGAAACGACGAACUGUAGCAACGGUGCACAGUCGGGGAGAACACAAUUUCGUCUUGAAAUUUUAGUGAGAGAUCACCUUAUAAUGCUACCGUCGUUCUAAGCAAAAUAAGGUGCAUAAAAGGAUUAACAUCACAUGCAAUUCAUAAGUGACAUGAUAUGGCCAUCAUCACGUGCUCCUUGAUCUCCAUCACCAAAGCACCGCCACGAUCUUCUUGGCACCGGCGCCACACCAUGAUCUCCAUCAACGUGUCGCCAUCGGGGUUGUCGUGCUACUCAUGCUAUUACUACUAAAGCUACAUCCUAGCAAAAUAGUAAACGUAUCUGCAAGCACAAACGUUAGUUUAAAGACAACCCUAUGGAUCCUUCCGGUUGCCGUACCAUCGACAUGCAAGUCGAUAUUAUCUAUUACAACAUGAUCAUCUCAUACAUCCAAUAUAUCACAUCACAUCGUUGGCCAUAUCACAUCACAAGCAUACCCUGCAAAAACAAGUUAGACGUCCUCUAAUUUUGUUGUUGCAUGUUUUACGUGGUGACCAUGGGUAUCUAGUAGGAUCGCAUCUUACUUACGCAAACACCACAACGGAGAUAUAUGAAUUGCUAUUUAACCUUAUACAAGGACCUCCUCGGUCAAAUCCGAUUCAACUAAAGUUGGAGAAACUGACACUUGCCAAUCAUCUUUGAGCAACGAGGUUACUCGUAGCGAUGAAACCAGUCUCUCGUAAGCGUACGAGUAAUGUCGGUCCAAGCCGCUUCAAUCCAAUAAUACCGUUGAAUCAAGAAAAGACUAAGGAGGGCAGCAAAACGCACAUCACCGCCCACAAAAACUAUUGUGUUCUACUCGAGAAGACAUCUACGCAUGAACCUAGCUCAUGAUGCCACUGUCGGGGAACGUCGCAUGGGAAACAAAAAUUUCCUACGCGCACGAAGACCUAUCUGUUGGAAUUAUGCCCUAGAGGCAAUAAUAAACGUAUAGUUAUUGUUAUAAUUCCUGUAUCAAGAUAAUAGUUUAUUAUCCAUGCUAUAAUUGUAUUGAAUGAAGACUCAUUUACAUGUGUGGAUACAUAGACAAAACACCGUCCCUAGCAUGCCUCUAGUUGGCUAGCCAGUUGAUCGAUGAUAGUCAGUGUCUUCUGAUUAUGAACAAGGUGUUGUUGCUUGAUGACUGGAUCACGUCAUUGGGAGAAUCACGUGAUGGACUAGACCCAAACUAAUAGACGUAGCAUGUUGAUCGUGUCAUUUUGUUGCUACUGUUUUCUGCGUGUCAAGUAUUUAUUCCUAUGACCAUGAGAUCAUAUAACUCACUGACACCGGAGGAAUGCUUUGUGUGUAUCAAACGUCGCAACGUAACUGGGUGACUAUAAAGAUGCUCUACAGGUAUCUCCGAAAGUGUUAGUUGAGUUAGUAUGGAUCAAGACUGGGAUUUGUCACUCCGUGUGACGGAGAGGUAUCUCGGGGCCCACUCGGUAAUACAACAUCACACAUAAGCCUUGCAAGCAAUGUAACUUAGUGUAAGUUGCGGGAUCUUGUAUUACGGAACGAGUAAAGAGACUUGCUGGUAAACGAGAUUGAAAUAGGUAUGCGGAUACUGACGAUCGAAUCUCGGGCAAGUAACAUACCGAAGGACAAAGGGAAUGACAUACGGGAUUAUACGAAUCCUUGGCACUAAGGUUCAAACGAUAAGAUCUUCGUAGAAUAUGUAGGAUCCAAUAUGGGCAUCCAGGUCCCGCUAUUGGAUAUUGACCGAGGAGUCUCUCGGGUCAUGUCUACAUAGUUCUCGAACCCGCAGGGUCUGCACACUUAAGGUUCGACGUUGUUUUAUGCGUAUUUGAGUUAUAUGGUUGGUUACCGAAUGUUGUUCGGAGUCCCGGAUGAGAUCACGGACGUCACGAGGGUUUCCGAAAUGGUCCGGAAACGAAAAUUGAUAUAUAGGAUGACCUCAUUUGAUUAUCGGAAGGUUUUCGGAGUUACCGGGAAUGUACCGGGAAUGACGAAUGGGUUCCGGGAGUUCACCGGAGGGGGGCAACCCACUCCGGGGAAGCCCAUAGGCAUUUGGGGGGGUCACACCAGCCCUUAGUGGGCUGGUGGGACAGCCCACCAAUCCCCUAUGCGCCAAGAUAGAAAAUCAAAGGGAAGAAGAAAAAAAAGGAGGAAGUGGGAAGGGGGAAGGACUCCCUCCCACCAAACCAAGUAGGACUCGGUUUGGGGGGGGAGAGUCCUCCCCCCUGGCUCGGCCGACCCCUUGGGGAUCCCUUGGACCCCAAGGCAAGGUCCCCCUCCCUCCUCCUAUAUAUAUGGGGCUUUUAGGGCAGAUUUGAGACGACUUUCUCACGGCUGCCCGACCACAUACCUCCAUAGUUUUUCCUCUAGAUCGCGUUUCUGCGGAGCUCGGGCGGAGCCCUGCUGAGACGAGAUCAUCACCAACCUCCGGAGCGCCUUCACGCUACCGGAGAACUCUUCUACCUCUCCGUCUCUCUUGCUGGAUCAAGAAGGCCGAGAUCAUCGUCGAGCUGUACGUGUGCUGAACGCGGAGGUGCCGUCCGUUCGGUACUAGAUCGUGGGACUGAUCGCGGGAUUGUUCGCGGGGCGGAUCGAGGGACGUGAGGACGUUCCACUACAUCAACCGCGAUCUCUAAUCGCUUCUACUGUACGAUCUACAAGGGUACGUAGAUCACUCAUCCCCUCUCGUAGAUGGACAUCACCAUGAUAGGUCUUCGUGCGCGUAGGAAAAUUUUUGUUUCCCAUGCGACGUUCCCCAACACUAUCAUGGUGAUGUCCAUCUACUAGAGGGGAUAUUCGAUCUACGUACCCUUGUAGACCGCACAGCAGAAGCGUUAGUGAACGCGGUUGAUGUAGUGGAACGUCCUCACAUCCCUCGAUCCGCCCCGCGAACCGUCCCGCGAUCAGUCCCACGAUCUAGUGCCGAACGGACGGCACCUCCGCGUUCAGCACACGUACAGCUCGACGAUGAUCUCGGCCUUCUUGAUCCAGCAAGAGAGACGGAGAGGUAGAUGAGUUCUCCGGCAGCGUGACGGCGCUCCGGAGGUUGGUGGUGAUCUUAUCUCAGCAGGGCUCCGCCCGAGCUCCGCAGAAACGCGAUCUAGAGGUAAAACUGUGGAGAUAUGUUGUCGGGCUGCCGUGGCAAAGUUGUCUCAAAUCAGCCCUAAAACCUCCGUAUAUAUAGGGGGAAGAGGGGGAGCCUUGCCUUGGGGUCCAAGGACCCCCAAGGGGUUCGGCCGAGCCAAGGGGGGCAACCCUCCCCUUCCAAACCGAGUCCAACUAGGUUUGGAAGGAGGAGUCCUUCCCCCUUUUCCCACCUCCUCUUUUUUUUCUCUUUGAUUUUCUUCCUAUGGCGCAUAGGGCCUUCUUGGGCUGUCCCACCAGCCCACUAAGGGCUGGUGCGCCACCCCCAAGGCCUAUGGGCUUCCCCGGGGUGGGUUGCCCCCCCCCCCCCCCCGUGAACACCCGGAACCCAUUCGACAUUCCCGGUACAUUCCCGGUAACUCCGAAAACCUUUCGGUAAUCAAAUGAGGUCAUCCUAUAUAUCAAUCUUCGUUUCCGGACCAUUCCGGAAACCCUCGUGACGUCCGUGAUCUCAUCCGGGACUCCGAACAACAUUCGGUAACCAACCAUAUAACUCAAAUACGCAUAAAACAAUGUCAAACCUUAAGUGUGCAGACCCUGCGGGUUCGAGAACUAUGCAGACAUGACCCGAGUGACUCCUCGGUCAAUAUUCAAUAGCGGGACCUGGAUGCCCAUAUUGGAUCCCACAUAUUCUACGAAGAUCUUAUCUUUUGAACCUCAGUGCCAAGGAUUCAUAUAAUCCCGUAUGUCAUUCCCUUUGUCCUUCAGUAUGUAACUUGCCCGAGAUUCGAUCGUCAGUAUCCGCAUACCUAUUUCAAUCUCGUUUACCGGCAAGUCUCUUUACUCGUUCCGUAAUACAAGAUCCCGCAACUUACACUAAGUCAUAUUGCUUGCAAGGCUUGUGUGUGAUGUUGUAUUACCGAGUGGGCCCCGAGAUACCUCUCCGUCACACGGAGUGACAAAUCCCAGUCUCGAUCCAUACUAACUCAACGAACACCUUCGGAGAUACCUGUAGAGCAUCUUUAUAGUCACCCAGUUACGUUGCGACGUUUGAUACACACAAAGCAUUCCUCCGGUGUCAGUGAGUUAUAUGAUCUCAUGGUCAUAGGAACAAAUACUUGACACGCAGAAAACAAUAGCAACAAAAUGACACGAUCAAUAUGCUACGUCUAUUAGUUUGGGUCUAGUCCAUCACGUGAUUCUCCUAAUGACGUGAUCCAGUUAUCAAGCAACAACACCUUGUUCAUAAUCAGAAGACCCUGACUAUCUUUGAUCAACUGGCUAGCCAACUAGAGGCUUGCUAGGGAUAGUGUUUUGUCUAUGUAUCCACACAUGUAUAUAAGUCUUCAUUCAAUACAAUUAUAGCAUGGAUAAUAAAUGAUUAUCUUGAUACAGGAAUUAUAAUAAUAACUAUAUUUAUUAUUGCCUCUAGGGCAUAAUUCCAACACCAUGUGCUACUAGGAGUACUAGUAAAGUACACAUCAAUAACACGUAUAUCUAAUACACUUCUCUUGACAUGCCAGCCUUCUUAUCUACCAAGUGUUUAGCGCAGUUCCGCCUCACUAAUCAUUCCCCUCAUCAUAGAAGCACAAAGUCUCGGGUCUGGGUUCAACCUUGGGCUUUUUAUUUGGAGUGGCAACUGAUUUAUCAUUCUCAAAGUUUCCCUUCUCUCCAUUGCCCUUCUUGAAACUAGUGAUUUUACUAACCAUCAACACUUGAUGCUCCUUCUUGAUUUCUACCUUCAUGGUGUCGAACAUCGUGAAUAGAUCAGGGAUCAUCUUCUCUAUCCCUGGUAUGCUAUUGUUCAUCACGAAGCUCAAUAGCUUAGUGGCAGUGGCUUUGGAGAACUAUGUCAAUCACCAUCUCAUCUGGAAGAUCAACUUCCACCCGAUUCAAGUAAUCGUAGCACCCAGACAAUCUCGAUUAAGAAGGAACAAUUAAGAAGGGGGAUGAACUCGACGAACGUGAGAUUUUAUAAAGUUCAAUGUUGAUGGAGAUUUUCAUGUUGACUCACUCCAAGGAUUGAUAGUUUCAGAGGAGGAGAUGGCCAACUUAUCAAUUGAGAAAAUAAGCAGAUUGAUAGUUGUGUUGAUGCUCUCUCGACUGAAGGAGGAACCUUGUGAUUUGGCUUGUUGCUAGCACAAGCCGUUGGGUGUAAUAGGGUGAUCAUCAACUCAGAUAACAUUGUGGUAAUUAAUACAAUGAAUGGUGGAGGUCGAUUUGCGGGUUAGUUGUUGCCAUCUUUGAUGAUUGUUUCCAUUUGUCAUGUGAGUUUAUUAUAUACAACUAAUUUUGACACUGCUAUCGUGAGGCAAACGAAGUUGCACAUGAAUUGGCGAGGAUGGUAGAAGGAAUGUUUGUAGUGAAUGGACGGAGGAAGCACAUGCGAAGCUUCUCCAAUUUUUGAUUAAUGAUAGGGAGUGUCUAUUUGACAUUUGACUGAAAAUAAAUUGGGCAUCAGUCAAGUUUUCUAAACAAUAAUAGAAUAACUUAGGUCAAAACAGUGGAACAUAUAAAGUUACAGUGUAUUUACUGAUGAAGUUACACUGUAAACACCCACAAAUUACAGUCAUAGAUCCCACGAAUUACACUCCAAAUCCCCUAGAAUUACAGUUGCAAAAACUGAUGAACUUACAGUGUAAAAACUGAUGAAUUUACACUGUAAAUACCAAAUAAGUACAGUGUAAAUCACCAAGAAGUACAAUGUAAAUACUAAAAAGUAUAGUUAUUGAAGUCCAAAAAUACAUACUACAUACACAACGCCUAAAAACCAGAGUUCUCAACGCGAAUCUUAGCGCCUGAUCGGACGAACAAAAAAUUGAAUGACAGCGAAUUGAAAAACACUCGACUGUAAAAUAGCAAAACCGUAAUGAUAUGACCAUUACUACAAGUUUAUAAAGCAUGUGGUUUAAUGUAAAAAAACAUCUCAUUCCUAAAUCACAAAUAUAUCUUCAGUAUUUGGUACCCACAUUAGUUGUUUUGCAAAACCAACGUAUCAUUCAUAAAUAACAAAGAUUAUAAAUUAUGUCCUUUAUGAAUCACCAUCACGUAACCUAUUUUUUCCCGUAAGUCAUACGUUUGCUCCCACAUUGCGAAUUUACCGGCAUCAUGUUACAGUGUUAUUUUCUUCAAAAAGAAGAACAAUAAAUAAUGUAUCACCACCCGUCGCAAGAGAGAAGGCUAUUGACAACCCCCCCCCCUCCCGGGCCCCAAACCCUUAAUAAAGCCCCCUACCAUCGAAUUUCCGAUGCGAGGCUACAGUCAAAGUACAUUGCUGCUGUCAUUUGAUCAAGUUUAAGACUCCCUCAAUUUUCAUUGCUUGCUUGGUUGUUGUAAUAGAGGAAAUUCGUGGAAGAUGUCGGUGUUUCUCGCGAAGUGUUUGACGUCACACGAGAGCAAGUCAUGCUCAACAAGCAUGGUUCCAAAAUAUCUAUACCUAAUAAUAAAGCGGCUAUUGCUUUCGUCGGAAAACCCACCGUGGUAUUUUUAUAAAAAAGUCCCUCUAAUUUUUGUUAUUCAACCCGCGCUCCAUCAUUUAUCUGCAACGCAAAAGAAAAAACGAUUCGCUGCAAAAAUUAUACCCGUAUGCAUCGCCUCCUCCCGUUGACCCUGGGCCACCCUGGCCUGUGCCCAGGCCGCUGCUACACCACUCGCCGCCGCGGUCGACCUCAACCGCCACCGCUGCCGAUCUCAACUCACCCGCCUCCGCGGCCGUACCUCUCCCCGCUCACUGCCCCUGUUGCGGCGCUCGAGCGCAUCGCGUCGACCCUGGUCCACCCUGGCCUGUGCCCAAGCCGCUACCACACCACUCACCGCCGCGGCCGACCUCAACCACCAUUGUUGUCGAUCUCAACCCACCUGCCUCCGCGGCCGUACCUCUGCCCGCUUGCUGCCCCCGUUUCGGCGCUCGAGCACAGCUUCUGGAUCAAAUCAACGCGACAACUGCAGUGACUGGGGAUGAUCCGUCUGCUUGAUGCAGAACGACGGCGGCGCGCGGAUAAGGCGCGGCGGAGCGAAGUACUUGCAGGUGGAGGCGGCCCUCCAUGGCUCACAGGGGGAACUCCGAGGUUAUGGCGCGGCAACGGCGACUCCUUAUGGCCAGAUAGAGGCGCCUAACCCUUGCUCCCCUCAUCGUAUCCCCUCCUCCGACAGGAACUCAUCAUCUGGUGAGAUCCCCUCCCCAUGCCUCCAACCGUGUGCCAAUCACCAGCAAGAAAUUUUAUUUUAUGGCAAUUUGUUUGCUGAUGAAUAAAUGUAUUGAAUGUAAGAUUAUAUUGUUGUAGAGAUAGAGAAUGGAACACCACCUUCAGUUUGUCUUCUGAUCCCACAUUCUCUACACCAUGAGUGAAAUAAGAUAAUAGUCCACUGAUCAAUUCACGUAGCCUCUUUGUUUUGCUUUGCUUGUCCCGCUCAAUUUCUCAUCAUGGUGGAAUUAACAAUGAACGAGUUGAUUUCUCAACAAAAUAGGAUAGGACUGACUACAUUAGUUAGUUAGCUUAUUAUUUUAAUAAAUCAAAAUGAUUAUAAAAAGAUUAAAAACGUGUGGUCUUUUUUUCUGUCGUUACAACGCAUGAGCCCUUUUACUAGUAAUAAUAACUCUUUUUUCGUUGUGAAAUUUUAAAUUAGACUAUAUUUAUUGUUCCGUUAGAACGCACAGGUAUUUACCUACAUACGAGGACGACAGCAGAGCCGACGUCACACCCUUUCUUGUCGCAUACGAGCGCUGAUGCCGUAGUAGGGACACAUGCUUAACAUGUAUUUGCACGUAUUAUAACUAAUCGCUGAGUCACCAGAGAUAACAAAACCAUCAAAGCAAGACAAAAAGGAGCUUUCAUAAAAGUACAAUGGACAAAGCAUUUAGGUGCUUGACAGUGCGGCCCUAUCUUCUCCUCUUGACAGUGCUGCUGCCUGGGUGGACAGCGCGCUAGCAGCAACCCAGGACAGGUCCUCCACGGAUGGACGCCCCUGUCGGGCCAUCACAGGAUGAAUGCCGCAGCGGCCCCAACUAACAAUCAUCCAAAACGCCCAUGAUUCGUCGAACGCAACCGCCGAAUCCAACCACACAAGUAUAAACACGCACAACCGACAUUCGACACUCAGGAAACUGGCACCGGCAGCAAAUCUGAAUAAAAAGGCUCAGUCCAACACAUGCUCUCUCACUCGGGGUGAUUCAGAGUUCACAUAGUUCUGCAGGUACAUACAUACAAACGUGGUGUGCUCUUUGCAACUGCAACCAAGGGCGUGUUUGGUCCGCGGCACAUAUUUGGUUCAGAUAGUGGCGACAGGCGCGAUGAACCCGAUGUUGAAGCCGAAGGAGAUGCAGGUCAGUUCCUCUUUCUUGUCCCCCAGCAGCUUCAUCUGGAGACUGUAAGAGCCCUGAAGCACAUCACAACAGCACAAAACGUCAGGAUGUCUGGAUGUGAUAUUACUUACAUCAACCUACUUAGUCCGUCUCAGCACUACAAGAGAAUAUAUUGACAGGUUCAGCACCAAAACUGAAUGUACACUGCGAGUAUGCUUACUGGUGGGGUGAAAGAUGGCAGAGUCUGUUCGCUGGUUAGCACGAAUUCGCCGGUUGCGGGACAGGGAGUCCCAGCACAGAAGUCAUGAGUUUCUGAAUCGACGUGGAAGAAGAAGUACCACACAUCUACCACCAGCUUCCCUUUGGUGAUGGUUUUAUCUGUCAGGUGUAAACAGUAGUAACAAUGUAUUAGGGGGAUUCUGAGGAAGGAAUCAGCUAGAAAAAGCAUUCUAGUUAUAGAAAAAUACUCAUAAGAAGUGAAAUAUUGUAGACUGCGUGUGCCCAUGCUUGAUGCUUGUGUGUGUGUGCAGAUACUAGUAGCAGAUUCAAAAUGUACUACUACUAAGAAGAUCCAGCAGACAAACAGAAUCCACAGUUCAGCAGAAAUCCUAAUAAUUUCAAUAUUUAAGCCAUAGCGAGCAUGGUACUAACUAUGAAGUGGAAUCUGUAAAGUGUUUUGCAGGAACUACAUGUUAGAACUCACAUUUCUUUCAUCUCUUGGCUAUCAAAUACAAGCAUAGACAAACUCAAAUACAAGCAUAGACAAACAGAGGGAAGUGAUGGAAGUAAGGCCGAUAAGCAUGCACACAUUACUGGAAUUUGCGGCCAACAAAUAUUGGACGCUCCACAAUCCAAACAUCCAGGUGCAAAUAGAAUGACAGUACCAGCUGCCUUGUCCAAACUCCAAAGCAGUCUUGCAGAAACACCUAAAGACAGUUUCUAACACUGUCACACGCCACAGUAGGUCCUUCACAAACUCCAGUUCAUGGUUGAAAAAUUGAAAUGUGACGGCGCACAUGACUAAUUCACAUAUAACAGUACAUGGAUAGCGCCUGCGAAACCUUCAGCAGGGCAGUAAUUUGAUUCCUCUAAAAAGUUGAUACCUCAAAAGCAAAGCAAAAGUGCAUCGAUUUGAUAGGAGUUGACUACUGCAUACACACGGAGCCACCGAUCUAACUUCUGGAGUAGGCUGCUACCAGCAACAAGUCAAUAACAAGGAGUACUCUACUAACAAGCUAGAUUCAAGUUACUCGACAGCAGUCAUGAGCACACGGCGUCGCAAUUCAGCAGCCCAAUCGCAAGGAGUUCAGGCUAUUCGACGAAAUCUUACCCGUGGAGGCGGAGAUCUUGAAGGUGGCGGGCUUGCCGCGCACGACGGGGUCGGGGGAGAUCUCCACGCCGCUCACCUUCACCGGAUAGUGGCGGCCCUUAUCUGCGGAACCAAACACCAACAGAAGCUCGCAUCGCACACACAAUCCGCGGAAUCUCAAAAGUCAAAACGGGGAUGGUUUGGCGGCGGUAGGAGAGUUCGGAGCGCUCACUGCAGUACUCGAAGUCGGCGGCGGCGGCGCAGGAGGCGGAGAUCAGGAGCGCCGCGGCGAGGAGGAGCAGGUCGCGGAGGCGGCGGUUGGUCGCCAUCGCUGCGGAGGCAAAGCUCUGUGGUGUGGCGUGACUAGACCGGCAGGCAGGCAGGCAGGCAGAGAGGCAGGUGGACGCGAGUCGUGUCGCUGAGGAAGUGGGCCCGGUCAAUUCAAGGAGAGAGUUGUUGGCAGCAGUGUGCGUGGGGACUCCUAUUCGGCGCCUUCAACGCCGCUCCGGGGAACCGGCGCUUGCAGCGCUCCUUCUCAUGAACCGAUCAAUGUAAAAAUGCGUUGAUCAUUAAAAAAUUGAAAAAGUACAGAUUUCCAAAAAGUUCCAAUGAUCAUGAUUUUUUUUUUCAACUACUUUUGAAAUAUGUUCAUGAAUUUUCAAAAAAUUCACAGAAUUCGAAAAAAAAUCACCGAUUUAAAAAAAAAAUUCAUCAUUUUUCAAAAACAGCUCACUGAUUUUGAAAAAAGUUCAUAAAUUUUAAAUUAGGUUCAUCGAUUUUCAGAAAAAAUUACCAUUUUUUAAAACAUCAAUUUUUUUAAAAAGUUCUCCUAUUUCAAAAAAGUUCACGUGCUAAAACAGUUCACAGGCUAAAAAAAGUUCAUUAAGGAUCUUUAUACGGACCGACCCACAGCAGGCACUCGUUAGCAAUUUUACCUGUAACCGACGUCUGUGGUGUUAAAUAUGGUUUGCCGUGUGUGUGUAGGCCUGAUUGGGCCUUGACAUUGUUCUUGCGUGCAAAUUGGUUGGGAUUCGGUUUGACCGGGUGGAGGCCUUCAGUUGACUUUUACAAGCCUGUCUUUUUUUUUGACAUGCUCAAAACAGAAAAAAAAAUGUAUGUUUUACCCGACAAAAAUCUGUGGUUUAGAAGUUCGAUGCACUGAGGUAAAAAUAAUAUCAUUUUUUUACCAUCUCUUAAAAGAUCCAUAGCCUUAUGGUAGUUUCGAGUUCAUACUUUUUAGAAAGAUUAUCACUUUUUAAAUAUCUUUUUUACAAGCCUGUCAGUUUUUCGACAUGCUCAAAAGAGACAAAAAUAUGUGUGUUUUACCCGACAAAAAUACGUGGUUUCAAAGUUUGCUGCAGUGAGGUAAAAAUAGAAUCAUGUUUUUACCAUCUCUUAAAAGAUUCAUAGUCUUAUGGUAGUUUCAAAUUCAUACUUUUUAGAAAGAUUUUCACCUUUUAAAGAUUUUUUUACAAUCCCGUCUGUUUGUUCACAUGCUCAAAACGGACAAAAAUUUGUGGAUAAAAAGUUCGAUGUAACGAGGUAAAAAUAAAAUCAUGUUUAUACCAUCUCUUAAAAGAUCCAUGGCUAUAUGGUAGUUUCAAAUUCAUACUUUGUAGAAAGAUUGCCACUUUUUAAAGAUUAUUUUACAAGCCUGUCUGUUUUUUGACAUGCUCAAAAUGGACAAAAAUCUGUGGUUUAAAAGUUCGAUGCAAUGAGGUAAAAAUAAAAUCAUGUUUUUACCAUCUCUUAAAAGAGCCAUGGCCUUAUGGUAGUUUCGAAUUCAUACUUUUCAGAAAGAUUGACACUUUUUAAAGAUUUUUUUACAAGCUUGUUGUUUUUCAACAUGCUCAAAGAGUCAAAACAGACAAAAAUCUGUGUUUCUACACCCUACAAAAAUAUGUGGUUUAAAAGUUCAAUGCAAUGAGGUAAAAAUAAAAUCAUAUUUUUACCAUCUCUUAAAAUGUCCAUAGCCUUAUGGUAGUUUCAAAUUAAUACUUUUUAGAAAGGUUGUCACUUUUUAAAGAUUUUUUCUCAAUCAGAUUCAACUUGAGUUGUGGAGUUAUGAUGUAUACGAGAUUGUGGUUAACACCAUUUUGUAUAUCCCAUGAUUCUUAUGUAGCUAUCUGAAGUUUAAUUUGAAGCCAUGCGUUGGGUGUAGAAUAAUAUUACAAUAGUUAGAACAUAUGUUAACCAUACUAGUUUUGUCUUGACUUGUGCUGGGAGAUGCAAGUGCAUUCCACGUUAGUCACCUUCAAAUUGUAAUAAGCCCAUGAUUUGAUCUUGAUUUGUUUUUCUAUAUUACAUAGUUGUAUUUUGGUUCCUUUUAUCCAUAAUAUUAGUAGAUUGAUCCUGAAAUAUAUAUUUUAUUGUGAUUAUUUAAACAAUAUGUAUUUUUGAAAAAUUAUGGUUAAAGUGCUAUGUCGAAGACCAUAACAAUAUCCUAAACUACUUUUAUUGUCAAAUAGAGGGAAUAGUUGCUAUGUUGAAUAAAUUCAUCAAGAUUGUGUUGCUUGUUUUUUGUGAUAGAUGUCAUGUGGAUAAAAAUAAAUACUUAAAUGAAUAUCAUUGUGUUAUUUAAAUUAUAAUGGAGUUAGAAACAGACCCAGAUUAGGUGAUCGGGGGGCACACAAACACAUGGCGCGGCACCACCUGUCCAUGUGACUCCUUGGUGGCCCACCUUCAAUAUUUUUUGGUUUCCAUAUUUUUAUAUUCCAAGUAUAUUUUCAAAAAUACUCAUUCAAUUCCAAGAUUUUUUAUUUCGGCACAACAACAAAACUAUGGAAAUUCUGCUCAAAGCAACUUUAGUACGGAUUAGUUUCAUUCAAAUCAUGCAAAUUAGACCUCAAAAUAAGAGCAAAAGUGUUUGGAAAAGUGUAGGUAAAAAGGCAUUACAGCUCAUCCGAAGAAUACACGACAAUAAAAUCAAGUUGUUUGUUACUACAAAUUGAGAUUCCACGUGUAUCUUGCGAGGGAAUCAUGGUUGUAUAACGAAUUGGUUUUAACACCUUUCAUGAAUUAUGACAAGCCAACUUUGUUCUGUGUUAAUUUAGUCACAUGUGCAUACAAAUGAUCUCUUUUUUUUGUCAAUGCUGCCGUAUAGGAUUUUUCUUGGCCUGAUCAAACCAUACCCGUUGCACUCUCAACUAGUUAAAUUUGACAUUUACAAAAUCUUGUCAAACAGAAUAACAACGAUGUGCUAUCUUACGAGAUUCGAGUCUUAAGUCGACAACUGCAAGAAGUUCCUCUACGACGAUGAUGCAAGUGACUCGCCCUCGCAAAGCCGCUUUGGUCCAUAUUCAAAUGACAUUAGUCAUGCUGCAACUAUUGUUGGUCCAUAUUCAAAUGACAUUAGUCAUGCUGCAACUAUUGAUAGUACGGCAAUCGAUCCCAUAACCUGGUCUCCCAACUAACACCGUGAGACCGGUAAAAUAGGAAAUCUAUCAAGGGCAAACAUUUACCUUGCGCAUAGUCCACUUGGGCUAGAUGAUGACGAUCUUGUCCUCCUCAAGAUGGACCACCUUUUUUUAUUGCGCCGACUCGAUGAAGACUAGUAAAUUUUUCCCGAUACUCCACUAUGGAUGAGCCUCUCCUCGACACAUCUUGACAUGUCCAUUAUCACCUAAUGGAUGACAAGCUACAAGCAAGUGGUAUCUUUGUGAUGCUUCACUUUAACUUGCACACCCCAACCUUGAUGACUAUCACCACUUGAUGUCAUCCACCAUGGCUUGUACGUGAUCUUUCUUUUGAUGCAUGCCCAUUGAAACAUACCUAAUCCCACAAGUAACACUCACAAAGAUCAUGGUUAGUAUACAAAGUGUAAUGGACAAUACUUACCAUACCAUGAGAUCACUUGAUACCACUUGGUACAUCUUCUACGCUGUGUGUGUUGAUCAACUUGAAUCGCUCUUUGCCAUAGUCUUUAUCAACCUUGCAUGUUAUCUUCUCUCUUUACAUAGGUGAUGUCUUGAAGGUAAGCAUGAAUGUUCACACAAUCUUCUUCUUUAAGACAUGCUUGCAAUAAGCUAAACUCUCACAUGAUCAAUCUUUGGAUAAAUCCUUGAAUACCACCUUGAUCAUCAUAUAAACUUCUUGAAAACAACAAAUGAAAUUCAAGAAAUGCAUAUGGACAAAUCCUUCGCAUAUAACUCAAGGAAAACAUUAGUCCAUAGAGAUUUUUUAUCAGUUAACAAAACCAAACAUGAGGGCACAAUGUUCUAACAACAUCUCCUAUCGAGAUUGAGGCCAACCCCUCAUCCUCGGUUGAAACCUUGCCUUGCAUCGAAGUUCUUUCAAUAUGUGGUGUCUACCACUACAAGAACCUCAAAAUAAGAUGGCUCAAACAUCCUAUUUAAAACAUCCAUCCCACCUAAUGAGAAAUAUAUCAUUGAUGUCACCAAAAGUUGUGAUGAAUGAUGAAAGAUUGACACACGGUCUUGGUUUAGACCCGGUUGUGUGUGAUUUUUCAAGUACAAAAAACUCACAGCAAAAUACAAAUUUUCAAAUAAGAGAUAUUUAUAAAAUGAACAUGAUAUACACAUAAAAAUAUGAUAUUGACAAACAUCAAUUCAUUGGAUGUGAAACCAAAAUAAUAUAUUUGUCGGGAAAACUAUUCUCAAGAAUUGCAACACGUUGAUCAGGGCCGGGCCCAUAGUUGUAUAGAUUGUGCGGCCCGCACAGGGCCCAUAAAAUUUAGGGCCCCAAUAUUUUUUAUAGGCCUAGUUAAGCCAACAGCCGAAAGGCCCGGAUAGCGAAGCACGCCUAGCUCUAUUACUUGUUCGUUUAUCGCUCGAUGAGAUAAUACCGAUCGUCCUCACGAUCUACAGGCGUGAGCGCAAGAGUAGGGCCCCGAUCUACAAUACUAACCCUAACUGCACAGCAACCAGCCCGUAGCUACACUCUGACUAUGCAGCAGAGGACCGACGACACGACGCGCAACACUAGGAGGCACGGCAACAACUACAGCAGGUGAGUAGGACAGGCACACGGCUGUGUUCGGGCGACGAAAUCAACUUAACCAAAUCAAUCUUUAAAUUAACUAAUCUGGAGUGACUACAUCCUUCAGGACAGAUGCUAAAUUGCUCGUUGCUACUUGCUUUCUUCUUUUUUCAAUCAUAGAAAUACUAAUCAAGGUGCGUCGUCUUUGUCAAAUCAAUCUGGGCAUGAUUGCGUCUCGCCUCCAGGCUACUCGACACUCCUUUAGUCCAUCUUGCCUCGUCCCGGAACAAUUCAGCCAGGCAAGUUUCAGGUCCAUGAAUUCUGCAUCUCAGUUUUAAAAAAUAGUUUGUUGUUAACUGUUUAAUGUGUAUUCCUUUAAAAAUCAGUCAUUUGGGUACUUUUCUAUUAAUUGGACUAGACGACUUGUGUUUCAAAAUCUAAGUUGUGUCCUCUAAAAUCUACCUAAAGUAGAAACAUAACAAAAGAGUAAAAAAAUUAGAGGAUUUAAUUCAAUAUGGUGAAGGGGUUGUAGAUAAAUUGAUUAUAAUUUUAAUUUCUUUAAAAAAAUAAAUCAUAUUUUAGAGUUUGGCACAGGGCCCUGUAUUUUGCCGGCCCGGCUUCGACGUUCAUCUUCACUAAAACCUACUUAUCCAAAUUAUUACCUUUUUCUUUAUUUUUCCGUGGGCAAUCAAAGUUAAUUUGGCUAUGGUACAAGCUUACUAUCACAACCUUGAACGAAAAUGGUUAAUAAUAAGUUGUAGAUGUGUUUGCACGUCGGUGUAAUAAAUAAAUGACAUAUGCCAUAUUUAUUCUAUGACCACAAUUUCUUAGAUAUCUACCUUGAAACAAAAUUUAGGAUAUAUUUUAUAAAUUUACAUGGGCUUGAAUAUUGUUACUUGACUUCUAUUAAUAUAAUUCCAUCUUAAAGUAUCUGUGCAUCGAUACACAUGAAUGUAAAUGAGUAAUUAAUCUUAUUAUAUUGAUGGUAUACUAUAUAAUAUAUUCAAAAUUAUUUACAACCUGUAACAUUAUAUAUUCAAACCAAGUGCAAAUCAAUAGAUAAUUGUUGAUCAUAUUAUACUAGUUUACUCACUACACUUAGUUCAUAUCUCUCCUUAAUUAAUUAAUAAUAAAGUAAAUACAGUUUUUCGUUGUCAGUCGUGGUAUGUUUUGAAAAAGUCCCUCUUUUUCAGUUAAUCAACCCGCGGUCCUUUCUUAAGCGAGGAAAACGUUUCGUCGUGCCACUUUUACAAAAACGUUCCCGACGUAUACUGAAAUCAACCCGCGGUCCGUAUUUAAGUCAGAAAACGAAUCGUUUUUUACAUUUUACACAAACCCCCCUAUAUUUAAUCCAAACUAACCCGCAGUUCAGGGGCCUCUUUCUCCAAUCUCCACCAACUCCCCCCGGCGAGGACGAGGAGAGGAGCUCCCAUGGCGGAGGCGGCACGGAAGCAGCGGAGCCCCGCCGCGCCGCGCCCCGUCCGCUGCAUCGUGAAGCUAGGUGCUCCCUCCAGCCGUAUUUUCCUUUCCUUUCAUUGAGUGCUUCUGUACCGGCGUACGCCUCUCCGGCCGGUGCUGAUUCGACGAACCCUGUGUCGUCGCAGGCGGAGCGGCCAUCACGAACAAGGAGGAGCUGGAGAGCAUCGACGAGGAGAGCCUGCGGUCGGCGUGCGCGCAGCUGCGACAGGCCAUGUCCGACGGCACCUCCUCGGAGAAGGUUAUGGGGAUGGACUGGAGCAGGAGGCCCGGCGAUCCGGCGGACCCGGGCAUGGACGCGGAGGGGUUCGCGGGCAUGGCAGGGCUGGGCCUCGACAGCAACUUCGUAGUCGUCCACGACGCCGGUAUAUAUAGCUCGGAACCUGUGUUGCCUCUGGGCACUGGUUCCCUGUCUCAGGCUUGCUGAUGUGCUGAACUGGGUGAUUUGGGGUGUAGAAUCCACAUGAACUGAUGAACAUGGUUUGGGAUGUUAUGUGAUGUCAGAAUCGAUGCUAACUACCAAGUACCCGUGAAAUGCCUCUCAGUAAACAAGUUCAGAUUAUAAAAUGCAAACAACCUGCUUGGAAGAUAGUAUUUAGCAUGCCAUGGGUCUGAAUGAUAGUCUCUACGGUCUGUUUGGAGGAUAGUGCUGAACAACCAGGGGAAUUGGUCAGUUUUAAUGCUCCAUGGCACCUGGAAUUCCUGUAACUAUAAUUGCGCUGUUAGAGAUUGAGUUGGUAAAUUAGUGUUCAUGGUAUCAAGAUUAUAAUAGUCCCCUAACCUGAAUUUACUACUUCAGGUUCUUUUGGUCACUUCCAAGCAUGUAGAUCUGGAGUACAUAAAGGAGGGUUGCAUUCAACACUGGUGAAAGCUGGCUUUAUGGCUACAAGAAUUUCAGUACGGUGCACUUUUAAAAUUUCACUGUCAUGUGGAUAUCGUAACUUCCACAUAAAUAUUUUUCAGGAUCUCGUCGAUGUACGCCAUGCUUCCUUGAUGCAAUGCUUAAACAAUCUUUUAAUAAUAUUUAUAUUGUAACAUAGGUGACUUCUCUCAACCAGGAAAUUGUUAGAACCUUGGCAAGAGGUACACUACAAAGAAACGAGGAUAUUGCGCUUUAUGCUAAUAAUACAUAUGCAUGCUUUUGUUAUGGUAACCUUUUAUGGUUAACUAGAGGAUUUGAUUCACACUUCAGUUAAUGCAGAUGAAAUGACAAGGUUGACUGCAUGAGUUUUUCUCAUUACAGUGAUGUGGUCCUUUGUUAAAGGAUUUAAUGCAUCUCGAUAAAUUCUAAACUAUACUGUAUUUUUUAUGUUCCUAGAUAUCCAAGCAAGGAAGACAAAGAUAACGGGUGGAGUAAGAAGAAGAAAAGUGAGUUAAACGUGAACAAAAAUCCGUAAUGCUAUCUGACCUGCAUAAAGAUCCUAAGGGUGCAUAUUUGACAUGUUUGAUAAUACUGCAUCAUUAGAAUAUCUAUGCCUUCGAGUCCGAUUCUCAGACCUUGCAUUCUCCCGUUGCAACGCACGGGCUCUUUUGCUAGUUAUGCCUAAGUUAGUUGGUUAUUUUCUUGUGCCUCCAAAUGAAAUAGAAUAUCGUAUAUUUAUAUAAAACGGCACCCUCUCUUGGCAUCUAUUUUGAUAAAGGAAUAAUCCUGACGGGAAAUCAUCUAGAAACGUGAUAUUGUAUAGUCAAGUGCAUCACUAUUGCAUAGUCAAGUGCAUCACAUAGUUGAUCCAAUGGCGAGUAACGCUUAGAUUUGCCAUAGAUGCAGCAAAUUGAAGGAUCAUAUUCAAAAUUUAUGUGUACAUUGUACAAUCUUUACCUAAUAAUAAGGAAAACAUUUAUUUUCGUACAAAUGACCUUUCUCUCGCUUAAACCGCGCGCUACGGCUGUCACGUGUCCUUGUGGACCGUCGACCUUCCCAUCCUUAUCUCUUCAUCUCGAACAAGAACGAGUCAAACUCCACUGAGCUAGAUCCCCUUCGCCAUGGCCUCCCGUUCAAGUCCCGUCCGUCAUGGCCCGCCCCCAAACUCCACCUGCUGCUGCUCAAGGUCUCUCGUCCAAGUCACGUCCGCCAUGGCCUACCCCUAAGCUCCACCACCUCCUGCUCAAGGUCCCCCCGUCCAAGUCCCAUUCGUCGUGGUCUGCGCCCAAGCUCCACCACCUGCUGCUCAAGGUCCACACGACGACGCUGUGAAACGGUGAUUUUGUCGAGCAAAGCUAGUGCUGCAACGCAACCUCGUCAUUAACUUGGAUGUUGCCGGUGUUGCGACCCGACAACUCGAUGGUCCUGCCAGCGUGUGGUGCUGCGACUCGACAACUCGACGAUGUUGCAGGCGUGGCGACAGGACGCUCGUUGUCAUCGGUGUUGCGAGACAUCACGCUGGAGAGGUCAGGCUACCCGCUUCUGGUGUUGCAACGCAGCACGAAGGCCAGAGUGUAGUCGAGCGCCGCUCGUUGCUGAUGAUGCACCGCAACACACGGGGAGGAGGUUGGGCUACUCGCGUCGAUGCUGCAUUGGAGCUUUUUCCACGCCGAUGGAGUUGCAAUGAAGUGCCGCCUGGGACUGGAAUGGAGUGCCGGGGAGCUGCACUAAAGCGUCGUCGGAGCUGUAGUGAAGCGUCGUCUGAGCUACACGAAAGUGUUGCCAGAGGCAUCGUUUGUGCUGUGUUUGAAGAUUUUUUGCGGUGCUCAGUGUUGCGAGGAAGUAUCUCCCCGGUGGCUCGUGGAGUCCUGGUGCUGCAUUGUAGCAGUCGUCGGCGGUCUUGGAGCUGCGCCAUAGCAAGGGAGGCUAUGGGGGACAUUGCCGAAUCACUCACUUGAGCUAGCCGCUCUUGGGGUCCGCCAUUUCCGCUUGGACGUGGUGGGAGUGAGCUGCAAGGGGAUUUCUUUGCGUUUUUGGUCGCGAGGCAAGGAGGGCGAAGCAUCCGUCUAGUGUGUUGGCAUAUCCAACGAUUGAACGCGCGGAGAUCAAAAUAGAACGAGCGAUCAGCAAGCCGACUAAUUUGAAGAAAUUAGGAGCCACCUAAUAAUAAAGCAUGAACUAUUUCUGAUCGUUCAUCAUUUAAAUUAUCCCUAAAGUUGUCGAUAAUUAUCAACCAUGCCACCGUUAAGUCACAAAAAAACGUUUCACACAAAAAAAUCUCAUGACCGAGUCGGCCCAUGAAGUAGUUGUCCUACACCGCACUCUACGCGCUCGGAGAAGAUGGAGUGCGCCGGUUUGGGCCGGUCCAUGUUUGGGCGUUAGGUUUUCUAAAUUUCAUUUUUCAUUUUCUAUUUUUGUUUUUUCUCCUUUAAAUAAUUUAGGAGUUAAAUUUUUUCGAAAACUUAGAAAAAAAAUGAGAAUUUUAAAAAUAAAAUGUUUAAUAAAUCAUAAAAGUUCAUGCAUUUAAACAAUAUUCAUGUUUUUGUAUUUUUUUGUCUAUUUAAAAUAUGUUCGAAAUUUUGAAAAUAAAUGUUAGGGAAUAGGGAAAUAAAAAGUGUUCAUUUUUUAAAGCUAGUGUAAUAAAAACGUUAAUGAAUUUGAAUAACAUUUUGCCAAUUCAAAACUGUUCAAGAAUUGAAAAAUAUCCAAAAAAUUGAAAAACUUUUCAUGACUUACAUAAUUGUUUAUUCAUUCAUAAAUGUUCACUAUUUCAAAAAAUGAUCAUGUAUUUCCAAAAUUCUUUGUUAAAUCAGAAAAAUGCUCAUCGAAUCAAAAAAAUGUUUGUGAAUUUAAAAAAUAUAUCAUUAAUAUUAAAAAAUGUUCGUCCAUUCUAGAAAUGUUCGCCAAUUCAGGAAAAAUGUUCACAAUUGUAAAAAAUGUUUGUAAAUAGCAUAAAAUGUUCAUGACUUCAAAAAAUGUUCUUGAUUAUAGAAAAUGCUUAAAUUUUUGUAAAAAGGUUCACAAAUUCGAAAAACGUUCACAAUUUCAAAUAUGUGCAUGAGUUUAGAAAACUGUUCAUGAUUUCGUGAAAUUUAGAGUGAUAGUGUAGCAACAUAAUGUGGUCAAGAUCAUUGAAGAUUAUGAUAUUUUUUUUCCGUUACAACGCACUGACCUCUUGCUAGUAACUAUAUAUGCACGAGCCCUCUUGUUAGUAACUAUAUAUGUUGUUUCAAUUGUUUAUUGGAAACUGAAUUUGGUUCCAUGCCAUGAACAAGUAUGGAACAAGCGCCCACUACCACCUCCGAGAGAUUGAAUCGGCACAUCAUCUUGAAAUUAACGAUGUCGUCGCACACGUCUUCGUAGUCGACGGAAACAUCUCCUCCCACUGGAUACACAAACCGAAAGACCUGAAAUAAAUCCAUAAAAUGUAAACACCAUUGUCAAGUCUAGGACUUGAACCUUGAUUGGCUAGGGAUACCACUAUUCUCCUAACCAUCCUAUAAUAAGUUGGUUUGCGAUCAUCUGUUAAUCAUGCUACUUUUACCAUGAAUUAAGUAGAGAGACGCGUGCAGGCUGCCCAAACAAACAAUAGAGUCUUUUCAUGAAUGCCAUGUUGGAAAUAUGAGCAAUUUAUCGAAUUAUUUAAAACAAAUAAAUAAUAGAUAGAACAUGAUAAUUGUAACAAAGACAAGACUAGUGAUGCAAUUUUGAGGAAAGUAGGCCACAAUAUAUAACAGAGGCAAGACUUGGCAUGCAAACUAAAGGAGAGUAGUCAAAUAUUAUUUGAACAUGUGUGUUAGAACAAUAUAAAAAUAGACCAAGAAACUCUAGUAGGAUCUCGAACAAAAAAGUCACGAUUACAUAGUAAAUAACGAUUGUAGCAUUGGCAUUGGCGUUGACAUUGUUGUCCUCCAUGUCGUUGAAGAGGUUGUCGACGUCAGGGAAGAAGUCGUCGUUGGGGAAGUGGUCGUCGCCGUUCACGACGCCCGUGAUAAACAGGUCAGUAGUCAUGCAGAACACUCCCCAAAAAACUUAUCACCCUUCUCCCGUACAUGACUCAUAGAGGUGUGGUUUCAGAGGCCUACUAUCUUGAGUUGCGGUGCAUGCCGCAAGCCUAGCAGUAGCUCAGAGCUUUGGAACUGUAUGGCAUGAGGAAGGUGGUGGUCUGUGUUGGGGAACGUUGUAUCGGAAACAAAAGAAAUUCCUACCCACACGAAGACCUCUCAUGACGAUGCCCAUCUACGAGUGGAUAUUUGGAUCUACGCACCCUUGUAGAUCGCACAACAGGAAGCGUUAAGAAACGCGGUUGAUGUAGUGGAACAUCUUCAUGUCCCUCGAACCGUCCCGCGAUCCGUCCCACGAUCCGUUCCGAUCUAGCGCCGAACGGACGACACCUCCGCGUUCAGCACACAUACAACUCCACGAUGAUCUCGGCCUUCUUGAUCCAGCAAUUAAGACAGAGAAGUAGAUAAGUUCUCUGGCAGCAUGACGACGCUCCGGUGGUGGUAAUGAUCUACUCAUGCAGGGCUCCGCCCGAGCUCUGCAGAAAUCCGAUCUAGAGGUAAAACUACGUGGUAUAGGUUUGAGUUGCACGUGGCAAAGUUGUGUCUCAAAUCAACCCUAAACCACCAAAAUAUAUAGGAGGGAGGGGGAGGGCUAGCCUUGAGGCACAAGGCCUCAAGGGUGCGCCGGCCAAGGGAGGAGGACUCCUCCUCCUCCAAUUCGGUUUGGGAAGGAGGAGUCCUCCUCUUCCCUCCCACCUCCCUCUUUUCCUUUUUCUUUUAUUUUCUUUUGGUAUUUUCUUAUGUGGCGUCAUGGGCCCCUUGGGCUGACUCCACCAACCCACUAAGGACUUGGGGCGCCACCUUAGUGCUCUGGGCUCAGUCUAGGGUGGGUUGGCCCCUCCUGGUGAACUCCCGGAACCCAUUCGUCACUCCGGGUAAACUGCCGAAAUUGCCCGAAACUUUUCGGUGACCAAAUGAAACCAUCCUAUAUAUCAGUCUUCAUUUCCGGACCAUUCCGGAUACCCUCUGAUGUCCGUGAUCUCAUCCGGGACUCCGAGCAACAUUCGGUAACCACAUAUAUAACUCAAAUAUACUAAAACAUCAUCGAACCUUAAGUGUGCAGACCCCGCGGGUUCGAUAACUAUGCAGACAUGACCAGAGACACUUCUCGGUCAAUAUCCAAUAGUGGGACCUGGAUGCCCAUAUUGGAUCCUACAUAUUCUACGAAGAUCAUGUCGGUUGAACCUCUGUGACAAGGAUUCAUGUAAUCCCGUAUAGCAUUCCCUUUGUCCUUCGGUAUGUUACUUGCCCGAGAUUUGAUCGUCAGCAUCCCUAUACCUAUUUCAACCUCGUUACCGGCAAGUCUCUUUACUUGUUCCGUAAUACAAGAUCCCGUGACUUACACUUAGUCACAUUGCUUGCAAGGCUUGUUUAUGAUGUUGUAUUACCGAGUGGGCCCCGAGAUACCUCUUCGUCACACAGAGUGACAAAUCCCAGUCUUGAUCCAUACUAACUCAAAGGACACAUUCGGAGAUACCUGUAGAGCACCUUUAUAGUCACCCAGUUACGUUGUGACGUUUGAUACACACAAGGUAUUCCUCCGAUGACAGUGAGUUAUAGGAUCUCAUGGUCAUAGAAAUAAAUACUUGACACGCAGAAAACAAUAGCAACAAACUAACACGAUCACAUGCUAGUUCAUAAUUUGGAUCUUGUCCAUCACAUGAUUCUCCUAAUGAUGUGAUCGCGUUAUCAAGUGACAACACUUGCUAUGGCCAGGAAACCUUGACCAUAUUUGAUCAACGAACUAGUCAACUAGAGGCUCACUAGGGACAGUGUGUUAUCUAUGUAACCACACAUGUAUUUGAGUUUCCAAUCAAUACAAUUCUAGCAUGGAUAAUAAACGAUUAUUACGAACGAGGAAAUGUAAUAAUACCUAAUUUAUUAUUGCCUCUAGGGCAUAUUUCCAACAGUCUGGUGUCUCUCUUUGGAGAGGAGCGACCUCUUUUUAUAGGCACCGAAGAAGGAAACGAAAGGACGGGAGAUGAAGCGAACAACCAGCAGCCAAAGAGUGCAGCGUUGAUAUUCUAUCUUCACUACAACAUAAAUGUUUCAGCUCCUGUGCAACCUUUCACAUAUCAAUCAUGCGUGACAAAAAUUCAGACAACGGAUCGGCUCAUUCCCGCAACCCGUGGCGCGUCAUGACGAGGCGGGCGGCGGAGAAGGAGCGCGCGUGAAUGAUUUUCUUGUUCUCAUGCUCGUACAUGUGAGAAAACGACCUUCCUUAUAAGAGGUCCAACUCCUACUAAGUGAGCAGUAUGAGACUAAACUUUAACCCCACCUUUUACCUUGCAUGUAUGGGCUGCGUGAGCUUUUAGGAUAUAUUAAAAAUUCUGAAAAUUCUAUUGAGUUAGCCAAUAUAUUGAUCAAAUUCUAGCACACCAUACCUAGGAAAACACCAAAUAACUAAAUAUAACCAUUUUUUUUUAUCGGAAAUAUAACCACCUUCACAUCCCAAGGCUUAAUGGGGUUCUGAAUAGAGCAAUAGGUUAUGGACCAAUUCUCUAUUUAUUCCGUUUAGUACAAGACCACUUGUUUUUCAUUAGAAUGAUCUUUGGCGCUAAUGCUGGUUUUCUGGCUAUUUUAUGGCUUACUACCAAAGUGUGCGUGCUUUUAGUAGAUCUAAAAGAGAUGAACACAUGUUCAUAAAAUCGAAAGAAAAUCCCUAAAAUUAUGUUAGGGUUUGUCCAAUUUUUAUUUUUCUUAUUUGCUUGGAUGAGAUGGGGGGAGGGCGAGCCUGGUCUGAAAAUACAAUAUUUUUUUUUUUUUGCAAAUGUGGCACAGAGUCACGGGGUUAUUUUGCAGAAAUACCACAUCUUGUCUCGCAUGCGUCAUAUUAGGUGUAGAUCGGAUAGUUGACUAGCAUACACAACAUAAUCACCAACAUACUCUUUUAUAGUAGCAGAUAAAUGAAUUUUAAUGGUAAUUAGAUUCCACAUGAAAUGUUGAUAAAAAAAAUGUUUUUAUCCAAUAGACUAGAGGAGAUCACAUUACAAAAUGUAGUUACAAGCAUGUAUUUGGUUACCAGGCGGAAAACUUGGUUAUUGCCCGGUAACGUGAAUCCCCUUACCCCACAAGAAAUUGCCUUGCCGAGCAAAAAAUCUCUAACUCAGGCAGGGAAUCAAAAACCUUGGUUGCAGGCAGGGAAGGAAAAUGACACCUUGUUCGAACUUCAAAGUGAUACAACUGUGGCAUUUGAUUUCCACGUUUCUUGAAAGGCUCAUAAAGAUAUAUCGACUGGUCUUUUUUGCGACAAAUUUACAGAAAAUGGUACCAGCUGAACCAAGUACUGAAACUUGCAAUAGACAGAGACAAAAAUGUAGACGUUCAAUUUCGAAUUCAGACGUGAGCUUACUUGGUCUUUUUUUUACCGUCUUUUAAUUCAGACGUGAGCUUAUCGGGUCUUUUUUUUACCGUCUUUUACCUGUAGGAGUAAACCGUCAGCUGGUGAAAUAAAAUCACUGGCUGCGAUAAACUGGACCACUGACAGUAAUAGUACCACAAGCCUACGAUGCCACUUAAGGCUGGCCAUAGUGGGGGUAUCAUAGCUAGUAACAUAGUCUUGGGACUAGCAAACAUGGUGAUGUGUCAAGUAAUUAAAGAAGAGAGAGAGGGUUAUAGUAACAUAGGUAGAUACCGUAUCAUGUUAAAUGCUAUGCUACUAUGUGUCAUGCAUGUCAAUAAAUGAGAACACCUAUGAUACUAGUUUAUGAUACUAUGCACUAUGAAGAUAGUAUCAUACAAUAGUAACAUAUGCAUGAUACUACUAUAUGUUACUCCCCACUAUGAGCAGCCUAACAGUACAGAGAGCAGAAAGUCGUCUCCAUGUAAAUCAUCAACCGUAAGCACCGUAUCCGGCUCUUGAACGCUGUACUAGCACAGACCAUAAAACCACAGAUGCCCAGCCCAAAUCCUGAUGCAGGAGUACCGCUACCAUUUUCUGCCGUGUUUCAUCCAUGCGUUUGAAAUGAAAUCAACUGACCUUUCUUCCCUCCAUCAGCCGAUAAAAACCGAGCAUAAUGCAGUAAUAAGGCCUUGUUUGGAACCACAAUAGAUUAUGAUAAUCUGGAUUAUAAAGAUAGAUUAUAUAAUCUGGUAUAUAAAAAUAAUUUAGGUGGACAUGUUUGGAGGCCAGAUUAUAUAAACUGUAAUCCAGGUUUUACAUUGCAUAAUGACAUGUCUGCCCUCUGUUUUAUUUUUUUGAAAAAAAAGAAGGAUGGCGGUGGUUAGAAUAUAAUUAUCUUCAACUUUAUAAGGGUAAUGGGUCAUUAGCAAUUCAUAAUCUGAUUUUAGUUGGUGUAGAGUAGAUUAUGAGUUUUUAAUAAUCUGUCCAUCUAGUUUUUAUAAUCUACACCAUGAUCUGUUCUGUUUGGAAACAAAAUACAUUAUAAAAACUAGAUUAUAUAAUCUGGUUGGUUCCAAACAGGGUUGUACCUACGAUUCAACGAGCUCCCAGUCCCCAGAUUCUCAGCUGAUCAGCGCACGAAAACAAGUUAAAAUUCACGUGGAUGGUCAUUGUUUUGUUCGGAUCAAGGCAGAAGUGGCGUGCCAUGGAAUCGAAGGGGCCUGUCAUUUUGCUAUAUAUCUUGUCUCGUAGAACAUGAAGCCGCAUCGGUGUCCGUGUUACUCCAAAGCACGAUGAAAACCACUACGGGUUUCGCAUGAUUGACCCUGCAAACCUGGGGGGAAGGGGGCUGCAUGUACCUUGCGUAGAGACCAUGCCUACAUUAAAGAUUCAGUUUGGGGGGUUGCCGGAAUUGUAAAUUGAUCAACUUGCAGGAAGAGUUUGAAAUUGAAUACCGAACUAUCGCUGUUCUAAUUAAGUUCUAACUGACGCUGGAAGUCAGGAAUAUCGAAUCAGCCAAAAGCGCUGAUUCUGAACUUGGCUGCUGCAUUUACGAAUCAGUGUAUGACGAUGAGAGAAUGCAUUUGCAUUUCGAGCUGGAAACCCACCUUUUGAUUCAGUAUAUUCGAAACAACCUACUCUACAUUGUAAUAUUAACGUUGAUCAUUUGCCAAACAGAGAUUUACAAUUCUACACCCAACUUGCUAAUAGUAUCAAGUAAUGAUCCCUCGUUGACCAUAUGUUCUGAACUUUUGAUCGGGGAAUUCUCAACCAUUUGUAUCAGGACAGAAUGCUAGGCUGACUUCGUGAAACUAAGCUGAAACCAAAUUUGUACCCAGACCAACAAAAGAAGGUUCUAAUUCCUAACCCGAUCAAUUUUUCUUCCUCCGAUAUCAGUUUUCCAAAUUAAGAAAAAAAAAGAGAAAGAAAAUUAAAACCGACCAAGAACCUCGGUGUGGUGUCAGGAGGAGAGCCUCGUCAUGGCCAGCGGCGUGACCUCGGCGAGCGGCGUGGGCAAGGGGCUGGGCAGCGGCGAGGUCCGGCAGACGGGGCAGGUCGGGUGCUUCCGGAGCCAGGGGUCGACGCACUCCCGGUGGAACAGGUGGCCGCAGUCCGGCAGCAUGCGGAGCACGUCGCCGUCGCCGUAGUUGUCGAGGCAUACGGAGCAGCAGGUGCACGUGGUGCCCAGCUUCCUGUUCUUGCUCUUCCGCGCCUCGCCGUACACCACCUCCGGGUACCCCUUGAGCGUGGCCUCGUCGAUGCCGAGCUCCACGUCGACGUCGUCGCCGGCUCCCCCGCCGCCAUCGCUGUCGNNNNNNNNNNNNNNNNNNNNNNNNNNNNNNNNNNNNNNNNNNNNNNNNNNNNNNNNNNNNNNNNNNNNNNNNNNNNNNNNNNNNNNNNNNNNNNNNNNNNCUCCCACCAAACCAAGUAGGACUCGGUUUGGGGGGGGAGAGUCCUCCCCCCUGGCUCGGCCGACCCCUUGGGGAUCCCUUGGACCCCAAGGCAAGGUCCCCCUCCCUCCUCCUAUAUAUAUGGGGCUUUUAGGGCAGAUUUGAGACGACUUUCUCACGGCUGCCCGACCACAUACCUCCAUAGUUUUUCCUCUAGAUCGCGUUUCUGCGGAGCUCGGGCGGAGCCCUGCUGAGACGAGAUCAUCACCAACCUCCGGAGCGCCGUCACGCUACCGGAGAACUCUUCUACCUCUCCGUCUCUCUUGCUGGAUCAAGAAGGCCGAGAUCAUCGUCGAGCUGUACGUGUGCUGAACGCGGAGGUGCCGUCCGUUCGGUACUAGAUCGUGGGACUGAUCGUGGGAUUGUUCGCGGGGCGGAUCGAGGGACGUGAGGACGUUCCACUACAUCAACCGCGAUCUCUAAUCGCUUCUGCUGUACGAUCUACAAGGGUACGUAGAUCACUCAUCCCCUCUCGUAGAUGGACAUCACCAUGAUAGGUCUUCGUGCGCGUAGGAAAAUUUUUGUUUCCCAUGCGACGUUCCCCAACAGUGGCAUCAUGAGCUAGGUUCAUGCGUAGAUGUCUUCUCGAGUAGAACACAAAAUGUUUUGUGGGCGGUGAUGUGCGUUUUGCUGCCCUCCUUAGUCCUUUCUUGAUUCCGCGGUAUUGUUGGAUUGAAGCGGCUUGGACCGACAUUACUCGUACGCUUACGAGAGACUGGUUUCAUCGUUACGAGUAACCCCCUUUGCUCAAAGAUGACUGGCAAGUGACGGUUUCUCCAACUUUAGUUGAAUCGGAUUUGACCGAGGAGGUCCUUGGAUGAGGUUAAAUAGCAACUCAUAUAUCUCCGUUGUGGUGUUUGCGUAAGUAAGAUGCGAUCCUACUAGAUACCCUUGGUCACCACGUAAAACACGCAACAACAAAAUUAGAGGACGUCUAACUUGUUUUUGCAGGGUAUGAUUGUGAUGUGAUAUGGCCAAUGAUGUGAUGUGAUAUAUUGGAUGUAUGAGAUGAUCAUGUUGUAAUAGAAAUAUCGACUUGCACGUCGAUGGUACGGCAACCGGCAGGAGCCAUAGGGUUGUCUUUAUACUAACAUAUGUGCUUGCAGAUGCGUUUACUAUUUUGCUAGGAUGUAGCUUUAGUAGUAAUAGCAUAAUUAGCACGACAACCCCGAUGGCAACACGUUGAUGGAUGAUCAUGGUGUGGCGCCGGUGACAAGAAGAUCGUGCCGGUGCUUUGGUGAUGGAGAUCAAGAAGCACGUGAUGAUGGCCAUAUCAUGUCACUUAUGAAUUGCAUGUGAUGUUAAUCCUUUUAUGCACCUUAUUUUGCUUAGAACGACGGUAGCAUUAUGAGGUGAUCUCUCACUAAAAUUUCAAGACGAAAUUGUGUUCUCCCCGACUGUGCACCGUUGCUACAGUUCGUCGUUUCGAGACACCACGUGAUGAUCGGGUGUGAUAGACUCAACGUUCACAUACAACGGGUGCAAAACAGUUGCGCACGCGGAACACUCGGGUUAAGCUUGACGAGCCUAGCAUGUGCAGACAUGGCCACGGAACACAUGAGACCGAAAGGUCGAUCAUGAAUCAUAUAGUUGAUAUGAUUAGCAUAGGGAUGCUUACCACUGAAACUACUCUCGACUCACGUGAUGAUCGGACUUGGGAUAGUGUAAGUGGAUCAUGAACCACUCAAAUGACUAGAGAGAUGUACUUUUUGAGUGGGAGUUUAGCAUAUAAUUUGAUUAAGUUGAACUCUAAUUAUCUUGAACAUAGUCUAAGUACACUUUGAAUAUAUUUGUGUUGUAGAUCAUGGCUCACGCAAGUGUCAUCCUCAAUUUUAAUACGUUCCUAGAGAAAGCUAAGUUGAAAGAUGAUGGAAGCAACUUUGUAGACUGGGCUCGUAAUCUUAAGCUAAUCUUACAAGCUGGAAAGAAGGAUUAUGUCCUUAAUGCUGCGCUAGGAGAUGAACCACCCGCUACGGCUGAUCAGGAUGUUAAGAACGCUUGGUUAGCGCGUAAGGAGGACUACUCAAUAGUUCAAUGUGCAGUCUUGUAUGGCUUAGAACCGGGACUUCAACGUCGCUUUGAGCGUCAUGGAGCAUUUGAGAUGUUCCAGGAGUUGAAGUUUAUCUUUCAGAAGAACGCCCGGAUCGAGAGGUAUGAGACCUCCGAUAAAUUCUAUGCUUGCAAGAUGGAGGAAAACUCGUCUGUCAGUGAACAUGUGCUCAAAAUGUCUGGGUACUCAAACCGUCUAGCUGAACUGGGGAUUGAACUCCCGCAAGAAGCUAUCACUGAAAGAAUCCUUCAAUCACUGCCGCCAAGCUAUAAAGGCUUUGUGUUGAACUACAACAUGCAAGGGAUGAACAAGUCUCCCGGCGAGUUGUUUGCGAUGCUGAAAGUCGCAGAGUCUGAACUCCGUAAAGAGCAUCAAGUGUUGAUGGUGAGCAAGACCACUAGUUUCAAGAGAAACGGCAAAGGCAAGAAGGGCAAUUCGAAGAAGAGCGGCAAGCCUGUUGCCAAUCCGCCGAAGAAACCCAAGGCUGGACCUAAGCCUGAAACAGAGUGCUUCUAUUGCAAGGGUAUGGGUCACUGGAAGCGCAAUUGCCCCAAGUAUCUGGCAGAUAAGAAGGCGGGCAAAGAAAAAUCAGGUAUAUUUGAUAUACAUGUUAUUGAUGUGUACUUAACCAGCUCUCGUAGUAGUGCCUGGGUAUUCGAUACCGGUUCUGUUGCUCACAUUUGCAACUCGAAGCAGGAACUGCGGAAUAGACGAAGGCUGGCGAAAGACGAAGUGACGAUGCGCGUAGGAAACGGUUCCAAGGUUGAUGCAAUCGCCGUCGGCACAGUGUCACUUCAACUACCAUCGGGAUUAGUGAUGAACUUAAAUCAUUGUUAUUUAGUGCCUGCGUUGAGCAUGAACAUUAUAUCUGGAUCUUGUUUAUUGCGAGACGGUUACUCUUUUAAGUCUGAGAAUAAUGGUUGUUCUAUUUCUAUGAGUAACAUCUUUUAUGGUCAUGCACCGAAUGUGAGAGGAUUGUUCAUAUUGAAUCUUGAUAGAGAUACGCAUAUACAUAACAUUGAGACCAAAAGAGUUAGAGUAAACAAUGAUAGCGCCAUAUUUUUGUGGCACUGCCGCUUGGGUCAUAUUGGUGUAAAGCGCAUGAAGAAACUCCAUGCUGAUGGACUUUUGGAGUCACUUGACUUUGAUUCACUUGACACGUGCGAACCGUGCCUCAUGGGCAAGAUGACUAAGACUCCGUUCUCCGGAACAAUGGUGCGUGCAAGUGACUUGUUGGAAAUCAUACAUACCGAUGCGUGUGGUCCAAUGAGCGUGGAGGCACGCGGCGGAUAUCGUUAUUUUCUCACCUUCACUGACGAUCUAAGUAGAUAUGGUUAUGUCUACUUGAUGAAGCACAAGUCUGAAACAUUUGAAAAGUUCAAGCAAUUUCAGAGUGAAGUGGAAAAUCAUCGUAACAAGAAGAUCAAGUUCCCACGGUCUGAUCGUGGGGGUGAAUAUCUGAGUUUCGAGUUUGGUACUCACUUAAGACAAUGUGGAAUUGUUUCGCAGUUAACACCGCCUGGAACACCACAGCGUAAUGGUGUGUCCGAACGUCGUAAUCAUACUUUAUUAGAAAUGGUGCGAUCUAUGAUGUCUCUUACUGAUUUGCCGUUAUCAUUUUGGGGUUAUGCAUUAGAAACAGCUGCAUUCACUUUAAAUAGGGCACCAUCAAAAUCCGUUGAGACGACACCAUACGAACUGUGGUAUGGCAAAAGGCCAAAGUUGUCGUUUCUUAAAGUUUGGGGAUGUGAUGCUUAUGUCAAAAAGCUUCAGCCUGAAAAGCUGGAACCCAAAGCGGAAAAGUGCGUCUUCAUAGGUUACCCAAAAGAGACAGUUGGGUACACCUUCUAUCUCAAAUCCGAGGGCAAAGUGUUUGUUGCUAAGAACGGAACUUUUCUCGAGAAGGAGUUUCUCUCAAGAGAAUUGAGUGGGAGGAAGAUAGAACUUGACGAGGUUGUCGAACCUCUCAUCCCUCUGGAUGGUGGCGCAGGGCAAGGGGAAACCUCUGUGAUUGCGACGCCGGUUGAGGAGGAAGUUAAUGAUGAUGAUCAUGAAACUCCAGUUCAAGUUUCUGUUGAACCACGCAGGUCGACGAGAUCACGCGCUGCUCCAGAGUGGUACGGUAAUCCCGUCUUAUCAAUCAUGUUGUUAGACAACAAUGAACCUGCAAAUUAUGAAGAAGCAAUGGUGGGCCCAGAUUCCAACAAAUGGCUAGAAGCCAUGAAAUCCGAGAUAGGAUCCAUGUAUGAGAACAAAGUGUGGACUUUGGAGAUGCUGCCUGAGGGCCGCAAGGCUAUUCAGAACAAAUGGAUCUUUAAGAAGAAGACGGACGCUGACGGUAAUGUGACCGUUUAUAAAGCUCGACUUGUGGCAAAGGGUUUUUCACAAGUUCCAGGAGUUGACUACGAUGAGACUUUCUCUCCCGUAGCGAUGCUUAAGUCCGUCAGAAUCAUGUUAGCAAUAGCUGCAUUUUUCGAUUAUGAAAUUUGGCAGAUGGAUGUCAAAAUGCGUUCCUUAACGGUUUCCUUAAGGAAGAGUUGUAUAUGAUGCAACCCGAAGGUUUUGUCGAUCCUAAAAAUGCUGACAAGGUGUGCAAGCUCCAGCGAUCCAUUUAUGGACUGGUGCAAGCAUCUCGGAGUUGGAACAAACGCUUUGAUGAGGUGAUCAAAGCAUUUGGGUUUAUACAAGUGGUUGGAGAAUCUUGUAUUUACAAGAAAGUGAGUGGGAGCUCUGUGGCGUUUCUAAUAUUAUAUGUGGAUGACAUAUUACUGAUUAGAAACAACGUAGAGCUUUUGGAGAGCUUAAAAGGUUACUUGAAUGAAAGUUUCUCUAUGAAGGACCUAGGAGAAGCUGCUUACAUUCUGGGCAUUAAGAUCUAUAGGGAUAGAUCAAAACGCCUGAUAGGACUUUCACAAAGCACAUACCUUGAUAAAGUUUUGAAGAGGUUCAAAAUGGAACAGUCCAAGAAAGGGUUCUUGCCAGUGUUACAAGGUACGAGAUUGAGUAAGACUCAGUGCCCAGCAACUGAUGAAGAUAGAGAGCAUAUGCGCUCCGUCCCCUAUGCUUCAGCCAUAGGCUCUAUCAUGUAUGCAAUGAUGUGCACUAGACCGGAUGUUAGCCUGGCCAUAAGUAUGGCAGGUAGGUUCCAGAGUAAUCCAGGAGUGGAUCACUGGACAGCGGUCAAGAAUAUCCUGAAGUACCUGAAAAGGACUAAGGAGAUGUUUCUCGUGUAUGGAGGUGACGAAGAGCUCGCCGUAAAAGGUUACGUCGAUGCAAGCUUUGACACAGAUCCGGACGACUCUAAGUCGCAAACCGGAUACGUAUUUAUUCUUAAUGGGGGUGCAGUAAGCUGGUGCAGUUCCAAGCAAAGCGUCGUAGCAGAUUCUACAUGUGAAGCGGAGUACAUGGCUGCCUCGGAGGCGGCUAAGGAGGGUGUCUGGAUGAAGCAGUUCAUGACGGAUCUUGGAGUGGUGCCGAGCGCACUGAAUCCAAUAACCUUGUUCUGUGACAACACUGGUGCCAUUGCCUUAGCAAAGGAACCAAGGUUUCACAAAAAGACCAGACACAUCAAACGACGCUUCAACCUCAUCCGCGACUACGUCGAGGAGGAGGACGUAAAUAUAUGCAAAGUGCACACGGAUCUGAAUGUAGCAGACCCGCUGACUAAACCUCUUCCACGGCCAAAACAUGAUCGACACCAGAACUGUAUGGGUGUUAGAUUUAUUACAAUGUAAUUCACAUGGUGAUGUGAGGGCUAGAUUAUUGACUCUAGUGCAAGUGGGAGACUGUUGGAAUUAUGCCCUAGAGGCAAUAAUAAAUGUAUAGUUAUUAUUAUAAUUCCUGUAUCAAGAUAAUAGUUUAUUAUCCAUGCUAUAGUUGUAUUGAAUGAAGACUCAUUUACAUGUGUGGAUACAUAGACAAAACACCGUCCCUAGCAUGCCUCUAGUUGGCUAGCCAGUUGAUCGAUGAUAGUCAGUGUCUUCUGAUUAUGAACAAGGUGUUGUUGCUUGAUAACUGGAUCACGUCAUUGGGAGAAUCACGUGAUGGACUAGACCCAAACUAAUAGACGUAGCAUGUUGAUCGUGUCAUUUUGUUGCUACUGUUUUCUGCGUGUCAAGUAUUUAUUCCUAUGACCAUGAGAUCAUAUAACUCACUGACACCGGAGGAAUGCUUUGUGUGUAUCAAACGUCGCAACGUAACUGGGUGACUAUAAAGAUGCUCUACAGGUAUCUCCGAAGGUGUUAGUUGAGUUAGUAUGGAUCAAGACUGGGAUUUGUCACUCCGUGUGACGGAGAGGUAUCUCGGGGCCCACUCGGUAAUACAACAUCACACAUAAGCCUUGCAAGCAAUGUAACUUAGUGUAAGUUGCAGGAUCUUGUAUUACGGAACGAGUAAAGAGACUUGCUGGUAAACGAGAUUGAAAUAGGUAUGCGGAUACUGACGAUCGAAUCUCGGGCAAGUAACAUACCGAAGGACAAAGGGAAUGACAUACGGGAUUAUACGAAUCCUUGGCACUGAGGUUCAAACGAUAAGAUCUUCGUAGAAUAUGUAGGAUCCAAUAUGGGCAUCCAGGUCCCGCUAUUGGAUAUUGACCGAGGAGUCUCUCGGGUCAUGUCUACAUAGUUCUCGAACCCGCAGGGUCUGCACACUUAAGGUUCGACGUUGUUUUAUGCGUAUUUGAGUUAUAUGGUUGGUUACCGAAUGUUGUUCGGAGUCCCGGAUGAGAUCACGGACGUCACGAGGGUUUCCGGAAUGGUCCGGAAACGAAAAUUGAUAUAUAGGAUGACCUCAUUUGAUUAUCGGAAGGUUUUCGGAGUUACCGGGAAUGUACCGGGAAUGACGAAUGGGUUCCGGGAGUUCACCGGAGGGGGGCAACCCACUCCGGGGAAGCCCAUAGGCAUUUGGGGGGGUCACACCAGCCCUUAGUGGGCUGGUGGGACAGCCCACCAAUCCCCUAUGCGCCWAGAUAGAAAAUCAAAGGGAAGAAAGAAAAAAAGGAGGAAGUGGGAAGGGGGAAGGACUCCCUCCCACCAAACCAAGUAGGANNNNNNNNNNNNNNNNNNNNNNNNNNNNNNNNNNNNNNNNNNNNNNNNNNNNNNNNNNNNNNNNNNNNNNNNNNNNNNNNNNNNNNNNNNNNNNNNNNNNCCAGGGCGGCGGCUGGGUGUCCCGCCUCGUCGACCCCGCCUCCCGCCUCAUCGCGGGCGGCGCCGCGCGGCUCUUCUCCUCGGUCUUCCGCAAGCGCUUCGCCGUCGCGCCUGCCCCGCCUGCGGCGGCCCAGCCCCCCGCGUCCCCGCCUCCCGGUGAGACUGAGCCUCCUCUACUUCCCGUUUCCCCCUCCUGAGAUUGGUGUUUGCUCCCGCGUCUUCUUGGUUUCGGGUCUGGGCUUGACCUAGGGUUUCGGCCUUCCCGGGCAUGUGCUAGGGUUUAGAUUAGAUUGCCGAGCUCCUGCCUCCGGUUUCGGUAAUUUUGACCCAACCCGUGCUAUUGCUGCUGCCCAGCACCAAUUUCACGACGAAAAAGGGUGUUGUUUACUGGAGACCACUAAAGCUUCAACCUGCUUUAUUAUGCUUAAAGUCGUAGUUUGUAUCGAUGUGGAUGUGACAUGUGCAUGGCUGUGCGCCCUCAAGAACAACACAGGGGCUUGGCUUGAAGCCAGUAAUACUGGACGCCUUUUAUUAUCCUGUGCGAUGAGUCACGUUGAUGUUUGUUUGCUACACUUAAAUUGUGACAAUUUUUGUGUAGGAGGGUAGUGUGGUCUCUCGGAACUACAUGUUUUGUUGGGUAGAAAUUAGGAUACAACAAAGGAGAUGUUCUUCAUGUUUCAAUCUUUUUUUGGUUGAAGCUCCAGUUGUAAUUGCAUCAUGCUGUUAUCGAGCUUAUAUCCUUGAGCUGCAUUUAUAAAUCUGGUGCCUGUUUCAUGUAUGCAGGUCGAGAUGCGGAACCUAAUCAAGAUUUGCCUGAGGCAACACAUACUGUAAGUAACAAUCACGGUACAGCCUGUUUAAGCUCGUCCCCUGUUGUUCUGACUAGGGGCUGUUUGGAAUUUUUACGCAGGGUUUCACUCCAGUGGGUGGAAUGGCCAAAGGGAAGGACCUCGCUGCUACAUCCAGUGACAAAUCAUUGUCUGAAGUAGAACAUCUGUUAAUGCGGAAAACGUUCACCAGGAAAGUAUCUGCAUAUUUUCUUCUUCUUGAACUUCCAGUUUUCUACUAGUUUCUUUUCUCUCGGUAAGUAUCAAAAUAUGUUGUAUGGCCUUUUGAUGUUCAACUUGCUUUCAGUCCACAGUAUAUAUUAAUCCAAGUUAUUAUUUUGUUUCUCAUUCCAUUACUUUUGACUGAGUAUUGUCUCCACCUGAUAUCUUCUGCAACAUUAUCUCUUUUCCCCCACUGCCUUUGUGCCUGUUCUUGACGAUUGGAUUCUUCUGUGCAGGGUUGAGUUUGAUCGUCUCACAGACUUGCUGCGUGCAAGAACUGUAGAGCCUGCUUUAUCUGCACAAGUGGACCACAAUGAGGAUAAGAAUGAAACAAGAACCAGAAUUCAUGGAAUAGGAGGCUCCACAUCUCAUGGGAUGGCUAUAGACCAUUCUCCGCCCGCUGAUGUAAGGAGUUACUUUGCCCGUGUAAUUUCCUUUUAUUUGAUGGAUAAAUUUAUAUCAAGGUGCUGGUAAGGAUCAUAUGAAUAUUUUUGAGGAAUGCCAUGAAGUGUAUGUUGUUAGUAGAUAUUUGUUUAGAAUGUUGUCCCAGUGAUUUCUGUGGUCAGGUUAGUGAUGAUGCUGACUUCACUUUGCUCGAUCAAACUUUAAUAUGUUAAGUAAGAUGGUAACAAAAUUAUCCUUAUGAUCUAGCAACUUUCAUUGGAGUAAUACAUCAAUUUGACAUCUGAUGUGGUUUCAGUUGUUUAGAUUGAUCCAAGUUUCUGUGUCUGUUAGGACCUCUUAUGCUUUACCUGUACAAUAUUAGGUGCACAAAUGUGCAGUUGAACGGUUCAUGGAUUUUACCUGCAAUUCAAAUAGGGUAGCAUGGAUUUUACCUUUAGUUUCCUUGCUUUGCCCGUCUAAUACAAUACACCUGGCAACUACUCCCUCUGUUCCUAAAUAUUUGUCUUUCUAGAGAUUUCACUAUGAACUACAUACGGAUGUAUAUAGACAUAAUUUAGAAUAUAGAUUCAUUCAUUUUGCUUUGUAUGUAGUCCAUAGUUGAAUCUUUAAAAAGACAAUUAGCUAGGAACGGAGGGAGUAAGUUAUUUAGUGUGUAAGUUGGAAAGAGACAGGCAAAUGUAGCUGUACUUCCAUUAAACUUGGUUAGAAUUUCAGUUGCCUGUUUUAAUUAUAAUUCAUAUUCAAUAUGCAGGUUCCUAUCCGGGAUGUUAAUUCCCCUGCGAACCUUGCCAAACAAUAUAUGAGCUCCCGUUAUUCUAGAGAACCCCAACAGAGUAAUUUAAGGAGCCAAGUACUCUUUGGUAACAAAGCGGAAGCAAGCAACACUGGCUAUUAUAUGACUUCUGGAGCACCACUUGUUCAGGAGCUGAAUCAAGUUAACAAUGAAAACCCUGGACUUCCUGUGAAUGGCUAUAUGGCUUCAGGAUUACGUGGGCGGUCAGCAAUAUGUAAAAUGUCACGCUCUCCAUUUUUUAAGGUAGCAUUGCACUUCUAUCUCCUGCACAUCAUUCUCUUUCCUUCUCAUAGUUCUACAUUCAUAUCCAUGCGGCAUACUCUUUUCCUUGUAUGGUGCUUGAAUUUUCUCUGUUCUGUUGAGUGAAUUACUCAACAGCAAAACUGUGAUAGUUGUUUUUACUAAAUGCCUAUUUAUGCCUAGCAGGGCCCAAGCUCUUCAAGUGAUAUGAAUGUUUCACCAUUUUCAUUAUCUCAUGCACGAACCCCAAGUUUGGCUGCUGGCGGCAGGCAGGUAAUUGGUGGAAGAUUUCUGAAUUUGAAAUAAGUUACAUACUGCACUGUAUAUUCUUGAUCAUGUUAAAUAUUCAGCUUGAAAAACAUGCUGUUUGUUGAGAAGCAGUUGAAACAUGGUGUGGAUUUAUGGUUGAUACCAGAUCGACCCUUUGAACAUCUUUAUUUAAGUAUAUGGACAAACUGUUGCAUAUCCCAACAUUAAUGAGACAGAAAGUAACAGGUCAUCCUGUUUGAUCGAAACUAGUGGCCUUGUGACAAUGACCCAUUUAGAUUUUAGUCUCGAUAUAAAUAAUAAAUUUAAUAUUAGUGAGGAACAUUCUCCUAUCAGAUUUUGCAUGAUCUGGACUAUAUCUGCCAGAGCUUUUCUUAACCAUCUGUCUUCCUAACAGGUGUUGAAACGAAGAGGAGCGGAGUUUGACAAUGAACUUGGAUCUGUUGGCCCCAUACGCAGGAUUCGUCAGAAGUCGAAUAUGAUGUCUCCUUUUAAAGAUGCUCGCGCUAGUCCUCGGGGAAACUUUCUUCCUACCCGUACAAUUGGUUCAGAUUUUGCCGAAGGCAGUUCAGCACUUCAGGAACCUUCUAGUUCAAAAAGACUAUUGCUUGAAUCUGGUCAAUCUCUGCGGACUGUAGAAAGACAGAGAUAUAGCGAAGAUGGUAAACUUUCUAAUGAUGAUGUUCCUCCUGUCCCAACUCAACCAAACAAGAUGGCUGAGAAGAUAUUUGAGCAGCUUAACAUAAUAGCUCCAUCACCAAAGGGCAAACAGUCUGGGCAACAAUCUGUUGCUGGGAAACCAAGGCAAUCCAUGUCCAAUGGGCCAAAGGGUGUAAGUGACCCCAGUAGUUCCCGACAAUUUCAAGAUUCGGAUGGAAUUAAUCAUCCCCAUGAUUCGGAUCUGAAUGGUUCUACAUUGAAUGAAGACAAGCUGAUGAAAGAUGGAUCAUCAAAAGUUCACUCCAACACGUUUCAUCAGGAUUUAGGCAACAAAGAGAUGAAGUCUGAUCAUGUUGCUAUUCUUAAUAAGCCUGCCAUUUCGGGGAAUUCAUUUUCUGCUACUCCAUCGCGGAAACCAGGUUUUAAAAUGGCUGUUUUUGAGGUAUGGUAGAAAUAUUAACACAAUGUAAACUAGUCAUAUAAGCACUUGUGAUCUGAAAGUUAUAUUUACCAUUUUUUGUUUUGUAUGUUUCAGGAUUUAACUGAGUUAGAUGAUGAUCUGGAAGCCCCUGUCCCAUCAAAGAAUUCGAAAUUUGAGACAGAUGUGAAGGCAACUGAGCAGAAGUUUGAUUCAAAGAUAAAGGAGCAGAAAGUUCAACAUGUUAAAUUUGAGAAGAAAGUUGAAUCAACCUCAUCGAAGGAGAAUGUUAUCAAUUCUUCAGUUACUGAACAGCCUAGAACAUCCACAUCAAAAGAUGUCUCUACACCAGGCUUGUUUUCGUUCAGUGAUCCUGAAAAGAAGGGCACCCCCAAUGUUUCCUCAAAUAACAACAGUGGUUUUACGUUUCCACAUGUACCUCCCGCGGACAGUCCUGAGGCUACUGUUUCAGCAGUUCCACUUGCUUCAAAUAAAGACGAUAAACAGACAAGUGCUUCACCUUUUAUGUUUGGUGCCAAGCCAUCCAGUACAUCAGAUUUGGAAACAUCAACAACUGCUGGUGUUAAAACCAAAGGAAGACCUGGGGAGAGGUGAUUCUCUUGGAACUCUUUUUUCCUCAUUUUUCCUUAAGCACCCUUGUUAAUUAUUUGAUUGCAUACCCAUCUUUUGAAAGAUUUUGGUAUUACCUGGAAGGGAUAGCAUAAAGGUAGGCUACAAAGAAAUUUCUCAGGAGAAGAGAUGCACAUUAGUUAUUCACUUGAGGAGCUUCUUUCAUAUCGUAUUUUGUUGCAAUAAUAUAAAGAUAGUUAAUGUUCGUAUACUUUUGGGUUGUAGUGAAAGUGCUUGUGUUGUUCAGACAUGUUCGUAUACUUUUGGGUUGUAGUGAAAGUGCUUGUGUUCUAUAUCAAUCUUCAGCCCGCCAAGGGUGUGCACCAUGUUCAGACAUGUUUGUAUACUUUUGGGUUGUAGUGAAAGUGCUUGUGUUGUUCUAUAUCAAUCUUCAGCCUGCCAUGUGCACAGACCAAGGAUGCCGUAAUUCUAAGAAGAAUUUGAUACAAGACAACGAACACCUUAAUCUAACAGUGCUACGAAUCAGCAAUACCCAAAUCAGUUAAAUAGGUGUAAAGCGCAAAUAUUGACUACACUAUUGAUUCCCUCAAUGGGCAAAUAUUGUUUAUUAGCGUCGUCCAUGUAUAUACAUCUCAUGUAUCAGUAGCUCAUCGCUGCCCUACUCUGAGAAAUUGUAGUGAGUUUCUCGAGGCCAAUAACAUAUAGUGAGACAGGGAGGAUUGUAGUUACAACUGUGAGAUUUAUAGGACUUAGUCAGGGUAUAGUUUCAAAGAUAAGGGCAUCUUAGUCAUGUUCAAUCAGUAUGGAUCAAAAAAUUGGAGACACAACCCAUCAGAAAUUCUUGUUUCUAUUGUUUAUAAACUCAAAUUUUGUUUUUGAUUUGUGAGGCAUUUAUUUUUCAUAGGCAGUUGCAUUCUACUAUUUGGAGUAUCUGCUAACAUAUUCUGCUACUUGUGUUUCCAGUGCCACCAAGCCUGCAUCAUUGGACACCCCUAAUUUGGAGAAAGGCAAUGGAAGGGGAGGAGCCGGAGACAUCCACAAGUCGUCUGACAAGGUGUUGCCUACAGCUGCACCAACAUUGACUCCACCUCUCCAUUUUGCUUCUGCUGCAUCUGCUUCACCGGGCCUGAGCAAUGGCCUGUCGCACACAUCACCACCAAAGUUGUCAGAUACCACGCCCACUCAUAUACCUGCUGUCAACGCCGCUUCAUUAACUACCAUUGCUGGCUUCUCUGUAUCCAGCAGCAGUCCACCCGUUUCGUCUUCACUUCCUGCAUUUCCUACUAUCAAUUUUGGCUCCAGCACUUCAACAGUAGCAGCACCAAAACCAGAGAGCACAUCCACUGAGACAAAGCCAGCUAGCACUUCACUCUUCGGUACUGUGGGUACUACAGCUGAAUCCAAGUCUAAAGCCCCAGAACCAGCCAGCAAGGCAUCAUCCAAUCUGAAUACUGCGUCUGUCUUCUCAUCAAACAUCACAACCUUUUCGAGUUCUCCAAUCACAUCCUCUUCUACUUCCUCGAGCACUGCAACAUUUUCGUCUUCUCCUGUUGCGUCCUUUAGUGUUGGAACUGCACCAGCUACUUCUACCCCAUCUACUACAUCUGGUGUCCAGCCUGCUUCAACGGCAGCGUUUGCAUUCUCAAGCUCAGGAAACAGCAUAUUUGGGUUCAGCUCUCCAGCUCAAUCUACUGGUCUGAGCACAACUGUUGGUGGCAGUACCUCUCAACCAUUUCCUGCUAGCACGAUCUUUAGUAGCAAGCUGCCACAGCCACAGGGCACAGUGUCACAGCCGCCUCAGAGUUCAGCCACACAGUUUAGCUCUUCAUUCCCGAUUGUUGCUAGUGGUGCGGCAGCUUCGUCAUCGGCACCUGGCACUGUCUCUUUCGGAGUGGGAGCUUCUCCCCCUGGGACCUUGUUGUUUGGAGCGGGAUCAUCUUCGUCUGGUCCUGGUACUGUGUCAUUUGGAGCGGGGGCUUCCUCAUCAGGAGGUCCAGGGAGUGUUCCUAUUGGAGUAGGAGCUUCCUCAUCUGGCACUGGUGUCUCGUCGUUUGGAGCAGGGGUUUCAUCAUCUGGACCUGGGACUGUAUCUUUUGGAGCGUCGCUUUCCUCAUCUGGACCUGGGACUAUGGCUUUUGGAGGCGCACCUUCCUCAUCUGGACCUGGAACAGUGUCUUUUGGCGUGACAACUUCCUCUUCCGGGCCUGUGUUUGGUAAUUCACCGUUUGGAUCUGGAGCUGCUGCCUUCUCUGGGUCUGGAAGUGGGUUUGCAUUUUCAUCACCUAGCUCUUCCACCGCCUCGUCCUUUACAGUGGCUAGUACAAGUAUGUUCAGCAGUAGCUCCACAGCCUCAUCGUCCGCUGCUUUGAGCAACCCUUUUGGUUCAGCUUCGUCCUCUCCCAGCAUGUUUACAUUUGGACAAUCAGCAGCAUCUUCAGGGGGUGCGUUUUCAUUUGGAGCACAGUCAGCUCCAGCUUUCUCAUCGCAAGCUCCUCCAGUUUAUUCGUUUACUUCGGCGAGUGCAAGCAUGAAUUUGUCUACACCACAGCCUGCAUUUGGGAUGACAAAUGCCAACACAGGCUUCGGAAUGGGAUCUCCUGGAAAUGAUCAGAUGAGCAUGGAGGACAGCAUGGCUGAUGACACCAACCAAGCAGCACCCCAGCAAGUGUCUGCACCAGUGUUUGGUUCUUCGGUAUUUGGGCAGCCAGGUGGUUCACCCGCGGCUCCAGUAUUCGGGCAACCAGCUGGUUCGGCCGCCGCUCCAGUAUUCGGGCAGCCGGCUAGUUCACCCGCCGCUCCGGUAUUUGGUGCUCCAGCUGCCCAGCCUGCCGGAGCUUUCCAGUUUGGCGGCCAACAAGGGUCGGUGCAGCAGAACCCGUCAUUUCCAACUGGCGGUAGCUUAGAGUUUCAGGGCGGAAACUUCUCGUUGGGCAGCAUGGGCGGCGACAAGUCCAACAGGCGGAUCAUCAAGGCCAAGAGGACACAGAAGAAAAGGUAGCCCCGCUGUUCAGUUUUGCAUUACAUGGUGGCUAUUUUCGAUGGUGGAAUGUCCGGGAACGUCAUCUGGAUGGGAACUCUGGAGACGGAUGAUUUCGUGCGGUAAUACACAUGUUCCAGCAUGGAGGCUGUUCCACCCACAGGACAUAUAUCUAUCUGGAGGCUGUCAUGCAAACCUCAAAGGUCAGUGUAGAGUAGCCACUCAAUUAUAUUUUCUUGCUUGCUUGGUCGGUCAGGUCAGUCGAAGGGUGAAAAAGCCCCCGGUGGGUGGCAUAUGUUGUUAGUAGUAUGCUUGUGCUCUUGGGGUGUAAAAUGGAACAAACAAGAGUGUAUCUGAAGGUGUAAUUUUUGUCUCAGUUUCUUAUUUGUGUCCGUUAUAGUUGUCUCGCGGCCGAGGUGUAUCUGAAGGUGUAUUAUUCAUUUUGUUCACAUCCAACUGGCUUAGAACUCUAGCCUAGUUUAUUAGAGUGUAAUUUUGCCUCCUUUUCCCUGCCAUGUGGCCUGGUUAUUUUCUUUUAUUGUUUGGGUCCGAUUUGUUUGUCUGGUAUGGAGAGGAAAUGCAGCGCUGUUGUACUAGGAGUAUUAAUUUCUUGUCUCGCACCCAGCACCAGCAGGCUGAGACAGACUUGUUUUGGAAGCACUAUAGCAUGCGUGCUUCCUGGAUGCUUCCCUUCUUUGUGUCAACGCGGCAAUGUGCCGUGUUUGUUAACUGUGCCCGUCCUUCCGUAUGAGCUGUUCCGUUUCAUGGCCAGUCUGUGUUAUCCAUCCCCACGGCGAAAGCGACCGGUUUUCUCCCAUCUGCUUGACCCGUUCUCGAGGAAAAAGGAGCCACAGGUUGAAUUUACAAUCACGUAGCAUGCCGAGGCCACGUCGGUCGCGAUCCGCGUCAGAAACAGAGGAUGUUACAGGGACGUUAGCAGCUAGGCCACCUGCCGCGAAAAGGAGGCCCUACGGUCAGUGCCCCCCUCCCUCCCUGUAAUAGUAGAGACGGCGACGCCCUUUUGACUUGUUCGACAGCGCCAAGCGGCGAGCGCGGCACGACCUGGUCGGCCAGCACACGUACAAGCAGCGGGCGGGCGGACGCGCUUUCUUUUCUUUUUUCUUUUUUCUUUUUCUUCCUCCGAGCUCGCGUAGCGGUUUAGGCACUCCGCCCAGGAAGAAGCCGCGAAGCAAAACGAAACGGCACCGGAAAUUGUAUAUCUAUAUAUGCGACGCGAUCCAUCUUCUUCCUUUCGCACCCCCACUUCGCCUCCCCUCCCUCUUCCCCCGUCCCCGUGCUGUGCGGUGCCAUGUCGAGGUCGCAGAUACUCUAAGUAGCAAGCAGGGGUAGACGCAGCUCGCUAAUCAUCAUUUGCCUCUAAAAGUCUUAACUAAGGGGCGGCAACCACCUCCUGCCCGUGGGUGGAUUUCUUUUCUCUUCAUACGCACAUACCUCCCGUCACGUACUGCUGCUGCUCCUCCAUACUUUUUUGUCUGUCUGUAGUCUUCUCCUUGGUCUUAGAUAUCACGGUUCCUCUCCUCGCGGGGCCUCCCUUGUCCCCUUCCUCUCCUCGCAACAGUAUAUCAUCAUCGCCGAGGCCGAGGGCCCGUGCGAGCUCUUCGUCCACAGUUUUGUUCUCUUUCUUGACGUAUAAGUACGCGUGGUUUCUUGCUAGUUGGUUGAGCAAUUUGGUUUCUUUCUUGCAUAAGCAUUCGCCUUUGACUGCUUCUUUUCUCUCCUUCUUCUCACUACCUGCCGGCUGCGCACCAAGGCCCACCAACCAUCUUCAAUGUGCUCAUUCAACAAUUCUGUCUCUUCAUCGGUGCAUACGUAACGUAACCCCUGUCCCAGAAGCGUCAGAUCAUGGCAUUCGGCGCUCCCGGUGGACGGAAGGCGUUGACUUCCUUGCUUCAUCGAUCCUGCUAGCACUUUCCUUCAAUCCACCCCAUCUCUUCCCGCUGCUUGGAAGGUAACAAUCCUUUCCUUUCCUUCCCUUUCCUCGGUGCGUCGUCUGCGCGUGAUCUGGUGCGGCGCAGAGCACCACGAGUGUCCCGUCCCGUGCUUGCUGCUGCUCCUUGCUUGGAUUUGGAUCCAUCCCAGGAGCAGGAGUGGUGGUGGUGGUGGGGUAGGUGCCGCAGGCCAUUGUCCUGUCCCCCGCGCCCGGCGGUCGAUAAAGAUUCGGCGACUCCGUCUUGGUCCGAUCGUCCCGCCCGUCCAUCGGCAGCGACGAUGGGCAACACGUGCGUCGGCCCCAGCAUCGGCAAGAACGGCUUCUUCCACUCCGUCUCCACCGUGCUCUGGACCAGGCGCCCCGACGGCGACGCCCUGCCCGCCGCCACCGCCAACGCCAAUGGUGGCGUCGCGGACCGCGCGCCGCCGCCGGAUGUGGCCGUGCACAUCGUAAGCAAGGCGCCCGAGCCCGUCAAGAUCGCCCCCGGCACCGCCAACACCAAGCCGGAUGAGGCCGCCAAGGCCAAGGCCAAGCCGCCGGCAGCAGCACCCAAGCCCGCUGCUGCAGCCGCCGCCAAAGAGCAGGACCCCAAGGGGUCCACGGACUCGUCCAGCAGCUCCGGCACCGGCGAGGCGGGCGCCCCCAAGCCGCCGCACCACCGGCCCAAGGUGCCCCCGGUCAAGCGCGUGUCGAGCGCGGGGCUCCUGGUCGGCUCCGUGCUCAAGCGCAAGACGGAGAGCGUCAAGGAGAAGUACAGCCUGGGGCGGCGGCUGGGACAGGGCCAGUUCGGCACCACCUACCUGUGCGUGGAGCGGAGCAGCGGCAAGGAGUACGCCUGCAAGUCCAUCCUCAAGCGCAAGCUCGUCACCGACGACGACGUGGAGGACGUGCGCCGGGAGAUCCAGAUAAUGUACCACCUCGCCGGCCACCCCAACGUCAUCUCCAUCCGGGGCGCCUACGAGGACGCCGUCGCCGUGCACCUCGUCAUGGAGCUCUGCGCCGGCGGCGAGCUCUUCGACAGGAUCGUGCAGAAGGGACACUACACCGAGCGCAAAGCCGCCGAGCUCGCCAGGGUCAUCGUCGGCGUCGUCGAGGUCUGCCACUCCAUGGGGGUCAUGCACCGGGACCUCAAGCCCGAGAACUUCCUCUUCGUCGACCAGACGGAGGAGGCCGCGCUCAAGACCAUCGACUUUGGUCUCUCCGUCUUCUUCCGGCCUGGUGAGUUGGUUGCUGGUCAAUUUGUUGGUGCAACCACCGCCAUUCUGUUACUAAUUCAUCAUGGAGUUCAUCGGGCUCCAUUUUUUCAGAAAAGGAAACACUUGCGUAUGUUUGUUUUUAUUUUCCAGAAAAUUAAAACUGUGAAAACAAUAAUCAUACAAUAAUCAUACAUUGCACUGCAUCUAGAUGGGAAAGAAGAUAUAUAUGAUUUGGCAUUUUGCCACCAUGGUUCUGAAUUUCUGUUCCUUGAUUUGAUCCAUAAUUCGGUCAAGGGCUCACAUCCCAUCGAAACUGAUUGAUGUGACCAUGUUUUGGGCUUCAUAAAGCGUGACAGCAUACUGAAUUUUUACAAUGCAUUGUGCUUUCAGCAACAUGUUUUUUCUUCUUCUGAGAAAUCAUGCCGUUCAACUGCAACCAUAAACAGCUUGGUCGCACAUCCUUAUCAUCCUGCAGUCCGAAUCUUAUCCAUCAGAUUUCAGACAUUCUCCACUGUAAUCUCUGCUAAUCUAAUGUGGAUCUUAAUUAUUCCAGGUCAAAUAUUCACCGACGUUGUCGGAAGCCCUUACUAUGUCGCGCCGGAAGUCUUGAAGAAGAAAUAUGGCCCCGAGGCAGAUGUCUGGAGCGCCGGUGUGAUCAUCUACAUUCUGUUGUGCGGUGUGCCGCCAUUUUGGGCAGGUGUGAAUUUUCUUCAGUUUUGAGUUCUUUGACACAAAAAAAUGCAGGAUUACUCCUCUGCAAAAAUGUAUCCUAUUACCUUCUGGACUAAUUAUGGCCUUGGCCUUUUGUUGAUUAGAGAACGAGCAGGGCAUAUUCGAAGAGGUUCUACACGGGAAGCUCGACUUCGAGUCAGAUCCAUGGCCCAGCAUCUCCGAAGGGGCCAAGGAUCUCGUGAGGAGAAUGCUCCUUAGGGACCCCAAGAAAAGACUGACAGCCCAUGAAGUUCUACGUGAGUCAUUGAAUUUCCCAUCACAGUAGUUAUCUCAGUGGUCCUUAGUGAAUUGUGUCUGAAGAUUGUUAUUUUUUUUUGCAUUGUCUCAGGGCAUCCAUGGGUCCAGGUUGGCGGUCUGGCUCCUGACAAGCCACUGGACUCUGCUGUUCUAUCCCGUAUGAAGCAGUUCUCGGCCAUGAACAAGCUGAAAAAGAUGGCUCUCAGGGUAAGAAGCAUUCAUUUCCCGGCUCGAAAUGAUCGUUUCUUUCACACGCCCUGUCGCUCUCAAUUGUCAUGUUGCCUUUGUGGUCAUCCACCGAGCCACCAAGUGGUGUUGCCUGCCAUUUGGAGCUUGGUGGAUGCUGUCAUGGAGGUGAUUAAGAAUACAAAACCGUCCAAGUCGUCUUGUCCUGACGCGUGUGUAUGUAUGUAUGUAUGUAUGCGUCUGUCCAGGUGAUUGCCGAGAACCUGUCGGAGGACGAGAUCGCCGGCCUCAAGGAGAUGUUCAAGAUGAUCGACUCGGACAACAGCGGGCAGAUCACGUACGAGGAGCUCAAGGUGGGGCUCAAGAAGGUGGGCGCCAACCUCCAGGAGUCGGAGAUCUACGCGCUCAUGCAAGCCGUAAGUUUGUCACUGAAAUCCACACGAGCAUGAUGAAUCCAGUGGAAGAGACUUGGCCUUGACAAGGAGAAUGAAAUGGGACGAAUGCAAUUGCAGGCGGACGUGGACAACAGCGGGACGAUCGACUACGGCGAGUUCAUCGCGGCGACGCUGCACCUGAACAAGGUGGAGCGGGAGGACCACCUGUUCGCGGCGUUCCAGUACUUCGACAAGGACGGCAGCGGCUACAUCACCCCCGACGAGCUGCAGCUCGCCUGCGAGGAGUUCGGCCUCGGCGGCGACGACCUCAGCCUCGACAACAUGAUCAGAGAAGUCGACCAGGACAACGUACGAUGAAUGCAGAUUCGUCAUCUUAUUAAGUAAGGGAAACUAAAACCACACCACCGGAUGAAAUGCUGAUGGUUUUGUUGGGAUGUUUUGGCAGGACGGGCGCAUAGACUACAACGAGUUCGUGGCGAUGAUGCAGAAGCCGGCGCUUGGGCUGGCGAAGAAGGCCGGGGCCGGGUUGGAGAGCAGCUUCAGCAUCGGGUUCAGGGAGGCGCUGAGGAUGGCUUGAAGGAGGAGGAGGAGGAGCUAGGUGGUAGUCAUGGUGACGCUAAUUUCCUUCCUGCUCGUCCAAGAGACUGUUGUUGUAGAGACGUGGUGAGGUGAUUGCUUUUGAUAGGGUUGAAAUGGCAGCAGCUCCUGGCGAGUAGCGGAGGGUCGGGACUCGGGACGACGUGUGUGUGUACUGUGUUAGAGGCAGGCAGGCAGCCCCGGUGAUUUUCUGCUCACUACUGCUGGAUUGGUUCAAUUGUGUAUUGUACUACAAAAGGCAUCCCCCGCCUCCUUGUAACCACACCGUUACAAGUUGUAUACAGUACGGUGACAAGUGAAGCCUGCACAAGCACCCGCUCCUAUGUCGUGCAAUCCUGUUGCACGGAUCUUGGCGCAAGGCUGAUGACAGGUAGAUUUUCAGGAGUCAUUCGCUGCAACCCGCUUUCUGGCGAACGCUCCCUUCUUAUUCCCUCCAAAAUUGAACUCGCGAGGACGUGGUAGCCGCGCUUACCACGUGGGCUGAAGUUGGGGUUGUGAACACUUUGUGAUAAUUUGCUAUUACUCUCUCCGUCCUAAAAUAAAUCUUUAUCUUUACCUAUUAAUAAAGCAUCUAUUGCUUCUGUGGUACCUCAUGCAAAUUGCCCCUAAAGUUUGCAUAAAUUACUCAUCAUCUCACCGGUAAGUAAUAUAAAACGUUUCACAAAACGAAAAAUCUCGGACUGGGCCGGCCCAUGUAAAAACCUCCUAUAUUACGCUUUGCACCCUGGGAGAAUAUCCAGC